Molecule: long non-coding RNA, 117118 nt
Filed under: Citrus x clementina
Lineage: Eukaryota; Viridiplantae; Streptophyta; Magnoliopsida; Sapindales; Rutaceae
Description: Citrus clementina (C. clementina) long non-coding RNA (CCLE_LNC002265)
Source: RNAcentral
AAAAUGGUUACAUGGAUACUUAAAAAAAAUAAAAAUGGUUACGUACUUACAUAGACAUUAGACACCAUUCAAUGAACCAAAAGGGAUUUUAUGGCAAAAUAGAUAUGCAAAGAAUAUCUUGUACUGUGGAACCAAAUUUUUAUUAUAUAUGAUUGAUAUACAUAGAAAAAUUAGUUUCACAACUUUAAUCGCCUUAAACCGGGUCUAUACAUUUCUUCUGAAUUAGUCCCACAAAAAAUCAUCAACCUGUCGAGGUUAUCUUAUCUAGAUCUCUCUGAUUCUUCAUUUUCUAGUCAAAUACUAUCAGAAAUAUUAGAGCUCUCGCCAACUAGGUGUCCUUGAAUUAUCAGAAAAUUUAGAUCUUCAACUGUCCAGAAGCCAAGUCUCGGAAAUCUAGUUGAAAAUUGUUAACCAUCCUAAAAGCACUUGAUUUUUUGUGUUGGCAGAUGCAAGCAUUAUUCAGGAUAGGCAGGGGUGAACUUCCUCCGGUUCCUAACUCAUUAUCGAGAGAUGCCUGGGAUUUUAUUCUUAAAUGCUUACAUGUUAACCCAAACGAUCGGCCUACUGCAGCUCAACUAAUGGAGCAUCCAUUUGUAAAGAGGCCACUGCAAACUAGGUAACUUCCUUCUCCUCAUUAUAACAUCAUACAGCCUUGAAAGUUUCUGAUCAUCCUUUGGGGUUUAUGUAUACCUUAGAGGUAGUCUGGCAGCAUCACGAAAUUAAACAAUUAACUGCAACCUGUAGUUCUAGGUUUGAUUUCUUGUCUGGAUUUAAUAUCAUGGACAUACUGAACGUAAUUGUUAAAUACAAUUAUAAAAUAUCCAUUUGGGUUUGCAACUUCACCGUAAAGCUUAUGGGGAAAGGAGCAAGAUUCCGAAGCAUCCAAUGGCUGCCUUGGCGAUCCCAAUUCAUAGUAUGAAGGGAAUGAACAAGUGCCUCUAGAUGUUUUAAUCCAACUCCUUCCUGUUGAUAACUGGACAAACCUUGAGAGAUUCACAUUAGAUCUGGCCACUUUGCUUUUUAUACUGGUUUGCUUUGAGGUUAACCUGCAUGAUGACAAGGUUGUUGUGUCGUUUGGUUCUAUAUCCAUUAGGAAUAAUUCUUUAGGGAUACUGGGUUCAUGAUUAUGAUUUAAUUUUAUCUUAUGAAAGAUUUCUUAUUGAUUUUAGGCCGAUGAUAUAGAUACGUAUUUGUUACUUAGGAUGUUAGGAGGUAAGUAAACUAGAUUUCUAAAUGAAUAACAAUAAAUAAUAUGUAUAUGUUUGACAUGUUUAAAAAGCCUAUUUUGGUAUAUAUGGAUAUGGAUUUAUAUGCUCUGCCCAUGUAUUUAUAUGAUGUGUUGUUAUGUGAUUUGUGUGUUUAUGGACAUGGGCAUAUGUAUGUGUGAAUCUUUCAUUAGCAUUAGCAUGGAAAUGAAUUAUGUUUUCUGUUAAAUGAGAAAGUGGAUUUUAGGCAAAACGGAAUUUGAAGAAAGAAAGUGAGUUUUACAGUUUUAGCUUGGAUGCUUGAAUUUGUUACUCAUUUAGUGAAAGCCACUCCGGAUGUUAUAUUAUGGUUAAGAGAUAAGUGGGUGAGGGACGUAUUGACGUGAAGCUCAAAGUGUAUGAAAGUCAUGAAAGUUAAGUGAGUGUUCUACUAAGCAGUAAUUGAAUGAAUGUAACUCAAGCAAGUGAUUUGAAAGAAAAUGUGAAAGCUUGAAAAUGACAAAAUGAGAUUUUGAUGAUUUGUUUUACAAUGUUUUCGAAUACCAUGGCAUGUCAUCCAUUUGCAUUAUAGAUACGUAUGUAUGUAUUUUGGUAUAUGAAAAACUUAUUUGCCUACUGAGUUUUGUACACAUUAUAUUUUAUUGUGAUUCAUCCCAAAAUUAGGAUUGAUUCACGAUGAGUCACAAGAAGAACUUGAAUUGAGGGCGGCAGAUGAUUUGACAUAAAUUUUAAAUUCUUCCGCUACAGUUUGUGUAAUAUCUUUGUAUUUGAAGCUCAAAUUUUUAUGGAUUGUAAAAUGUUUAUUUUUUUUAUUUUUUUAGUAUAUAUUUUUGAGUUGCAAUUAGAUUCACCCUGUGGAGUUUGGGGCGGGUUGUUUCAAUCAGUACUUUGUAAAUUUUAUAUGUUUAUGAGAAUCUGUUCAUAUGAAGCAAAUUGAGUAUAAAUGUGCUGUUAGAUGCUGACGUUUUGCGAUCUUGACAAUCUUAAACAGCUUUGGCUGUCGGGGAACUUAAAAAUGAGCAAAAGGAAAUUCAUUGUAUUAUGAUUGUUGAUAACAUACUUGUAGGAAAUAAACAGAUAACAUAAAGACAAGGUGUUGUUUGAUAUUAACCAAGUGAAUUCUUGUAAUUGAAUUUUAAUUCUGUAAAUUGAAAAGGGUAGUACAAACGGAGGUUACCCCUCCAUUUGUAGCCGAAUCAAGUGGUGUGUGAUGUGCGGGCAGGACGCGGGAAGCUCAUGCAAGUGAUCGAUGUGUGAUGUGGCUUGUUAUUUGGAAUUCAGGAAAAGUUUGCUUAACUGUUAUCAUCUUGCAAGUGUUAAUCAUAACUUAGCAGCCACAAAGUUUCAACAGGAUAAUAAUCUGAUAUCUUCUUAGUGCAUGUACUGGGGAUGAAUUUAUAGACAAGGCGAAUCUGAGUUGAAGAGAGUAGGAAAUUCUUCUCUCAGCAAAAUGUUAUAAAAAUGCUCAUUCAGAUCGCUCACUGAUUGUUAUAAAAAUCCUUUGGGGUUUAUGUAUAUCCUAGAGGUAGUCUAUCGGCAUCAUCAAAUUUAAACUGCAACCUGUAUUUGUAGAUUUGACUUCUUGUUUGGGUUUAGUACCAGGGACAUACUGAAAAUAAUUGUUAAAUACAUUUAUAAAAUAUCCAUUUGGGCUCGCAACUUCACAUGCAAGCUUACGGGGAACUGAGAAAUGGAGGAGCAAGAUUGUGAUGCAUCCAACGGCGGCCUUGGUGAUCCCAAUUCACUGCAUGAAGGGAAUAUACAAGUGCCUCUAGAUGUUUUAAUUCGACUCUUUCCUGUUGAUAACAGGGCGAACCUUGAGAGAUUCACAUUAGAUCUGGCUGCUUUGCUCUUUAUACUAAUUUGCUUUGAGGUUAACGUGCUUGUCGACAUGGUUAUUGUGUCAUUAGAUUCUAUAUCCAUUAGGAAUAAUAUUUUUUAUAGCUUGUGUUGCUCUUCUUUAUUUUGCAUGUGCCAUUUGUUCACAGGCGUGGCCAAGCGAAUUGCUAGUACUUUUAAGAGCUUUGAGAUGAGGCACAUGCGGUGUUAGUACAAUGCUAAGCAUCUUUUUGCCGUUGAAUCUACCUGCCAGGCAAUUCUUGGCACUGAAAACAGAGAUGGUGCAUUCUAGAUGAAUAUGCACAAGGCACAACUGCUCAUGAUGCAAAAUCUGAGAAACUGAGAUGGUGCACCCAUUCUUUCAUCGCUCAUCGACCUCCUGCGGACAGACCAGUGGCAUUUAAAUUGCUAGGUUUCCUUCCCUUCUUGUGGGCUAGGUUUUUUCUGUUACGAUUUUCUUUUCUUUGGCGGAGUGUGUGACAUCAAUUUGGUGUAAAUAACACUUUUUCAAAAAGUAAAAAUCGGCACAUGUGAAAUUUAUUUGUUGCAUUUUAUGGAGUCCUCAAAGGUAAAUUCUGUCAAUAUAUGCUUAUGCAUAGGCUGAGAAUCUGCUCAUACGAAGAAGCAGAUGAUGUGUAAAUAUGUAGAUAGAUGCCGAUAUUUUGUGGUGUUGAUAAUCGUAAACAUCUUUGGCUUUUGCGAAUCUUAAAAUGGUGUUAUAAGAAAGCAAAUUGUUGUCUAUUUUUUGAAUAUUUUUCAUACACUACUUCCAGCUGUGCCAGGGAGAAAACUGAAAUGCUGUUACCUUGGAAAUUUCUACCGGAGGAAGCAUUGUAAAUUUCAGUUUUACCAGAAAAGCAAUCCCUCUGCCUCAACCUAUUCAUUUUCUUUUUUAUUUAUUUUUAAUCCUUUUUUUUUUAAUUGAGCGAAAAGUGCAAUACCAUUUUUGCGCAUAAAAUUACCUGUAAAUUCGCACAAGAUUACCCAAGACAAACACAAGAUACUAAAAGAUAAAUUUAAUUUACUCAGGUCAUUAAUUUUUGCUUUAAAAAAUUAUUCAUGGCUGUAUGUCACCGCCUCCACCUAUCCUCCACAUUCCCCAUUCCAUCUGUCACGUGUAACACAACAAACCCUUUUCUUUUUUUUUUCCUAUUAUUUACAGUUAUAAAGCACUUUCCAGUUAUAAAGCACGAAAGGACAAAGGAGGGGGGUUUUUUUUUUUUUUUCCUCCAAGCGAAAAGGAUAAAGCAAAGUCAGCAGUACUACGGAGUACGGAGUACGGAGUACGGACACUUGUUGACAAUUAACAGCUCAACACUGUCUUACUCGGAAAUAUCCGUUUUCCAGCUGAAAAAGAUAAAUUGAAGUACACGGAAAUAUCCAUUUGUCGAGCUGAAAAAGAUAAAUAAAAGAGAAACCUGUUUGUUGUAUUAUUGUCUGCAAAACGCACAUNNNNNNNNNNNNNNNNNNNNNNNNNNNNNNNNNNNNNNNNNNNNNNNNNNNNNNNNNNNNNNNNNNNNNNNNNNNNNNNNNNNNNNNNNNNNNNNNNNNNACAGAGAGAGAAGAAAAAUUUUUAACAGCGCAAUGAGAAAACAAUUGAGCGAGUUAUUGAAUUCGAAGGACUUCGAUGAUGGUCAGAAAAUUGGGUCGGAGAAGACCUUGAGACGAUGGAGAUCUGCCUGCAAUGGCCGUAGAAGCUUCCAUAAGCUCGCUGGUCUCGACGAGCAUCUCAAAUUACAGGUGAAUUAUCCCUUUUAUUUAUUUUUUUUAAUUAUUAGUUAACUUAUGAUUCAAGUUAAUUUGGGUUAGCUUUAUUGAUUUAUUUAAAUUAUAUAAGUAAUUUUUGUAUUCACUUAUUUAGUUCUUUGCCUAAUUGCGUUGGGGUUAAUGCCUAAUGGGAAACUUUAAAAUCAACACUCAAGAAUUUAAAUGCAGAGUCAAGAGUAAAGGUGAAUAGUACUAAAUGAUUGAAUUUACGAUACCAAACUAAAGGCUUUCUGUGUGUUAUAUAGGAACAAGUUAGAGUUUUCUAUAUAUGUUGUUCAAAAGCUGUACUUUCACUUUACUGAAAAUCUGAGCCUGCAGUCAAAUGAAGAUGUGCCAUCAAGUGAAUGCAUUGUGACUGGGGCUGGCACUGAAGCUAGAAGAUUUCAAGAACCCAUUGAUGAUGUUGGAUCCACAAUCGGUGGCCUUGAUGUAAUGAUAAUUGAUACUGAAACUUUUGUAACCUCACUUAAAAUUGAAUUUAGGACACCGAACUAAAUGCCGUCUGUGUGUUACAGGAACAAGUUAGACUUUCACCUGUCGUUCUGAAAGUGGUACUUCACUGUACAGAAAAUCUGAGUCUGCGUUCAAAUGAAGAUGUGCCAUCAAGUGAAUACGUUGUGACCGAGGCUGCCACCGAAGCCGGAAUACUUCAAGAACCCCCCGUUGAUGACGUUGGAUCCACCGUCAAUGGCCUUGAGGUAAUGAUAAUUUAUACUGAAACUUUUAUUCCUCAUUUCAAUUUUCAAAUAUCAAAAUAUGCUCUUUUGUUAUUUGAAAAUCGCUCGAGUAUCCAGUUUUCUGUUUGUAUUUGGAUACAUCGAGGUAAGAAUAUUAAAGUUUUGCAUACAAUUGGCCUCCAAUUUCUGAGUUUAAAAUUUGUAACUUAAUGAAUGACAAUACAAUUCCAUUGAUUGAGAUGUAUAACUGCAUUCUUUGUAUAUUACAGAUUUGUGAGCUACUUGGUAAAUAUAAGAAACGUGCACUUGCUGUGUUUUAUCUUGUGUUGGAAGCAGCAUCCUUUUUACUGGAUAUAUUUGGGAAAAGUAAGAGGAGGAUCCUUCUUGCUGCAUUUCUAUUGUCAGCAUUUGGUUUUGCUAUUACUAUGAGUACGCAUUCUUGGACCGUGAGAAGAAACAUAGCUGCAACCAGAAUGCAUUUACAGAAGCGACUACUUAUGUUGUUGGAAAUGUCUUUCUCUUUGGUCCAGUUGAUUGUUACGCUUAUUUAUUUUAUUCUGGCGGAAUUGGGUGUCAAGAACAAUUUCAAUACAUCUGUUUUCCCACUGGUCUUUGCUAUAAUUGCUGCUGUGUUUACUUUCAAAUAUGAUGGGGAAGUUUCUGAAUCGGGCCUCGACAGUGCGCUUGUGGCCCUAGCUGCUGGUAAUCAGGUAUGAUUGUGAGCACAAUUGUAAUCAUCAAGCUGCACUUGGUGAAUUCGCAUAACUUAUCACCUCUAUGACUAUGAAUUCCUACAAAUAUAGAGAAAACUGCAUGAGACUGUAUGCUUUUGCAAUAUUGUGGAAAGAAGGAAAUAUAAAGAUUGUGAGAUUGCAUUGUGUAAGUCAAUAUAAAGAUUGUGAGGUCUAUAAAAGAUUGCUUUAAUAAUUUGUAUGCAUAAUGCUGGGGUGCCUCUGUAGAUUUGGAAAUCCUCUAUGUAAUUAACGAUUGUUGUGGCAGUAUGGCCAAAUCAGUACAGAUAUCAAAUCUUUGAUAGUUUGCACCUUUUUAGGUUCAUAUGCCAAAUAUUACUGGCAAUGAGGAUCCAGAAGCAAACGGCUGCAUGCCUAUGCUGGCAGACUUCCGAUGAUUAAUGAAGAUGAUUCUGAGAAACGAGGUCCAUAUGCUUGUUCUUCACUCUGCCUUCAGGCUUACUCUUUCUCUCACACUAUUUACACAAACUCUCUUUUCAGUACCGAAAGCUUUAUAUAUGUUAAUAGAUGAGUUUGUGAGUAAUGUUUCACUGGUUUAUUUUAGAAGUCUCACAAUUUGAUUUUUGUUUCAUGGUUAGGACCUAGAGGAGGCAUUUGCCCCCAUUUGCUCAUUUGAUUCAGAUUCAAGUUUUGGUCUUAGGUGUUACAAUUUCAAUUACUUUGUAUUCGAGUUGGAUAAAUACAUGUAAUUUGGAUUAUACCUACUCAAUAUAUAUGCAUUAUCUUCUCUGAGUAACUUUUUGUUUAUGGAGCUUGUUGAGGGUAUUAAAUGAUGGUGUUAGUAUUUUGGUGUCCAAGUCAUUUGAUGAAAUUCAUGAAACUUUUAUUAUGCCAAUUAGAAUAAAUGAAGCUGUUUUGAUUGGGUCACAGAAGAAACUUUUGAUGUGCCAAUUAACUAUUGAUCGGUAUGGUCAAUUAUCUUGGGUAAAAGGUACACUAUAUGAUAUGAAUCUUUUUGAAAAGUGAUUUUAUCAUUAUCAUUGUUAUUAUUAUUAUUAUUUAACAUAAGGAUUUUAUUAUUAUUAUUAACUUUAAAGCAUUAAUAGUAGGGUAAUAAUAGACCCUUAGAUUUGUAUGUUUUAAUCAUAAUCAUCCAACCUCCGGUGACCAAAUUCACUGCAAAUGUAGCUUUUGUUCCUGCAAAUGCAGCUUUUACCAGAAGUUUUGCAUUUCGCCUCCAGAAACUAGUUCAAAUAAUCAAUUAACGUCACCAUGCAAUCAAUAGGACAUCCCACUAGCUAUGUUCAUGUGCUAGUAGAUGUACAUUGGAUUAUUAUUUUCUUGUGGUUGAAGAUUCAUCUGAACCAAAUGGGCCCAUGUGUAAUAAAAAUAAAUAAAUAAAUAACAAAAAAGCAGAAGCACAAACAGAAAAUUUAAUAUUUUUCUGACAAAAUACAGAGAUAGGUGGGGGCAGUGGAAGACUGACUUUUGAUGACUCUUUGUCCGCCAUUAGAGAAUAACAGCAACCAAAUUAUGUUUUUCACUUCAAUUAUUAUUAGUAUUAUUAAUAAUUAGGACUUCUUUAUCAACAUAAAUCUUUCACCCAAAUUCAACAACCAAAGUUGCCGGUGGGUUGUGCUCGGCUAAUCAAAUGCAAGUAUUAUAUUUAGGGUUUAGUCUUAGAUAGAAGUUAAGUACCUGAAAUAUAAUCAUAGAUAACGCAUUGUACACCCACGUUCUCUGCCACUUUCUCAUUCACUUUUUAAAAAGUAAUCCAAUUUGACAAUAGAAGUAUAGAACUCAAAUUUACAAAGAAUUAUUAUUAAAUCGAUUAGAAUAACAACAUCAAUUUAGAUUAGUAAAAAAAUGUUAUAGAAUAAACAACGGUUGUGAAGAAUCCAAUUUCAAAUAAAAGAAUUUCACAUAUUGUAUUUUAACUUAUCUUUUUUUCCUUUUUUUUUAAUAAAUUUAAAAUAACUCUUUAACCAUUUGUCAAUUAAUUAUAUAGUUUUAGAAAUAAUUAAAAUUUUUUAUUAAUAAAAAUAAUGUUCAUCGUUGAUUAAAUUUAAUGGUAUAUAUUUAUGACAUUAUUGAUACUGAAAAAAAAAAGUUAUAGCAUCACAGAGGGACUAUAGAAUUAUCGUUUUCUACUGAAAAAGUUUAGCAACAAAAUUAGCAGCCCCCACAAUGGAGAGAUUUAUGUGCUUUACAUAUUUCUUUAGUUACCAGUUAUCAAAUUCGUGAUUAAGUUAUUUUCUUGAAAAUUAUCUUUCAAAAUUAUUGUGUUCCACAACAUAUUUCCCAGAUAGACUUAUGGAGUAAUUUAAUUUGAAUGCUACAAAAAGAUCACAAGCCAUAUAUUUAUGUGCAAUCAAGAUUAUCUUAUGUGUUAUUAUGUAAAUAAUUACUCCUAUUGAGAAUCUAUAAAUGGUCCAAUUAGUCUUGCAUGCACUUAAUUUGGAGGGCAUUAAUAUUUUAUAUGCAAUCAUAAUCCUGAUAAACUCACUAUGGGUUUAAUUGAAUAGUGAUAUGUUAAUCCACAUCUGGAUCAACCGACCCAAAUUGAUCAAGCAACUCUAGGAUUAAUAUUUGACUCUAGGUUAAUGGAUCAACUGUGAACCGACAUUAUCAAUCAAGGCACCGACUUCCUACUAGCCCAAACCAAUAAUGCCACCUAUAUUCAAAUAAUAGUAAGUGUCUAUUUGAUAUAUUUUAUCUAAUAGUUAUAAAUGUUUAUUCAAUCUCAUAAUCUCUUUUCAAAAUUUUUACUGUUGCUUUUUUUUUUUUGAGUAGAGCUUUUGAAAACUAAAUAAGUUAUUUUAUUUCUACUAGCAAAAACUUAAAUUUUAGUCCUUUUGGUGUAUAGGUUGAGAAGUUUUCUUAAAAUGUUAAAAUAUCUAAAAUAUCCUUACUAAUUUAAUAAUCUUAUUUGAUUCCUUUCAUAACAUGACGUUAAAUAAUUUACAUAUUAAUUAAUUUUAUAAUUAUUAAUAAAAGCUCUCAUUGACAAUUAAACAACCAAUUUUUUAUUUUUGUUAAAACCUCCACUUGCAAAAACUCUACUAACAAAAGCUCUACUUAAAAAAAUUUUGUAUGAAAAGUUAUACCAAACGAAGCCUUAAACUCCGUUUAAGGUGCAUAGCCAAAUCCACAAUGACAACUCAAUACAUACUGGCAUUAAGAUAUAGUUAUGUGAGAUAAUUGGUUGUUUAUGGAGUAAUCACAAUUAUUUGUCAGAUGAUAUCAAAAAAUUUAGCAGACUCAUUUAGUAACUAAAGGCCUUGUAAGGGUUGGGACUUCCAGCACCAUCUUAGUUAUCACCAGUGAUCAAGUCUAACCCAAUACUUAAAACAUUAAGAUCUUAGAUUCAAUGAGUAGAAGACAUGCAUUAUAAUUUUUCAAGAUACAUUCUAUGGUACAUGUGGUUCAUAUGAAAUGAAAAAUAGUUAAUUUAUAAAAUAUAUUAUCAUCAGAAGAUUUAUUUUCUUAUUAAAUUAAUCACAUAGAUUCAUUUGAUUUUGAAAAUGGUUACAUGGAUACUUAAAAGAAAAAUGGUUACAUACUUAACAAAGACAUUAGACACCAUUCAAUGAACCAGAAGGUAUUCUAUGGGAAAACAGAUACGCAAGGAACAUCUUACACGUUAACCCAAAUGAUUGGCCUACUGCAGCUCAACUAAUGGAGCAUCCAUUUGUAAAGAGGCCACUGCAAACUUCUAGGUAACUUCCUUCUCCUCAUUAUAACAUCAUACAGUCUUGAAAGCUUCUGAUCAUCCUUUUGGGUUUAUUUAUAUCCUAGAGGUAGUCUAGCAGCGUCGCCAAAUUAAACAAUUAACUGCAACCUGUAGUUCUAGGUUUGAUUUCUUGUUUGGAUUUAAUAUCAUGGACAUACUGAAAAGAAUUGUUAAAUACAUUUAUAAAAUAUCCAUUUGGGUUUGCAACUUCACUGUAAAGCUUAUGGGGAGAGGAGCAAGAUUCUGAUGCAUCCAGUGGCUGCCUUGGCGAUCGCAAUUCACAAUAUGAAGGGAAUAUGUAGUGAAUUGAAUGCUUUAUAGUUCACUAGCAAGAUGCUUAAGAACCAAUUUCAACAGCCUUGAUAAUUCAAUGAUUAACAACAAUUAUAAAUGAGAUUUAACAAAGAUCAAGACACAAGACUAAUCCAGCAACAAGAAGCAAUCACACAAUCAAAACAAAGACAGAUUUACGUGGUUCAAUUGUGCAAGAGAGCACAAUCUACAUCCACGGGAGAAGUCACCAGAAUGAGAUUUAUUGAUGAUUCCUGUGAAUGUUACAGAGCUACAAAAAAGUUGAUUAAAAAGAACAAGAUGACAAUUUCUCUCUCUUAUAACUCUCUCUAGAAUGCUCUUCGAUUGAUUAUGAAGCUGCUCUGUUGAUCAGCUUAUAUAUUAGCUUGUAUGAAACCCAGACUGCACAGAUUGAUGCCACCUGGAUAACAGCUUCUUAACUAACUUGAUUCCAUCCUCACGUGCUUGCUCACACGCUUCACUUAAACCACAGCCAAAACGCCUGUCUCUUGCCGAUUUGAUCUUCAGUAAGUCACAUGUUUAGCUCGUGGAAGUCUGGGCUUAUUAGCAUGCUGAAACGCUGCCGUUUAGCUAACCCAGGUUUUGAAUUCAUCAUUUUAGUCCACAGAAUAAACAAGUGCCUCUAGAUGUUUUAAAGCAACUCCUUGCUGUUGAUAACUGGACAAACCUUGAGAGAUUCGCAUUAGAUCUGGCCACUUUGCUUUUUAUACUGGUUUGCUUUGAGGUUAACCUACAUGUUUACAUGGUUGCUCUGUCGUUUGGUUCUAUAUCCAUUAGGAAUAAUUCUUUUAGAGCUUGUGUUAUCUGUUCUUUAUUUUGUAUGUGUCGUUUGUUUGCAGCUGUUGGUACAACGCUAAGCAUCUUUUUGCUGUUGAAUCUACCUGCAAGGCAAUUCUUGGCACUGAAAACAGAGAUGGAGGGUUCUUGGUGAGUAUGCACUGGACACAACUGCUUAUGGUGCAAAAUCUGAGAAGCUGAGAUGGUGCACACAUUCUAUCAUUGCUUAUGGACCCCCUGCAGACAGAUCGGUGGCAUUUAAAUUGCUAGGUUUCCUUCCCUUCAUGUGGGCUAGGUUUUUUCUGUUACGAUUUUCCUUUCUGGGCAGAGUGCUUGGCAUCAAUUUAGUGUAAAGAACUCUUUUUCAGAAGUAAAAAAAAGCAGUAUUUGUAAAAUUUAAAUGUUGCAUUUUAUGGCUCAAAGGUAAAUUCUGUCAGCAUAUGUUUUAUGCAUACGCUGAGAAUCUGUUCAUAUGACGAAGCAAAUGAAAUGUCAGCAUCUUUGGCUUUUGUGAAAAUGAAAAUUGAGUAAUAAAAAAUGGUGCUUUUUUGAAAAUAAUAAUUAAGAAUGAAAAUAGUGUUUUUAAAACAGUAAUUUUAAAAAUGGAAAGGAAAAUGCGUUGGUAGCAUUUUUUAAAAUAAAUUUUCUAAAACAGAAAAAUGGAAAAUGUAGAAAUAGUAGUGAAUUUCUACUAUUUGGGAUUGGUAGAUGAAGAAAGGUGGAGAGAUUUGGCCGCAACUGGGAACAAAAGAUUGUUUUGUAAAAUGCAUCGUAAAAUUAAAUAAAUUUAAAUUUUUAUAAUAUUUUUUAUAACAUGAUAAAUUAAGUGGAUUAUUAAUAAUUUUCUUAAAAAUGAAAUAGAAACCAAAAGGAAUUUAAAUUACAUGAUAAAAGGCUAUUUUAUAAGGGAAAGGUAAAGGGAAUUUAUUAAAAUGUAGUUUCUCUAAACAACUCCUUGUUAGUCGCUAAUAAGUUAAUAUUAUUUUAAUUAAAUAAAUAUUUUUUUUUUAAAAAAAUAAGUGAUAAUUAAAAUGUUUCUCUUUCUUUUUUUAAAUAUAAAAUAUAAAUUAAAAGGGAAGAAAAUAACUCUAUAAAAUUAGAAAGAGAGAAUCAUUUCUUAUUUAAAUAAUUUUAAUUAAAAUAAUUUUUAAAAAAAUUUAAAUAUUAAUAUAAUUUAUUAAAUAAAUAAUAAAAUUUUAUUUAAAAAGCGAGUAACGACACAUGGCAACAUAUACAAUUUUCUACAUGAGUGAGUGGGUCGCCCAAACGGCCACCAGGAUAAGGAGAGUGAUGUCCUCUUCAGUGUGUACGGACGCUUACUUGUCUUGGCUGGCCAGAAGGAUAAAUCAGUUUUUUAGGGAGAAAGGUCAAAAAAUCCAUACAGCUGAAUGGGGGUAAAAAUGGAGGAGUUAUUGAAUUUGAAAGCCUCGAGAAAAUGGAGAUCUGCCGGCAAUGCAAUUCGCUUCCUCACGAAACGCCGUAGAAGCUUCCGUAGGACCGCGGACCUCGACGCUGAGGCUAACAAUCCCAAAUUACCGGUCCAUGUUCCCUUUUUGUUAGUUACUCAUGAUUCAAGUUAAUUUAGGUUAGCUUGUUCAUGUUAUUUUCUCUAAUUACUAAUUAGUAGCAAUCUAGUAUUACUUAUUUAGUUCUUUGCCCUAAUAAGAACCAUUCAUAUGAAGAAGCAAAUGAAAUAUCAGCAUCUUUUGCGUUUGAGAAAACGAAAAUGGAGUGAUAAAAAAAUAUUUUUUUUAAAUAAUAAUUGAGAAUGAAUAUAAUGUUUUCAAAAUCAGUAAUUUUAAAAAUGGAAAAUGCGUUGGUGGCAUUUUUAAAUUAAAAUGGAAAAUGGAGAAAUUGUAGUAAAAUUUCUUACUACUAUUUGGGAUUGGUAGAUGAAGAAAAGUGGAGAGAUUUGGCCGCAAUUGAAGUGUACAGAUCCACUUGAUUUGUGCGGGAAUUUUUAUAGGUGAAAAAUUUCACUGUUGAGAUAGAUGCAGAGAAUCUCUAUUAUUGAGAUUGUGAGAAAAUUUAGUAUUGGUUUCUUUUUAAAGAAUCUCCCGUGAAGGAUCUUGUUGAGUUAUGAUAGAAAAGGUAAAAGAGGAUUAGUGAAUAAAAAUUUAAAAAAAAUGAUUGAAAAAGAAGAAGGAAUUUGCAGUCAAUAAAACAAAAGAAAAAAGAAUUUUUUUUUGUUAUUUUUAUUUUAGCGGUUUAUGUCGGGUGUUUUAUAAAAUAGAAGAAAACAAUAAAUUAGUGUUCUCUGAUUUUAUCUGAUAAGUGUUGGAAAACCUGAUUUUUUUAUUUUAAAAAUUUCUUUUAAAAACUGGUGCACCAAACACGUUUUUUAGCCUUUUUUUGUGUUUUUGAAAGCAGAAAAUUGUUUUGUAAAAUACAUCCAAAUGCACCCUUAAUUGUUAUUAUAUUAUCUGAAUAUUUUCCGUACACUUCCACCUCUGCCAGUUACAAACAUAUAGCGUAUUCAUGUUAUUUUCCCUAAUUACUAAUUAGUAGCAAUUUAGUAUUACUUAUUUAGUUCUUUGCCUAAUUUCAUUGAGGCUAAUGGGGAUCUUUAAAAUCAACACUCAAGAAUUUUAAAUGCAGUGUGGACAGUAAAGAUUAAUAGUACAAACUGAUUAAGAAAUUGAAUUUUCGGUACCGGACUAAAGGCUGUCUGUGUGUUACAGGAACAAGGUAGAGCUUCAUCUGUUGUUGUGGAAGCCGUACUUCACUUUACUGAAAGUCUGGGUGAAGAUGUGCCAUCAAGUGAGUACAUUGGGCCUGAGGCUGGCAUCGAAGCUAGAAGAUUUCACGAACCCGUUGAUGAUGUUGAAUCCACCGUCAAUGGCCAUGAUGUAAAUUUAACUGUUCCUGCUUCUUUGAUAUUAGAAAAUUGCUCAUGUAUCAAGGUAAGAAGUUUCUAAGUUUUGCAUACAAUUGGCCUCCAAUUUCUAAGCUUAAUAUUUUUCACUUAAUGAAUGCCAAUACAAUUUCAUUGAUGGGAAUGUAUAAUUGCAUUCUUUGUAUAUUACAGAUUUGUGAGUUACUUGGUAGAUAUGAGAAACGUGCACUUGCGAUGUUUUAUCUUGUGUUGGAAGCAGCAUCAUUUUUACUGGAUAUAUUUGGGAAAAGUAAGAGGAGCAUCCUUCUCGCUGCAUUUCUAUUGUCAGCAUUUGGUUUCGCUAUUACUAUGAGUAUGCCUACUUGUAUCAUGAGAAGAAUCAGAGCUGCUGCAGCCAGAAUGCAUAUUCAGAAGCUGCUACGUGUGGUGUUGGAAAUUUCUUUCUCUGUGGUCCAGUUGAUUGUUACGCUCAUUUAUUUUAUUCUGGCGGAAUUAGGUGUCAAGAACAGUUUUAAUGCAUCUGUUUUCCCACUAGUCUUUGCUAUAGUUGCUGCUGUGUUUACUUUCAAAUAUGAUGGGGAAGUUACUGAUUUGCCAGGCCUCGACAAUCCAGCUGCUGAUAAUCAGGUAUGAUUGUGGACAUAAUUGUAAUCAUCAAGCUGCACUUGGUGAAUUCGCAUAACUUAUUACCUCUAUGACUAUGAAUUCCUACAAAUAUAAAGAAACUACAUUAGACGGUAAGCUUUUGCAAUAUUGUGGAAAGAAGGAAAUACAAAGAUUGUGAGAUUGCAUUGUGUCAGUCAAUCAUUUAGUCAUAUGAGGUCUCUAAAGGAUUGCUCUAAUAAUUUGAAUGUAUAAUGCUCGGGUGCCUCUGUAGAUUUAGAAAUCCUUUAUGUAUGGCCAAAUGAGUACAGAUAUCAAAUCUUUGUUAGUUUGCAUCUUUUUAGGUGCCAAAUACCAAUCGCAAUGAGGAUCCGGAAGCAAACGGCAGCAUGCCUAUGUUGGCGGUAGUGACCAAUGAUGAUUCUAAGAGACAAGGUCCAUAUGCUCGUAGGACUGAUGGUCCAUAUGCUCGUAGGAGUCUGACAAUUUGAUUAUUGUUUCAUGGUUAGAGCCUAGAGGAGGCAUUUGCUCCCAUUUGUGCAUUUGAUUCAGAUUCGAGUUGACUAUAAUUAUAGAUAUCAAUUUUGACCAUAAAAGCACAUUAAUUGGGUCCAUGUUUUAGCCAUAGCUGUUACAAUUAAUUUCAAUUACUUUGUAGUCCAGUUGGAUAAAUAUCCGUAAUUUGGAUUAUAACUAAAUACAUAUGUAUUAUUUAGCUGAAUAGCUUUUUAUUUAUAGAACUCGUUGAGGGGGUUAAACGAUGGAGUUAAGUUAUCUGAGAUUCUUGAAAUUCAUGAAACUUGUAUUAUGCCAAUUAGAAACUUUUAAUGUGCUAAUUAAUUAUUGAUCGGCAUGGUUAAUCGUCUUGGGUAAAUGUACACUACGUGAAUCUUUUUUAAAAAGUGAGUUUAUUAUUAUCAUUAUCAUUAUUAUUAUUAUUAUUAUUUAACCUAAUUGCAAUAAAUUUUCCUAGUAUUUUAUGUGCGGGUUUCAACUACAGAACCAUCGCUUUCUACUUACAAAUUUUACCAACAAAAUUAGCGGCCCCCAGCCCCCCACAAUGGAGAGAUUUAUAUGUACCUCACAUAUUUCUCUAGUUAUUAGUUAUCAAUUUCAUGAUUGUGUUAUUUUCUUGAAAAUUAUCCUCAAAAUAAUUGUGUUCCACAGCAUAUCUCCUAAAGAAAAAUAAGGGCGUCUUCUAUUUUACCCAUAAUAUACGGGAGAUGUCGACGUAGUUUUAUAGACUCAUUUGAUCUGAAUAGUACAUAAAGAUCAUAAGCCAGAUAUUUAUAUGUUAUCAAGAUAAUAUUAAUGGCAUGUAUACAUUCCGGAUUGGGGAAUCAAAAUCAUUGACAGCGCGUACAUUGCAAAACAGAGGCGGGAAUCGGAAUCGUGGGAUUCACCCAAUUUGAGAAUGAGGAAUGAAAGAUUGAUUCUCGGGGGUUGAGAAUCAAUCUCUCAUUUCCUAGUCAAUCUCCCAUUCCUAAACUAUCCAUUUUACCCCAAUGAAUUUUCAUAAUUCCCAAAAUGCCCUUAAUCAAGUUUUGUCAUUUUUUCAUUUCAGUCCCUAUAAAAUUAUGAAAUUACCCAAAACUUUUGUAUUAUUUGUAAAUAAGUCCUCUAAUAAUAAUAGUAGUAGUAGUAAUAAUAUUAUUAUUAAUUUUAAUUUUAAAUAUUAUUAUUUAUUAUUAUUACUAUCAUUAAUGUCAUUAUUAUUAUUAUUGACUUUAUUAUUUUAAUUAUUAUUAUUUUUAUUAAAAUCAUCAUUAUUAAAAUCUAUUAAUAAUAGUAAUAUUAUCAUAAAUAAGAAAUUUAUUAUUAUUGUUAUUAUUAAUGAUAAAAGUAUUAUAAUCAAUUCUUAACGUUAAUAAUAAUUAUGACAAAAGUUAAUUAAGGACUUUUUAGUAAUUUGUAAUAAUCUAAUUCAUUCCGAUUAUGAUUUCAGGACAUAGUAAACAUUUUAAUGGUAAUAAAGUUUGUUUCGAUUUUGAUUCCUACAACUCAAGUAAAUAACUAAUUAUAAUUCCAAUUCCUCAUUCUGAUUCCAGCGCAUUUCGAUUCCAACCCAUUCCAAUUCUCGUGUAGUAAAUGCAUCAUAAGGGUGAUUAUGUAUAUAAUUACUCAUAUUGAGAAUCCAUAAAUGGUCUUGCAUGCACUUAAUUUCAAGGGCAUUAAUAUUUUAUAUGUUAUCAUAAUUAGGGGUGAGUAAGCCCAAUCCAAACUAAUGGACCCGAUCUAGCCCAAUCUAAUUUUCUUAAUUUUAAUAUAAUUAGUUUUUUAUCUUUCUUUAUCAAACACUAGCCAAUGAAUGAAAUUUUCAUGUUAUAAUAUAUUUAUAUUUAAUUUUAAUAAGUUUUAUAUCUUUUUUAUUUAAUUUUUAAUUUUAAUUUAACAUUCAAACUAACCUGAUGAUUUAAGGGUUAGAUUGAACAUGCUUAUUUAAUUGGGAUAGAUUGAUUUUAUCUCAAUCUAUUGAAUAAUGAGUUAGAUUGAAUAUUCACAAAUCUUAUUCACCGUAACCCAUGCCCAUCCCUAAUAAUACUCCUAAUAAGCACCCUAUGGGUUUUCAUUGAAUAAUGAUCUAUUAAUCCACAUCUACUUUGUGACUGGAUUAGCGAGCCAAGCGAUCUAGCCACUCCAGGACCAAUACUUGACUCUAGGUUAAUGGAUCAACAAUGGACUGAAAGAGUGAGACUAUUGGCACCCCUCUAAAUAUCUCUCAACACCUCUUUUCUUUAUUAACCCCAUUAAAAUAUUUAACAAUAUUAUAAAAUUCUUUUAACACCCUUUUAAUGACAAAAAUACCCUUAGUUUAAAUUUAUUAAUAUAAACCCCGUUUUAAUUUUUGACUGCUGAUUGUGAUUUUUUUUUUGAAAGCACCUUAUUAUGAAUUUUGAAACAAUUAAUCAUCUAUUGAAAAAGAAAGAAAGAAAAGGAAAAAAAAAAGGAAAAGGGAUCUUGCUCCAGAAACUUCUACUUUAAUGUGGCAAAUCAUUGAAACACCACAUGGCCAAAACUUUACUCUAAUGCAUGACAACUCAUUGUAAUUGAUAAUGACACCUCGCAAACACUUGGCUACCAUGCGUGUAAUUCUAAGGCCAAGUGCUAAUUUGGUUUACUGAUGAAGAUGAUGAGCACAAGCUUCUGAAAAUGCAGAAUCACGGAUUCUUCGAAAGACUGCGAGCCUUUGUGGAGAAAGACAACUGGGGCACUGGAAAACAUGUCGGUGGGAAAAUAAUUCUGAUGUUCGUUCAGCUCGUCCUUUGCUUCAUAAUUACUUUCUUCUUUCUUAAUUUCCCUCAUGGGCCUCAGUUUCUUCCUGAAGCUUGUUGAUGAUGAGUUGCAUAUGCCGAUAAUUCCUCACCAGAAAAUAAGAUUAAAAAGUAACUUUCUUAAUUUUUAAAAUGCUGAAUUUCAAUUUCAGGUACUAUUCAUUUUAUCUCUUAAUCAAGUUAUUUUUCAUUUUUCUGCUGAUAUUUUAAUAUUUACAGUCAAUUGUAGCAUUACUUAAAUCUAUAGUAUGUAGAUCAUAAUUCAUAAAUUAGUUUGUAGUUGGAGUAAACUCGGAAAUGUUAAAAAAAUAAUAAUAAAAACAAAAAGAGUACAGACAAGUUGUCAUCUUGAGUAACAAUAAAAUAAAAAAUUCCAGCUUAUACAAAGUCUUUCUUUAAAAAUAUGAAACGAAUAAAAUGACUAUUAAAAUGGUUCAAAAUUUUCUAAUACUGUCAUUGACUAGCUAGAUCAAUUGUUUCUUGUGUGGUAACUUCAAACACCAAAUCCUUAAAAGCAAUUAUAUUAGUUUUGUAUGGUGUUGCCCAGCCUUCUGCACAUGGUUCAUGAUAUUUGAUCCAACUAUUCGCAAUAGGAGGAAUAGGUGAAGCUGGAAGCAUGAACACGUGGAAAAAAAAAAGCCAUAAAAAAAUUAGUCCAAUAAUUAAGAUAUUGCAGCAUAAUUUGAAUUUCUAAACUUUUACAUACCUCUAUGAAAUGAUUUCUAUUAACAAAUCCAAUAGCAAUGAUUUUACGCGAGGAGCGUGAUAAUGGAAUAGAUCUAAGUGGAAGGAAUGUUAGAUUCAGCACAUCUGAUAUAUGUAGUAAUACCACAUUAUAUUUAGAAGCAAUAAUAUGACCAAUUUCAGGCAUGGUCAUCCAAUACUCUCUCCCUGGGUUAUUCUCAAAGUAUAAAAGUGAAUGAAGUACCUCCUCUGCUCUACCAGCAUAUUCAAAGACUCUUUUAUAAUCAUUAAAGUGACUUUGCAACUCAAAAACUAAGUCUUUCCUGACUUGUGCCCAGCUAUCUUCACCAAUACCUAUUAGGUCAGCCACUGCCCGAAAACCACAAUUACCAUCUGCAACAACAUCUCUAACACCACAAAUAUAAGGCCUCAAACCAAAUGGAAAUGAAUCAAUAUAAGAAGCAUGCUUUGGUGCUUUUGUUUGAGAAACACUCAUUUUUCGUUGCCCUUUUGGUUUUUUUGUAGUUGUACUUGAAGACAUAAUGUUUGGAGAAUGAUUAUCCUGUGCGGAUACUACAUACUCAAAUCUUGAUGGAUCUCGGCGGGUAGAUUUAUCAAGCUUUUGGGAGGGUCGUCCUCGAGUCUUAUCUUUAAUAGUUGGCUCAAUUAAAAAAGUUGAGGAUGGAUCAGUUAACUCUUUCAGUUUUCUUUUUAUUUGCAUUUUUCCGAAACCAUCUGAAUCUUCAAAACGCUUGAUAAUCAUUUCCAUUUUAGGGGUACAACUCAACUCUGCUGAUUUUUCAUAGCUGGUGCAGACAAGGUCUAAUUUCCUUCAAUGCGAAUGUACAGAAUCUAAAGGUAUUGGUCGACCUUCACGCUUAUACUCUCCAAUUUCAUGUGCACACGGUAGCCCAUGAGUGUGUCGAACUACACAACCACAUGCUGAAAUAUCUAUACCAAUUAAAUCAGCUCUUUUUGACUCACUUAGUAUCAUAUCUAAUGCAUUUCUAGCAACUAAUCCCCUUAAUUCUUUAAAAACUGAAGGUGUGAAACUAUGUUGCACAGUAGUCAAACUCUUCUCAAAUGAUGCCUUAAUUUCUGUAUGUUGCAACUCUACCAAAGAAUAAAGUUUUGUCCAUAACGUUACAAAGUUUCCUUGGGAUGAACAUAGUUGCCUUUUUAAUUUUGAAUGUGCAGUCUCAGCCCUGAAAAUAAACCAACAAAAAUUAAAAAAAUAAAAAGAUAUAUAAAAAAAUGGUGUUGAGUUUAGUUAUAAAAUCAUUGAAAACUAAAUAUUGUUUACCUGUUGGUUGUCAUAUUUCCGAAAUGCAUAAUAAAGUCUGUCCAUGCUGCAAUAAAUUUUUCUUUAUACUUAUCAAGCCAUGUUUGCUUUACAUAGACAAGUGCUUUUGGAUAUCUAGCAUAAUCACUCUAAAACAUACUCAAGUGUUGUAUGUACUCUUGCUCAGUGGCUGAGAACACCAGUACAUUCCAGCUGCUGUUGAAGGCUUCCCAUCUUUCAUUAGUCUCAAAUAGCUUCUUACAAUUAGCUAACACAUUUCUUGAAAUAUGCCAUCUACAAAGUAAAUUAGUUGCACUUGGAAAUAUCUUUUCAAUGGCAUUCAUCAGAGCUAAUUCUCUGUCUGUCACAAUCAUAGUUGGUAAUAUAUCAUCUUGCAUAAUGGUUUUCAAUCUUUCUAAUGCCCAAAUAUAGUUAUCUUCUCGCUCGGACUCAAGAUAUGCAAAACCAACAUUAAAUGUCAUUGCAGUCGAUGUGACACCAACUAUUUCCAACAACGAAAACUUAUACUUAUUGACUUUAUAAGUGCAGUCCAUUAUCAGAACACUUGGAAAAGCUUUUAACAAAUCAAAAGUAAGAGGAUGUGCCCAAAAUAUGUCUUUCACACAAUUUGUAUCAUCAUCACUCCGAUGCCACUCAAUGUAAUUAUGAUCAUGCAAUUUACUCAUAAGCUGUUGCAUUUGUGACCGUCCGCCCAAUUCGCGAACCUUAUAUUUAUACCGAGCAUUAUAAAUUGUCUUCAUUGUUGUAACAUUAAAUGUAUCCCUAGUCUUUAAAGUAUGUAAUAUCUCUUUUGGCCGAACAUUAUUUUUAGACAAAUCAACCAAUAUACUAACCUCUUCAUUAGUAAGUCUACCUGCAAAUGAGUGGCCCUCAAGAUAUUGUGCAGAAUGAUGGUUAUGCAAUCCACAGAUUACUUUUAACAUCCAAUCUUGAUUAUUCGCCAACAUUUGACCCUUUAAUAAAAAUGGACAGCCACACUUUUUUGUUCCAAUUGCAUUCGGUCUUUUCUUCUUUUCCAAGUCGUUGUUCUGCUUACACAUGCUGGUACUUCUUUUCGGAUAUGCACCACUUCUUUCACAAGCAAAAAUUAUCCUUGGUCUCCUUCCAAUCACAUUCACGUCAGAUCUUUUAAUAACAAUCACAAGUCCAUUUUUUUUCCCAACAUCAUGCGUCCAUCGAAUCAACUCUUCUCUACUGGUGAAAACCUAUGAAUAAGACAAUAAUAUAUUAGUUAAUGAUACAAAGAAAAGAGAAUAUAUGUAUGAAAAUUUAUUUAGUGUUUUACCUCUUCAGUAGUGAAUGCAGCAGUGUAAUCCAUAACAUCUACUUUAUUAUCAAGAAUGGCAACUAUGGUAGAACUUUCCUCCUUCACAAUCAUUGUAAGAUAUUACAUAAGUUAAUACAAGACACAAAACUCGAAUAAUAGCAAUUUAUUCAGCAAUAAUCAACCAAACAAUUAACAUUUGUUAAGGGGAUAUUUGUUGAACAUUGUUCAACGCUCUCCUUGUCAUUAUAAUUCUAAAACAAUAAAUUAAUAGCAAACUUACUUUUUUAUUAUCAUCCUCAUCUGUUUGCAUGAAUACUUUGCCCUAAAUUUGAAACUCUUAGAUUAGGGUUUAAGAAAGAAAAGAGAGUUUAUACCGUAUGCCGUAUAAAGAAUUUAAAACUCUUAAACAAAAAUAUGCCGUAUAAGAAAUUUUUAAGGGAAAAAAUUAUUUGAUUUUGAGUAGGGGUUUAAUUAGAAAUUGUCUUAUUAUGUAAUUUUAAUAAAGGUUGUAAUUGUAAAAUAACUAAAGGGGUGUUAAGAGGUAUUUAGGGGGGUGCCAAUAAUCCCACUCGGACUGAAAUUAUCAAUCAAUCGGACUGAAAUUAUCAAUCAAGACACAGAACUUCCAUCUAGCCCAAACCAAUACUUAUGUGAAACAAUUGGUCAUUGAUGGAGUAAUCGACUUUGUGACAUCAUGCCAAAAAGAAAAAUUAGUUGACCCUUUUACUGUGUAAGGGAUGCGACCUCUAGCAUCAUCUUUUCACCAGUGACCGAGAAUCAACACAAUGAACAUCAAGGUCUUGGAUUCAGUGAGUAGAAGGCAAACAUUAUAAUUAAUUAUUUUAGAUAUGUUCUAUGGUAUGUAUGUGCUUCACAAAAAAAAAAAAAAUAGUUAAGUUAUGAAAUAUAUUCUCACUUAAAGAUAUGUGACAAAUUUCUUAAAAAUUCAUAGGAGUUUAGAUCAUAAGAAGAUUUUAUUUUCUAAAUUCAUUUGAUUUUUGAAACGGUUACAUGGAUAAUUAAAAAAAAGUGUCACAUUUAAAUGGACACCAUUUAAUGAACUAAAAGAGUUUGUAUGACAAAAUAGGUAAGUAAGGAACAUCUUAUACUGUGGAACCAAAUUUUAAUUAUAUAGGAUUGAUAUACAUAGAAAAAUUCGUUUCACAACUUUAAUUGCCUUAAACUGGGUCCAUACAUUUAUCUAAUUUCAGCUUUCACAUUAUAAUUAAAGCUAAAUAAAUUUUUCUAACGUGUAGGAUAUUAACAAAGUGAAGACUUAAAGAAAGCCUCAACAUUGACACUUACACUUCUUAUGAUUGGUAUGAUCCAUGUCGUCCUAAAACAGAAUCAUGGAGGACAGAAGGAGGAGGAAAUAUUGAUUACUGCUUAUGGGACGGCGUUCAACGUAAUGAGAACACUGGUCAUGUCAUCAAGCUUGACCGUUCAAAUAGCUGCCUCCAAGGUUCUAUCAACUCUAGCAGCGGUCUUUUUGACCUUGUAAUUCUUGAGUGGCUUUAUCUUUCUUUUAAUAAUUAACUUCAAUUCUUCUAAAUUAAUCCUACAAAAAAUCAUCAACCUAUCGAGCUUAUCAUAUCUAGACCUCUUUGAUUCUUCAUUUUCUGGUCAAAUAACGUCAAAAAUAUUAAAGCUCUCAUAUUAAAGCUCUCGCCAAUUUGUUGUCCCUUGAAUUAUAAGGAAAUUUAUAUCUUGCACUCUCGAGAAGCCAUGUAUGGAAAUCUAUUUGAGAAUUGUUAACCAUCCUAAAAGAACUUGAUCUUAGUGCUGUGAAUGUGACAAUUGAUUCUUCAAUACUCAUAACUUGGCAAAUCUAUCUUAUUUGACAUUUUUAUCUCUUUCAAACUGCAUGCCAGUUGCAGAUCAUCAAUUGAAGGUGUGGCCAAGCCAGUUACUAGUAUUCUUAACAAGAGCUUCGAGAUAAGGCACAUGUGGUGUUGUUAGUACAGAGCCAAGGCAUCUCCUUGUCGUCGAAUCUACCAUGCAACGAGGCAAUUCUUUCAUCGAAAACAGUGUUGAUUCCUAGCUUCUAGGUGAAUAUUUACUAUGCACUACUGCUCGUGGUACAAAAUCUAAGAAAUUUAGAUGGUGCACAUAUUCUUUCGUCACUUAUCGAACCCCUGCAAACAGAUUAUUGACAUUUAAAUUGUUGGGUUUCCUUGCCAUCUUGUGGGGUAAGUUUUUUCAGUUAAAAUUUAAUUUCCAUUUUUUUCUUUUCUUGAGCAAAGUGGUUGGCGUUAAAAAUUUUUUUUUUUUCCUUGAAAAGUAUAAAUCGAUCCGUAGUUGUGAAGUUUAAGUGUUUAUGAGAAUUUGUUCAUAUGAAGCAAAUAAAGUAUAAAUUUGUCAUUAAAUGCUAAUGCUUUGCGGUCUUGACAUUCUUAAACAGCUUUGGCUUUUGGUAAACUUAAAAAUGAGCCAAAAAAAGUUCAUUAUAUUAAUUAGGUCACUCCAUAAUGCCGUAAUUAAAAUUACGGUAAAUAUAUUCAAUGUUAAACAUAAAUAAUGUAAUUUAAACGUAAGAUAUAUAAAUUUAACAUAAAAUUUAUAAAUCAACAUUAAGUGUAAAACAAAACAUUACCUAUAUAAAUAGAAUAUAAGACUUAUAAAUAAAAUGUAAAAUAAGUAAAUUAACAAGUAAACUUCUAAUUUAAUUUAAUUCUAAAAAUUAAUUCAUUUCAAUCCGACUUUUUUAAAAUAGCCCUCAUUCUUUUAAUUUAAAUUAGGACACUCUUUUAGACUUUUGAGGACAAUUUUAAAAAAAGAAAAACUACUAUGAUGGAACAUGUGUCCUAAAUCAAUUGGCCAACACCAUCACAUUAGCAUAUGAUAUGGAUGUGUUGGCAUCUGGAGGAGUAUAUUUUAUGAAAAUUCGUGUGGGACAGAAGAUGAAGAAAACUAAUAAUCCUCUCUCAUUCAUUCUUAACAGCUGAAUAAAAAAACACAUUGAAAUAUUUUUCAACUCGGAAGGAUUUCAAUGUGGUGCAUCCAUGGAGAUCUGUGCAAUCAUCGGAGGAAGCCUGAAAUGAUGGAGAUCUGACUAUGCUAUCGUAGAAGGUUCCGUAUGGUCGCCAAUCUCGCGAACCAUGCCCAGCCCAGUGAUAACAAGUUCAAAAUUACAAGUCCUAUUUUACUCGCUACUUUCAUGUCUUUGUUAUUUUUUCUUUGUUGAAAUAGUUUUUGUUUUGAAUAGAGUGUUAGUUCUACUCUCAUAUUUUCGUGGACUAUAAAAUGGUAGGCUUGCAAAAUUUAGAUAAAAUGUUCUCAUCCAGAUGGUGUGACUUAUACGGUCAUGUGAUGAUUAGCUAUUAAGCCUUGUCAAUUCUCAUAUGAAUGAUGAUUUUAUAUUGUUUGUGUAAUAGUAUCACUAUCCUUUUGUUAAAUUGUUGUAAUGGAGAGAGUUUCAGUACCUUAAGAAUUUAAAUGUAGUGUGAACUGGAUCUGGAUUUAUAAAUGGUACGUUUUGACAUUGAAUUUAUUAUUCUCAACUCAAGGUUGUCCAUUGUGUUAUAGGAAAAAAGUAAGAUUGCACUUUUUGUUUUUCCCAACUCAAGGCACUUAAAGAAAUGAAGAUAAAGCUGUUUUGUUUGCAGAAAAUAUUAGAGAAUAUUCCAGAUCUUUUUUUUUAAUUGCUUAACAACAAUUUUACAAUUAAAUUAAAUUCAUGUAUGAUGCUUAAGCAUCAUUAUUAUAACUAAUUCAUAACUAACUAAAAUGAUUAAUGCAUGCUAAACUUCAUCAUAUGUACGUAACAAAUUGUAACAGACUUUAACAACUUAUGUUGAGCUAGCAGCUGAGCUGUCACUUUGAUUUCAACCAUUUGAUGUCAUUGUUAGCCUAUAUGGCUAUAAAUAUUGAUUUUGAUGAUAACAAACCACAUGUGUUAGUUAAACAAAGAUUUAUGAAUUAUGUUUUUAUAAUAAAAAAAAUGAUUUUAUGGAAUUAAAGUUGUGGACUAAAAUGAAAGAAUUUUAUAAUCCUUGAUUUUAAUAAAUGUUGUUUUCAAUUUCGGAUUUGGACCUAUUUAAAAUUAUUUAAAUAUUUUGGGUCAUUCUAUAAUUUUAAAAAUUUUUGAGAUUGACAAAAUAUUAUUUAGAAAUUCUGAAAUUGGACUUAUUUGAAAAUUUUCAUAACAUUUUAGGCCAUAAUAUAAUUUUAUAAAGUUUUGAGGCUAAACUGUAAUUUUAGAAAAUAUUUCACUGUAGUAGUUGCUGUCGCAAGCGGUUAACCGGAUAUGAUAAGCAGCUAUCCGAAUUCUGGGUGAUAAGCUUCUGGAGUAUAAAUGACUAUCCGGAUUUCGUAAGCGGCAUACCGGAUGUUUUGAAAUUCAAAUUUUUACUGUAAUGGUAACAAAAAGCGACUAACCAGAUUCUGAAAUCAGCAAGCUGGUUAUCAUCAGAAAAUACAUAACGGCUAGUUUUUGGGCUCAAACUAUAUAAACUCAAAUUCAAUUCAUUUUCAAGCACUCUAGCAAGAAAAAAUAAAAAGCACACGAGAUAUCUUAAGCUCUCAAUUCGUAAAUCAUAAAACAUUGAAUCAUCUCUUGUUUUUCAUUUUGAAUAUCUACUCUUUGAGAGAAUUUUGUUGUAAUUUUUAUUUCCUCAUAAAUUUGUGAGUGUGUGAGACACUUGAGUGAAGAGAUUAGGAGAUAAUCUCUUUGUUGUAAAGGUUCAUUGACACCUUGAAGUCAAUUGUAAACAUUUGAAGCCUUGGAAGGCUUGGAUAGUGAAAUCCUCAAGCUUGGAUUGCUUGGAGGCGUGGACGUAGGCGGGGAUUGUCGAACCACGUAAAAAUUCGUGUGUUUGUUUCUCUUCUCUCUUACUCAUUUGUUAUUGUGCUUUUAUUGAAUUUAUUACUUUCAAAUUUAUUAAGGCGUUAGAUUGGAUUGUUGUGUGGUUUUGUUAGGAUAAUUUUUAAAAUACCAAUUCACCCACCCCCCCUCUUGGAUUGCACACUUGUAUUUCAAACAUCAGCUCCUCCUCCUCCUCCUCCUCCUUCUUCUCUAUACAGCGAGCUUACUUAUAGUCCUCCUCAAACUCAAGGGACAGGGAUGAACAUUAAGUUUGGCUCUUAAGUAGUUAACUAUAUGAAUGAAAGAGAAUAUUCCAAAUCUUUUUUUUAUUGCUUAACAACAAAUAUCUGCAACUUGUUAUGCACUUGGUACAUAAUGAAUGCUAAGCUCUCCUACAAGAACUUUAUUGCGGAUAAAAUGGAUAUCAAUUUCAAUAUGCUUUAUCCUUGAAUGAUAAACAUGGUUCCUAGCUAGCUUAGUUGUACUAAUAUUGUCACACCAAAUUGUAGGUCUUUCUAUGCAACACAUUCCAAUCUCAGUGAAUAAGAACAGUAGCUAAAUCAAUUCUGCACUAGAUGAUGCCAAGGCUCUAUAUUCACUUUUUGUACUUGAUCGAUCUAUGACAGACUGCUUCUUAGAAGACCAUGAUAUCAUAUUGUUGCCUAGAUAGAUGCAAUAUGCACUCUUUGAUUUCUUGUCAUCCAAAUCACAUGUCCAAUCAGUAUCUGUAAGCUAGUAAACUUCAAAUUGUCUUCUUUGAUGAACUUCAAGCCAAAGUCUUGAGUGGCCUUCAAAUAUAUUAAAACCCUUUUAGAAGCCAUGAGAUGUUAUAAUGUAGGUGACUAAGCUUAUUAACCGCAAAUGCAAUUUCAACCCUUGUUAAAAUCAGAUAUUGCAUUCCCUAACAAUGCUUUUGUAGUUUGUUGGAUCUUUAAGAAAAUAAGUAAGUUUUCCUUGAACAACUUUCUGCAAUUUCAAGUCUACCCUUAUAGUCAAUCAUAUCAACCCUGGCCAAUAAAUCCUUAAUAUACUUUCUCUGUGAUAAGUACAUGUAACCUAUAUCAUACAAUACUUCAAUCCCAAGAAAAUAAGAUAGGAUUCUAAGAUCUUUUAAAGAAAAGCUUUACUAAAUGUAGCUGCAAAGCUUUCUAAUUCUACACUGCUAGUUCUUAUAAUCAAGAUAUCAUCAAUAUAGAGAAGAACAAGGAUUAUAAAGGUUUGACUCCUUCUUAAAAACAUAGAUGUAUUAGAACUAGUGUAGAUAAAUGCUCAGUGCAGCAAGCAACUUUUAAGUUUAUUAUACCAAGCUCUAGGAGCUAAGUUGAUUCCAUAUAGAGUUUUAUGCAAUUUAUACAUAAAAUCGGGCUUUGUACUGUCAAUGAAGCCUUUUGGUUCUGACAUAUAGAACUCCUCUGUCAAUUAUCUAUUGAUAAAUGUAUUGUUGACAUCAACUUGCCUUAUUUUCCACUUAUUUAUUACUACUAAACUUAAAACUACUCUAACAGUGUUUGGUUUCACCUGUGGACUAAAAAUUUCAAAGUAAUUCACCCCUGCAACUUGUUAAAAAUCUUUAGCAACUAGCCAAACUUUAUAUUUAGCCACACUUAUAUCAAUGUUGUGUUUAACUUUAUACAUCCAUUUAUUGCCAACAACCUUAAGCCUGUCGAUAGGCUAAAGACCAUAUGCCAUUAUAAAUCAAAGCAUCAUACUCAUCUUGCAUAGCUUUGAUCUAUUUGGAAUCAAUUAAAGCUUCCUAAACUAAAUUUGGUUCUUUGUGAGCAAGGACAACUGUAUAGACUUUAGCUUUAAAGAUACUUGAUUUUCUUCUAGUGGUCAUAGGAUGGAUGUUGGAGUUUAUAUGAGGUGGAGAGUGUGGCGAUGAUGAAUCAUUAUCAGAAGCAGAUAAUGGCUGAUGUGAGGUUUGAAUAGGAGCAGAAUUUGGCUAAUAUGUGUUUCGAGAUGAAGAAGUAGAGAAGGUAAUUUGCUGUGAAUGUUGAUCAGCUGCUUGUUGUGCAAGAAUAUCUAAGUGAGUUGAAAUGCUACUGUCAGAACUUGCAGAGUUAGGAUGAAUGGUGCUGUUAUUGGUAAAGUGGAGAGUGACAUAUUUUUUAAGGAGAAAAUGAAUAUUAUAAAGAAGAAGUAGAUUUAGUUGAACUACGGAAAAUAAAUUGCAGUGGAAUAAGGAAUUGUAAAUUUAUAAAAAAUGAAAUGUCUUGCUAUAUAAAGUUGACUUGAAGGAUGUAAACACUUAUACCCUUAUGUGAUGGAUUGUAACCAAGAAAAGUACACUUGGUAGAGUGAUAAUUAAAUUUUGUUUAUUAUUGUCUCUCAAAUAAGGAUAAUAAGUACAACUAAAACACUUGAGUAUGUCAUAGUUAGUUUUUGUUGGAAUAUUUUCUCACAUAGAGAUAAAAGGUUGAGAACAACAGAGGGCAAUCUAUUGAUAAGAUAGACAACUAUAUGGAAAUCAUCCCACUAAAACUUGAAGGGUAAUUGAGAUUGAGCCAAUAAAGUGAGUCCCAUUUCAACAAUGUAUCUAUGUUUCCUUUAAACCAAUCUAUUUUGAUGAUGUGUGUGUGGACAUGAGUGUCCGAAUAUGAUAUCAGAUUGAUUCAAAAAUCAGUAAAAGAUCUUAAUGAUUGUUUGAAACUAAUUUUAAAAGAUCUUAAUGAUUGUUUGAAACUAAUUUAAACUUGCAUUUUAAAAAGUUUAAAGACAUCUAGAGCUUCUAACUUGAGCUUUAAAGGAUAAAUCUAGGUGUAUCUAGUGAAAUCUUCAACAAGACUAAUAUAAUAGUGAUAACCAUCUUUAGAAAAGGUAGGUAAGGGAACUUAAAAGUCUGUGUGAAUCAGCUCUAGAACUUUAGAAGUUUUAGUUGCAGUUGAUGGAAAAUGAAGUUUAUGAACCCUGUCCGUUUGACAAACUUCACAAGUAUAUUGUAGUGCUUGUUGUAUUUGAUUUCCAGAAAAUAAGCAAACUUAACAUUUUUUUAGAAUAUGCUUCAAAAUAUAUUAAUUUGGAUAGCCAAGUCUAGUAUGAAAUAAAGUAAUUUUAUUCACUAACGUUUUAUAAGGAGAAGUAGUAGAUUGAUAACAAGACUUCAAAUCUGCAUUAUUAACAUCAGUAACAAAAUUGAAAUGACAACAAGACCACACUGGCAAUGGCUUAUUUGAAAUGAUAUGAGAAAGAAAGGAUGAUGGUGAUGACUUAAAUGAUGAAGACAGUUUGAGUAACAACCUGAGUAAACUUUUCUCUGCAAUGCCUUUUAAAAGCACUUCCCCUUUUAGAGAAUCCUUCAUAUCACAGAUGUUUCCAAGAAAUUCAACAGACAAAUUAUUAUCAUAUGUAAGUUUGGAAAUGCUUAAUAAAUUUUUGGUAAUGGGAGGAACAAGUAGAAUAUCGUUCAGUGCUAUAUGUGGAUGUAUUUGUUUAAUAGUUGAGCUUUUAAAAGUAAAAAGAUGCAUCACCAGUAUGAGUUAUAGCAAACCCUGUCCAUUUCUAAUGAUAAGGUGAUAUAGCCCACUAAACUACUCUCUGAUAUGCAUAUUGGCCAUGUUAUUUGUUAAGGAUGAGUUGCUCCACUGUGAAGAUACCACUCAUCAUCAGCAAGCUUUCAAAGUUAGCAAGAUAAGCAGCUCCAGUUGCAGAGAAUGUUUCAGGUGACUAGAAAGGCAAGGAAUUCAUAUUAGAUAACUAGUAGCUGGAACCACUCGUAGCAUAAAAGUCAUGAAAAUAUGGUGCGAUUUAAGCAUAUGGCUCAAAGCUAGCCCUAUAGGCAGACUUAGAUCUUCUUCCUCUACCAAAGUGUCUUGAUUGAGGUAUAUAAUUUUCAAUGUACUUAUGCCAACAAGCAUUAGUUUUAUGACUAGAUUUAUGACAAAUCUGACAUCCAAGAAUGCUUUCAUCAAAUCCAUCUCUAUUAGGUAUGAAACUUUGACCAUGAGAUAUAUUGAAAGUAGGUCUGGAAUGUGAUGCUGACUUGUGAAAUUGCAUCUUUAGUGAGUGUCCUCUGCCAAAGUUAUUACCAUCAAAGGGAAAGCCUUUGGGAUAUGUAUGAUAAAACAAUCCUCUUCCAGAAUUAUGAUUAAUUCUUGUUUCCAUUAUGAAAAUGUCCCUAGUAUCUCCUAUAACCAAAGCCUCCUCUUUUACCAUUACCUCUAAUUGGAGGAUAGUUAGAGUUCACCAUUCUAUAAUCGGCAUUAAAUAUUGAUUUAGCAUUUUGAUUUUAUUGUAAUAUAGCCUUAUGCAUAAAAAACAAUGCAUAUGCAUCAUAUUAUGUCACUUUAUUAGCAAUAAUAAUAAAGCAAGAUCCAAAUAUCCAGGCCUCAGUCCAUUCAAAACUCGCAUUAAUAGAUCUCUGUCUGAUACAGGACUACUAGCACAUGCAAGUUUAUCGACAAGUAUUGUGAAUUUCAAGCAAUAUUCUUCAAUAGAUAUGGAAUUUUUUCUAAGAACAUUCAUCUCAUAACAAAAUUGCAUUAUCUUAGCUUCGAAUUGAGCUCCAAAUUGCUUCUAAAUAGACUUCCAUACAUCAUAUAAAUUAUUACAAUUAAAAACAGAGCUCAAAAUACAUUCAUUGAUGGAUGAUAAAAGCCAGCCAAGAAGAAUUUAAUCUUGAGUUCUUCAAUUGAUGUAAGCUGGAUUAUCAACCUUCUGCACCAAUCCAUCGGCUACAGUGUGAAAGAUCUAUUGUUCUAGUACAAUUUGAUCACUAGAUAUGAAUCUUCAAGUUGAUUCCCUCUAAUUGAAGUAAGAACCUACUUUCUUUAGAGUAAGAAAUUGAAUCGAUCAAGCUUAACUCGACCGCUAAAUGAAAAAGAGAUAUGUGAAUUUUGAUUCGUUUGUAUUAAAUUUUGAUUUGAUGUUGUACUACUUGAGCUAGCCAUUAUUGGCUCCGAUACCAUGAAAGAAAUGAAGAUGAAGUGUUUGGUUGCUAAGAAAAUAUUAGAGAAUGUUCCAGAUCUUCUCAUUUUUAUUGCUUAACAACAAAUGUUACAAUUACAUGUAAAUUAUAUACGAUGCUUAAGCAUCAUUAUUGUAAAGUAUGAGAAAAAAGUAUAAUGGGCAGAAUAAUUUUCAUUGAUAUUUGAUUGAGUAUAUAUACAUGCUAGGAUCCCUAUAAUUAAGCUAUGCAAUCAAAGUCUACUGUAAUUUAGGAAUACAUAUAGAAAGAUAUAUUUAUAGCUCAAUAUAAUGAAUAAAUGGAUUCUACUUUCCAAUACUCCCCCUCAAGUUGGAGAGUGAAUGUCCAACACUCCCAACUUGGGAACCAUAGGCAUGAAAACUUCUUUUCCCAAAGCUUUGGUCAGUACAUCAACAAGCUGAUUUGCGGAACUUACAAAUUUCGUUAUCACACAAUCUUCUUGUAACUUGUCUCUUAUAUAAUGACAAUCCAUCUCUAUGUGCCUUGUGCGUUCAUGAAAAACUGGAUUAACUGCUAUAUGUAAUACAGCCUUAUUGUCACAAUAUAGCAAUGCAACAUCUUGAUGUAAAAUCCCAAAAUCUCUAAGUAACUAACAAAGCCAUGUCAAUUCACAAUAAGCUCUAGUCAAUGCACGAUACUCUGCUUCGGCUGAGGAAAGGGAGACGUUUUCUGGCGCUUCGAUCUCCACAAAAUCAACGAAGGGCCUAAGAACACACAAUACCCUGUAGUAGAUCUUCUUGUAAGGGGGCAUCCUGCCCAAUUCGAGUCACAGUAUGCUCGCAACCAAAGAUCACUAAUUAAUAAGAAGAAGAAGCCUUGGCCAGGAGCAGAUUUUAAAUAGCGUACAACCCGUAAGGCUGCCUCCCAAUGAUCCUUCCAGGGUUGGUGCAUAAAUCUGCUCAAUAUAUGGACAACGUACGUGAUAUCGGGCCUCGAAACUGUGAGAUAUAUUAAUCUUCCAACUAAUCGCCUAUAUCGCCAUGGAUAUUUAAGUGGCUCACUUUAUCAGACAACUUUAAGCCACGUUCCAUGGGAGUAUCAAUGGGAGCUGCCCCUAAUAACCCUGCAUCCUUAAUAAGUUCCAAUGCAUACUUUCUAUGAGAAAUAAAAAUGCCCUUCCUAGAUGCAGAAAUCUCAAUACCAAGGAAAUACUUCAAGUCUCUUAGAUUUUUAAGGUGAAAUUGAUUAUGCAAGAAUUUUGAUAUCGGCUGUACUCACAGGAUCAUUCCCAGUGAUUAAAAUGUCGUCAACAUCUAUCAAAAGGGCAAUAAAGGACUUGCCUUGCUUCCUAGUGAACAGAGAGUAGUCAGCUUUUGAUUGUACAAAUCCAGCUGAACGUAUGGCCUCGGAGAAUUUAGCAAACCAUUGACGAGAGGCAUGUUUCAACCCAUAUAAUGACUUGUGGAGGCGACAAACCAAGUGUUCCUCCCCCUGUCACCGAAGCCCUAGCGGCAGAGACAUGUAGAUUUCUUCUUGGAGGUCACCAUAAAGAAAGGCAUUAUUGACGUCGAGUUGAUGAAGAGACAAACCACGGGCAGCAACUAACGCCAAUAAGCAACGAACAUAAAUUAUUUUUGCUGUCGGAGAAAAAGUAUCCUGGUAGUCAACUCCCUCUAAUUGAGUGAAACCCUUGGCUACAAGCCGCGCCUUAUACCGUUCAAUAGACCCAUCAGACUUAUGUUUGAUUUGUAAACCCAACGACAACCAAUUGGAGUUUUACUAGCCAGAAGAGAGGUAAGAGACCAAGUACCAUUUUUCUGUAGUGCCUGCAAUUCAGAACGCAUUACUGCUUGCAACUCAGGGAGAACGACAGCUUCUGAAUAAGACCUGGGUUCUGUGAGAUUAUUGAUUUGAGCAAUAAAGGACUAAUAAGCAGGCUUAUAUCGGUGAUAUGAAAUAUAAUUAGCCAGUGGAUAUUGUGUACCUUUGGUCGGACUUGGAAUUAAGGAGGCCGAUUGGUCGGAGUAAACAUGCGAGCAGACGUAGUCGUGGAGCUUGACCGGUGGACCGGUGUUGCGGCUGGAGCGACGAAGUUCAGGUACGGGUUCGGGUUCGGGUUCGGGUGCUUGUGAUGCAGCAGGUUCAGGGAAUGAAAGAAGGUGGGUCAGUUAAGACUAGUAAGGCAACAAGUUUAGGACGGUAGGAAUAAGUGCGAAGGACAGCUUAGGGAGGGGAAGAUGGUGGUUCUACCACGGGAGGAGAAGAGGAAAUUUGAUCGGGAGAAUUGGGAGAGAGUUGGGAUGAGGGAAUGGGGCUUGGUGGAAUUACGUGAGAGUUGAAUGAUGAGUCAAAGGAAGAAGGAAUUAAAGGAAUUGGGUUUGAUUGAUGGGCUGUCAAGGGAAGAGAAAAUUUGGGUUGGACGGAUGAGUAAGGAAAAAUGGUUUUGUGGAAUUUGACAUCCCGGCUGGUAAAAAUCUCUUUAGUUGAUAAAUUAAAUAAUUUGUAGCCCUUUUGAGCAAUGGGAUAACCGAUGAAUAUGGAUGGUAUGGCAUGAGAGUCGAAUUUGUGAGAAGUGUGAACAUUAGUGGCAUAGGUCAAACACCCAAAAACACGAAGAUGGAAAAAGGAAGGUGGUUUUGAAUAGAAAAGUUCGUAAGGAGUUUUGAAAGAAAUAACCGGAGAAGGUAACCUAUUGAUGAUGUGUACAACAGUGAGUGCACAUUCGCCCCAAAAUUGGGUUGGUAGGUGUGCUUGGAAUUUUAAUACUCGGGCUACUUGUAAGAUAUGGCGAUGUUUGCGUUCCACAACCCUGUUUUGUUGAGGAGUGUAAACGCAUGAAGUUUGGAAAACAACACCAUGAUCUUGAAAGAAAGAUCGGAGUGAGAUAAAUUCUCCAUCAUUGUCACUUCGAAAUGUUUUAAUACGACGAUCAAAUUGAGUGAAAACAUGGUUGAAAAAGCGUUUUAAAAGAGAUUGUGUUUCGUUUUUGUGUCGCAUAAAACAAAUCCAUGUGAAACGAGUAUAAUCAUCAACAAUAGUGUGGAAAUAAUAAGCUCCGGUAAGGGAAGGGUGUUGAUAACGACCCCAAAUAUCAUAAUGAAUUAUUUCAAAAGGUUUUGUAGAAGAAAUAACACUAUGAUUGAAAGGAAAACGACUUUGCUUAGCCAACGGACAUACGGGGCAAGCAUUAUUAGACUGAACAAAAAAAUUCAAAAAGUUCUUGGCAAUAAAACUUAAACGAGAAGGUGAUAUAUGACCUAAGCGAUUAUGCUAGAGGUCGGUGGAUGAGAUGGUGAGAUUGCAGGCUGGUCGAUUUUUUGGUGAGGAAGGUUUUGUCACAGAUUGCUUCGUCGCUAAUGCCACAAAAAAAUAUAGCCCAUCUCGUUGUUUACCCAAACCAAUCUUCCUCCUAAUAGCCAGAUCCUGUAAAAUACACUAAGACGGGAAAAACGUCACUGAACAACCCAAACCUCUUGUCAAGCGACUAACUGACAUCAAAUCAACUUUAAAUGUAGGCACGGAUAACACAUUAUGUAGAUAAUAGACGGAAUUGAGAGGUAAAGAACCUUUUUGCAACAAUAUUUGCUCUUUCUCCACUAGGCAACAACACGGGCGGUAACGAGCAAUUGUUAUCUUUAUGCAAUAAAUUAAAUGAUGAAGUAAUAUGAUCUGUCGCCCCGCUAUCAAUAAUCCAAUUUCGGGAAACAAUCUUAGACAAACCUAGCUUUGUUACCGUAUUUGCUUUGGAGUGAGAACCUUCAUUUUGAUUAUUCAGGAGUGACAAAAGUUGCUUAAGUUGAGCAUCGGAUAUUGUAAGUGAGCCUUCAUUUGUGUUUGAGCCCUCUCCAACUUAAUUAGCCACAGAAAUACCUUUAUGCCGAUUUGAAUUUUGGCCUGAGUUUAUUUUAGCUUUAGGAUGGCCUGGUGGGUAUCCAUGCAGCUUAUAACAUUUCUGGAUCCAAUGGCCAAAAUUUCCACAUUGGUCACAAAAAGGCCUACCUCUCUUAGAGCCAGAUCGACGCCGAUCUCCAUCUUGAGGUCCUGCAAGUUCCGGCGCUUGAGAGUAUGUUCGAUCGCGAGAAUCUGGGAACCCAUGAGAGCGAGUUUGUUAAGUUUUUCCUGUUGCUGAAGGAGUCGGCUUGCUAUGUACAGCCAUGGCAGCAGCGCUGCUGCUUGAAUCAGUGUUCGUAUGCACUGAACUAAGGAGGCACUGUUUCUCUUCUUGGGAGAUUGAAGAGUAGGCUUGGCGAAUAGAAGGCAAAUGAUUCAUGAGCAGGAUUUGACCUCGAAUUGCACUAUAAGUUUCGUUUAGACCCAUUAGAAACUGCAUCAAUUUCUGUCGAUCGGCUUGUGCUAUGUCUGAAUGUGUUGCCAAUUCAUCCCAUAAACUUUUCAACUUAGUGUAGUAAGCUGACACAGAGAGUUGGUCUUGUCAAAGAGAAGCAAUAUCUCGUUGUAUCUCGAAGAUGCGAGUUGCAUUGCCUUGAGAGAAAUGCUCAUAGAGAUCUUCCCAAACCUCAUGAGCAAUAGGAUAAUAAGUCACACUGUGAGCUAUUUCUAGAUCGCAAGAAUUGACGAUCCAGGAAUGAACCAUAUCAUUGCAUCUCGACCAAAUCGCAUAGCCUUCGGGAUCGGUUUCUUCUGAAGGAACUUUGAUAGAACCAUUGACAAAUCCAAGCUUGUUCUUGGAGUUUAAAGCUUGAACCAUAGCCCUUUUCCAACCAAAAUAAUUAUCUCCAUUUAGAGGUUUGGAGAUGAGAAUCAAUUCGGGGUUAUCCGAAUGGUGAGUGAAGAAGGGAUUAAAGAGAUCUGCCUUGGAGAAAUAUGUAGAAAUCUCUUAUUUUUGCGGAUCAGAACUGCUGGUUUUUGGAAUAUCUUCAAGGGCCAUGAUGGCUGAAAGAGAGAUGCUACAUGAGAGAUUAAAGUGUAGCAAGUCCUUGCUCUGAUACCAUGUAAAGUAUGAGAGAAAAGUAGAAUGGGCAGAAUAAUUUUCAUUAAUAUUUGAUUGAGUAUAUAUACAUGCUAAGAUCCCUAUAAUUAAGCUAUGCAAUCGAAAUCUACUGUAAUUUAGGAAUACAUAUAGAAAGAUGUAUUUACAGCUCAAUAUAAUGAAUAAAUGGAUUCUACUUUCCAAUAAUUAUUGUGACUAAUCCAUAACUAACUAUAAUGAUUAACGCAUGCUAAACUUCAGCACAAUGUACAUAACAAAUUGUAACAGACUUUAACAACUUAUGCUGAGUUGGCAGCUGAGCUGUCACUUUGCUUACAACCAUCUGACGACAUCAGCUUCUCCUUCUCCUUCUUCUCUGUAUAGUGAGCUUCCUUAACAGACACCAAGGUUAGUAGUACAUUGAGAGAUAACAUCAAGAGAUAAUUGAAGAGAUGCCUGAGGAUAGAGGGAAGACCAACUAAAAAAGAGGGAUCUUGUUGAGCAUACCAUUAGUCCAUUACUUUGUGACUUUAAAGAGCUUGAUGAGGAGACUCUCACUUCUUCCUUUCUAUUUCUAUCACAAAGGACCAAUCAUGAAGGUGGUAGUGAUCAAUGUCGACUUAAAAGCAAAGGAGCUUGCUGGUGUUAUAUGUUUUUUUUUUUAAUGUAUUUGUAUCAUUGGAUAUAUUUUUUUUGUAACUAUAAAAGCAAGCCAAAAGUUAGCAAACACAUUUUUCAUGUACGAUAUUUUAUGUAAGGUCGUCACCACCAAGCUCAUUUUGCCCUCCUGCUAGUGCAAAAACAUUCUUGCAUUAACAAGCAAGAUUCUCUAGCUUAUACAUUCUAUACGUAGAAAAUGUUAAAAGGGAAAAUAUCCACCGUCCACCCGUUUUUUACACCUUUUUCAAAAAUACACAAUUCCUUCAUUUUUUUGGUGGAAUCCACCUAAAGUUACAUUUUGUUUCACUUUCCACUUCCGUUGAAAUGACGANNNNNNNNNNNNNNNNNNNNNNNNNNNNNNNNNNNNNNNNNNNNNNNNNNNNNNNNNNNNNNNNNNNNNNNNNNNNNNNNNNNNNNNNNNNNNNNNNNNNNNNNNNNNNNNNNNNNNNNNNNNNNNNNNNNNNNNNNNNNNNNNNNNNNNNNNNNNNNNNNNNNNNNNNNNNNNNNNNNNNNNNNNNNNNNNNNNNNNNNNNNNNNNNNNNNNNNNNNNNNNNNNNNNNNNNNNNNNNNNNNNNNNNNNNNNNNNNNNNNNNNNNNNNNNNNNNNNNNNNNNNNNNNNNNNNNNNNNNNNNNNNNNNNNNNNNNNNNNNNNNNNNNNNNNNNNNNNNNNNNNNNNNNNNNNNNNNNNNNNNNNNNNNNNNNNNNNNNNNNNNNNNNNNNNNNNNNNNNNNNNNNNNNNNNNNNNNNNNNNNNNNNNNNNNNNNNNNNNNNNNNNNNNNNNNNNNNNNNNNNNNNNNNNNNNNNNNNNNNNNNNNNNNNNNNNNNNNNNNNNNNNNNNNNNNNNNNNNNNNNNNNNNNNNNNNNNNNNNNNNNNNNNNNNNNNNNNNNNNNNNNNNNNNNNNNNNNNNNNNNNNNNNNNNNNNNNNNNNNNNNNNNNNNNNNNNNNNNNNNNNNNNNNNNNNNNNNNNNNNNNNNNNNNNNNNNNNNNNNNNNNNNNNNNNNNNNNNNNNNNNNNNNNNNNNNNNNNNNNNNNNNNNNNNNNNNNNNNNNNNNNNNNNNNNNNNNNNNNNNNNNNNNNNNNNNNNNNNNNNNNNNNNNNNNNNNNNNNNNNNNNNNNNNNNNNNNNNNNNNNNNNNNNNNNNNNNNNNNNNNNNNNNNNNNNNNNNNNNNNNNNNNNNNNNNNNNNNNNNNNNNNNNNNNNNNNNNNNNNNNNNNNNNNNNNNNNNNNNNNNNNNNNNNNNNNNNNNNNNNNNNNNNNNNNNNNNNNNNNNNNNNNNNNNNNNNNNNNNNNNNNNNNNNNNNNNNNNNNNNNNNNNNNNNNNNNNNNNNNNNNNNNNNNNNNNNNNNNNNNNNNNNNNNNNNNNNNNNNNNNNNNNNNNNNNNNNNNNNNNNNNNNNNNNNNNNNNNNNNNNNNNNNNNNNNNNNNNNNNNNNNNNNNNNNNNNNNNNNNNNNNNNNNNNNNNNNNNNNNNNNNNNNNNNNNNNNNNNNNNNNNNNNNNNNNNNNNNNNNNNNNNNNNNNNNNNNNNNNNNNNNNNNNNNNNNNNNNNNNNNNNNNNNNNNNNNNNNNNNNNNNNNNNNNNNNNNNNNNNNNNNNNNNNNNNNNNNNNNNNNNNNNNNNNNNNNNNNNNNNNNNNNNNNNNNNNNNNNNNNNNNNNNNNNNNNNNNNNNNNNNNNNNNNNNNNNNNNNNNNNNNNNNNNNNNNNNNNNNNNNNNNNNNNNNNNNNNNNNNNNNNNNNNNNNNNNNNNNNNNNNNNNNNNNNNNNNNNNNNNNNNNNNNNNNNNNNNNNNNNNNNNNNNNNNNNNNNNNNNNNNNNNNNNNNNNNNNNNNNNNNNNNNNNNNNNNNNNNNNNNNNNNNNNNNNNNNNNNNNNNNNNNNNNNNNNNNNNNNNNNNNNNNNNNNNNNNNNNNNNNNNNNNNNNNNNNNNNNNNNNNNNNNNNNNNNNNNNNNNNNNNNNNNNNNNNNNNNNNNNNNNNNNNNNNNNNNNNNNNNNNNNNNNNNNNNNNNNNNNNNNNNNNNNNNNNNNNNNNNNNNNNNNNNNNNNNNNNNNNNNNNNNNNNNNNNNNNNNNNNNNNNNNNNNNNNNNNNNNNNNNNNNNNNNNNNNNNNNNNNNNNNNNNNNNNNNNNNNNNNNNNNNNNNNNNNNNNNNNNNNNNNNNNNNNNNNNNNNNNNNNNNNNNNNNNNNNNNNNNNNNNNNNNNNNNNNNNNNNNNNNNNNNNNNNNNNNNNNNNNNNNNNNNNNNNNNNNNNNNNNNNNNNNNNNNNNNNNNNNNNNNNNNNNNNNNNNNNNNNNNNNNNNNNNNNNNNNNNNNNNNNNNNNNNNNNNNNNNNNNNNNNNNNNNNNNNNNNNNNNNNNNNNNNNNNNNNNNNNNNNNNNNNNNNNNNNNNNNNNNNNNNNNNNNNNNNNNNNNNNNNNNNNNNNNNNNNNNNNNNNNNNNNNNNNNNNNNNNNNNNNNNNNNNNNNNNNNNNNNNNNNNNNNNNNNNNNNNNNNNNNNNNNNNNNNNNNNNNNNNNNNNNNNNNNNNNNNNNNNNNNNNNNNNNNNNNNNNNNNNNNNNNNNNNNNNNNNNNNNNNNNNNNNNNNNNNNNNNNNNNNNNNNNNNNNNNNNNNNNNNNNNNNNNNNNNNNNNNNNNNNNNNNNNNNNNNNNNNNNNNNNNNNNNNNNNNNNNNNNNNNNNNNNNNNNNNNNNNNNNNNNNNNNNNNNNNNNNNNNNNNNNNNNNNNNNNNNNNNNNNNNNNNNNNNNNNNNNNNNNNNNNNNNNNNNNNNNNNNNNNNNNNNNNNNNNNNNNNNNNNNNNNNNNNNNNNNNNNNNNNNNNNNNNNNNNNNNNNNNNNNNNNNNNNNNNNNNNNNNNNNNNNNNNNNNNNNNNNNNNNNNNNNNNNNNNNNNNNNNNNNNNNNNNNNNNNNNNNNNNNNNNNNNNNNNNNNNNNNNNNNNNNNNNNNNNNNNNNNNNNNNNNNNNNNNNNNNNNNNNNNNNNNNNNNNNNNNNNNNNNNNNNNNNNNNNNNNNNNNNNNNNNNNNNNNNNNNNNNNNNNNNNNNNNNNNNNNNNNNNNNNNNNNNNNNNNNNNNNNNNNNNNNNNNNNNNNNNNNNNNNNNNNNNNNNNNNNNNNNNNNNNNNNNNNNNNNNNNNNNNNNNNNNNNNNNNNNNNNNNNNNNNNNNNNNNNNNNNNNNNNNNNNNNNNNNNNNNNNNNNNNNNNNNNNNNNNNNNNNNNNNNNNNNNNNNNNNNNNNNNNNNNNNNNNNNNNNNNNNNNNNNNNNNNNNNNNNNNNNNNNNCUAACGGAAACUUAAAAAAAUGCCCAUUUUGCCCCCAAAACGAAAAUUAUAAUUUUACCCAAAAAAAUGCCAAAAAUAAUAAGAUUUAAUGAUGAGUAUCAUUAUUGGUACGUUAAUGAAGUACAAAAAAAUCUUAACUACUAGAGAUUAUAACUCAAUGAAUAAUAAAACUCUACUUAUCUUAAAUUCAAUUGAUGGUUUGCAAGAUUGGGCUAUUUUUAAAACUACUGUUAUAAUUUAGCAUUCUAAUUACAGACAUAUUUAAAAAAAAAAAACCUGUAUUUGAUAGUUGUGGAAUUAAUUUCUUUAUUGACCAAUGAAAAAAAUAAUUAGAUUUAAUCUGAUUAUUUUUUGUAAUUUUUAAGGUGAAAUUGUAAUUUUCGUUUUGGGGGUAAAAUGGUCAUUUUUUAAAGUUUCCGUUAGUUUUCUUAACGGAUUUCAAACGGAAGUGGAAAAGUGAAACAAAAUGUAACUUUAGGUGGAUUCCAGCCAAAAAAUGAAGGAAUUGUGUAUUUUUGAAAAAGGUGUAAAAAACAGGUGGACGGUGGAUAUUUUCCCAUGUUAAAAUUCUUUUGAGGAAAAGAAGACGCUGCAAAUUCUUCAAAGAAAAACACUGUAUUAUGUUUUGCGUGCACGCACUCGCACAACAUAAAGCCAACUCAUUCUAUAAUUAUAGUAAUAAAAUUUAAAAAUUACGGUUUUGAAGUGAUUGUAAAAAUAUUUAUAUAGGUCAGUCCGACCAUUUCUACCCACCAAGAUGGUUGGUUAAUCAUUGAUGUUGUGACACUUGAUAGAGCAGGAAGUACUAUAAAUUUUUAAUAUUAAAUUUUGAUGGUCGUACGUUCGACCCGAUUGCGAUCGCUCAAUAAUACUCACUGGUGAUCCCAUAACGGUACUUAUCGAGAGUAGUACGACUAACAUUUAAAAGUUUUUCUGGAAUUGCGAUGCUCAUGUGCCAACAAAUGCCACAAAACAAUUGGCAAACACGACCAAAUCAGCGGGUGAUGUGGUGGUAUUGGCACCACAGUAAUUAUAUUAUCUCUACCAACGUGUCGCCGCCAGAAUGAAGAGAAUACGAGGAAUACCAACAAAUAUUCUAUCACCCCUGUACAAGCACACACAGAAACACUCCAUUUAUUCCUGUUUUGACUGUUUUGUUGAGAGGGAAGAUGGAGACAACUAAUAUCGAAUAAUCCUCUCUCGCGCAGUCACUCUCAACUGAACAUUUCUCUAUGUACGGACACUUCAAAAGAAAUUGAAAUGUUUCUCAAAUUGGGAGAUUUCGAUGGGAACCGGUGGAGACCUAAACAGCUGUGGGAGCAAGCCUUGAAUCGAUGGAGAUCUGCCUGCGCUGCAGUCAAGAACCGCCGUGGAAGAUUCCGCGUGGUUGUACAAACAAAUAAGCUGCUGUUCUUUGUGUUGUUAUUUAAUCUCUCUGCUUCAGCUUAUGAUAUUCCGUUUCUUUAUGUCUUCUUGGCUGCUUCUUUUUCUUCUUGGUUGCUUGACUUUAAGGCCUCUUUGAAGUUCUACCUCGUUUGGUCUUUCUUUUUCCUCUUGGUCCUGCUUUUGUUCUUUAAUUCUUUUGCUGCCUUGGCUUUUUCGAAUUGAAUUCUUGUUGCUGCUUUUCUCUGCCUUGUUGCCUCCUUGUUGCCCCCCCCCCCCCCGGUCGCCCUCAUAAUCUUGCCCCUUUUAUAGAUAAUUUUGUGCUUAUCUAUUACAGGUGUCAAUACAAGUUACACAUGCCCAACACCUUGACUCUCCAGCACACUAGACUUAUGUUCUUUUAUUGUCCAACACGUUGCCACUUCAGCACACUAGGCUUAUACUUAAUUAAUUCAUUAACAGUUGCCAAUCUCGCCAAGCGUGCGGAGACAAGGGAUAACAAGCUCAAAAUGCAAGUUCUAUUUUACUCGCACUUUCAUUCCUUUAUUAUCUUCUUUUGUUGAAACAAUUUUUGUUUGAACUGAGGGUUAAUCCAACUCUCAUAUUUUCGUUAACUAUAAUGAUAGGCUUACAAAGCUGGAUACAAAGUCUGUAUCCCAGAUGAUGUGACUUUAUCUUGUGUGGUCAUGUGAUGAUUAGUUAUUAAGCCUUAUCACUUCUCAUCCGAAUGGUGAUUUUGUGUUGUUUCUGUUGGGGUACGAACUUUGUGAGUUUUGUUAAAUUGGUGUAAUGUAGAGAGUUUCAGUACCUUAAGAAUUUAAAGGGAGUGUGAACUGAAUUGAUAAAUGGUACAAAAUGAUUUUGACAUUGAAAUUAGUAGACCAAACUCAAGGCUGUCUGUUGUGUUACAGGAAAAAGUAGGAAUUGCGCUUUAUGUUCAAAAAGCUGCAUUGCAGUUGAUUGAUGAUGUGCCAUAAAGUGAAUACGUUGUGACCCACGUUCCAUAUUAUUUUCAAAAAGCUGCACUUAAUUUUACUAGAUCAUAUGACGAUGUGCCAUCAAGUGAAUACUAUGUGAAUGAGCCUGCCAAAGCUAGCAGAUUUCAAGAAUUUGUUGAUGACAUAGGAUCCACCAUUGAAGGCCAUGGUUUAAGGAUAGUCGAGCAUACAAACGCGGUCUUUUCCCGCCAUGUAGGGAAUCCAUUAACUUAUCCUGAAUUGAAGGCAACAUGCUUUGGGGUAUAUCUACAAAGUCAUCUUGUGUUGGAAGCAUCUUCAUCUAUGUGGAAUAUAUUUAGUAAUUCUUGUUCGGGUUCGCAUUGGUAUGACAUAAAUUUCAAUAUUAUAUGUCAUUACGUGAAUAUAUUGUGACCAAGGCUUCCAAAGUUAGAAGAAUUCAAGAUUUUGCUGAUGAUGUAGGAAGAAUUCAAGAUUGUGCUGAUGAUGUAGAAUAUGUUCCACACAAUGAUGAUGAUGAUGAUGAUGAUGAUUCUAAAGGUCAUCCAAUUAGCGUAAAUAUGGAACCGGUUUAUAUUGUUUCUCCGAAUGGGAAAUUUAGAAGAAGAUUGCUUUCAUGGCAAAAUGGUGAGCUUUUGGGAAGUGGGUCAUUUGGAUCUGUGUAUGAAGGCCUCGCUGAGUAAGUGAAAUCUGUUCCUGUGUUGAUAUACUUGCAACUCGUGAACAGGAGUUUUAUUGUUUUGAUUGUAUUUUAAUAUCCAUUUGAUUACAUAGCCUUAUUGAUAUGUACCUGCUGAAAGUUUUUAAUAAGUUAAAAGGAUGUACAAUGUCGGAUUGGAAGGAAGUUUCUAGGAAUUUAUUGAAUACUUUUUCUGCUUUCUGAACGAUUCUACAGGAAAAGUGAUAGACUUAACGAUGAGACCUCAAUGGGUUUUGGGUGUGCUACUUGUAAAUCUACUCGUCUUAUUUCUCAAGAUAAUCAUGCUAGACGAAUUCAAUUUUGUUUUUGAGGCAGGGAAAGUUGAUGAUGAGCUAGAUUGGAUAUUCUUUUCCGUAUUCUUACUUGAAACAAUGGCCUUUUGCAACUAUUUUACCAUUUACUUCUAAAUAUUUUUUAUAUUUUGAGGUGUAUUUUAUUUGUUUUGCUAUGCAUCCAUCUUGAAAGUGGUUAGGAUUAUAUUUAUACGGUCAGAUUAACUUGGCCUUGCUUUACUAUCUUUGAUAUGCAUGUUCAUGUGCACGCAUCCAUGAGCAUAUGCUUAUUUUUUAGCAAUUUCUGUCAUGCUUUCUGGUUUGUUUGUAGUGAUUUAUUCUUUUUUGCUGUGAAGGAGAUUUAUUUGCAGGAUCAAGGAACUCAGGGAAAACAGAGCAUUCUUCAAAUUAAGCAGGUGGUAUGAUUUCUCUAGUCCUGCUGGAAGUCCAGUACGGUACAUAUUGUUCUGUAGUUUUUUCUCUCCUUUAAAUUACAAAUAUGCAGUUGCUUAUUUUUAUUCUGCCUCUAAAUAGCUACAGGAUAAGAUCAUUUUUCUAAUAAUCUGUUUGAUAACCUACAUAUCGACAUGGUUGCUGUGUGGUUUGGUUCUAUAUCCAUUAGGAAUAAUUCUUUUAGAGCUUGUGUCAGUGUUCUUUAUUUUGCAUGCGUCAUUUGUUCGCAGGUGUGGCCAAGCCAGUUGCUAGUACCUUUAAGAAGAGCUUUGACAUGAGAAACACACUGUGUUAGUACAAUGCUAAGCAUCUUUUUUCUGUUGAAUCUGCCUGCCUGGCAAUUCUUGGCACUGAAAACAGAGAUGGUGCAUUCUAGGUGAAUAUGCACAAGGCACAACUGCUCAUGAUGCAAAAUCUGAGAAACUGAGAUGGUGCACACAUUCUUUCAUCGCUCAUCGACCUCCUGCGGACAGACCAGUGGCAUUUAAANNNNNNNNNNNNNNNNNNNNNNNNNNNNNNNNNNNNNNNNNNNNNNNNNNNNNNNNNNNNNNNNNNNNNNNNNNNNNNNNNNNNNNNNNNNNNNNNNNNNUUUACUAUGAGUACGCAUCCUCGGAUGGUAAGAAGAACCAUAGCUGCACCCAGAAUCAUUUACAGAAGCGACUACUUAUGGUGUUGGAAAAUGACUUUCUCUUUGGUCCAGUUGAUUGUUGCUCAUUUCUUUUAUUCUGGCAGAAUUUGCGUGUCAAGAACAAAUUUUAAUACAUCUGUUUUCCCAUUGGUCUUUCAUCUUUGCUAUAAUUGCUGCUGUGUUUACUUUCAAAUACGAUGGGGAAGUUUCUGACUCGUCGGGCCUCGACAGUGCGCUGUUGCCCUAGCUUCUGGUAAUCAGGUAUGAUUGUGAAAACAAUUGUAAUCAUCAAGCUGCACUAGGUGAAUUCGCAUAACUUAUCACCUCUAUGACUAUGAAUUCCUACAAAUAUAAAGAAAACUGCAUGAGACUGUAAGCUUUUGCAAGAUUGUGGAAAGAAGGAAAUAUAAAGAUUAUGAGAUUGCAUUUUGUAAGUCAAUAAUUUAGUCAUAUGAUGUCUAUAAAAGAUUGCUUUAAUAUUUUUUUUGUAUAAUGCUAGGGUGCCUCUGUAGAUUUAGAAAUCCUCUUAUGUAAUAAACGAUUGUUAUAGCAGUAUGGCUAAAUCAGUACAGAUAUCAAAUCUUUGAUAGUUUGCAUCUUUUUAGGUUCAUAUGCUAGAUGCUAUUCGCAAUGAGGAUCUAGAAGCAAACGGCAGCAUGCCUAUGUUGGCAGACUUCCGAUGAUUAAUGAAGAUGAUUCUGAGAAACGAGGUCCACAUGCUUGUUCUUCACUCUGCCUUCUGGCUUGCUUUUUCUCUCAAACUAUUUACACAAACUCCCUUUUCAGUACCAGAAGCUUUAUAUAUGUUAAUAGAUGGGUUUGUGAGUAAUGUAUCGGUGGUUUAUUUUAGGAGUCUCACAAUUUGAUUUUUGUUUCAUGGUUAGGGCCUAGAGGAGGCAUUUGCCCCCAUUUGCUAAUUUGAUUCAGAUUCAAAGUUUUAGUCUUAGGUGUUACAAUUUCAAUUACUUUGUAUUCGAGUCGGAUAAAAAUCUGUAACUUCGAUUAUAACUACUCAAUAUAUACAUGUAUUAUCUUAUCUAUAGAGCUCGUUGAGGGGGUUAAAUGAUGGUGUUAGUCUUUUCGUGUAAAGUUAUUUGAGAUUCCUGAAAUUCAUGAAAUUGUAUUAUGCCAAUUAGAACAAAUGAAACUGCUUUGAUUGGGUCACACAAGAAACUUUUGAUGUGCCAAUUAAUUAUCAUUGGCAUGGUCAAUUGUAUUGGGUAAAGAUACACUAUAUGAUAUGAAUCUUUUUAAAAAGUGAUUUUAUUAUUAUUAUUAUCAUUAUUAUUAUUUAACAUAAGAAUUUUAUUAUUAUUAUUAAUUUUAAAACAUUAUAAUCGGGUAAUUAUAGACCCUUAGAUUUGUAUGUUUUAAUCAUAAUCAUCCAACUUCCUGUUGAUCAAAUUCACUGCAAAAGUAGCUAUUGUUCCUGCUGCAUAGCGGCUUUUUAACCAGAAGUUUUGCAUGCAGCCUCCAGAAACUAGUUCAAAUAAUCAAUUAACAUCACCACGCAAUCAACAGAACAUCCUGCUAGCUAUAUUCUUGUCGCUAGUAGAUGUACAUUGGAUUAUUUCCUUGUGGUUGAAGAUUCAUCGAACCAAAUGGACCCAUAUGUAAUAAAAAAAUUAAUAAAUAACAAAAAAAGCUGGAGCACAAACAGAAAAUUAUAUAUUUUUCUGACAAAAUAAAGAGAUAGAUGGGGUAGUGAAAGAUUGAUUUUUGAUGACUCUUUUUCCACCAUUAGAGAAUAACAGCAACCAAAUUAUGUUUUUCACUUCAAUUAUUAUUAGUAUUAUUAAUAAUUAGGACUUCUUUAUCAACAUAAAUCUUUCGCUCAAAUUCAACAACCAAAGUUGCCGGUGGGUUGUGCUCGGCUAAUCAAAUGCAAUUAGUAUAUUUAGGGUUUAGUCUUAGAUAGAAGUUAAGUACUUGAAAUGUAAUCAUAGAUAACGCAUUUCUUUUCCAAUCUAUAUAAUUCUUGCCAGUGAGUUUGUUUUGAUUCAGAAUAAUAGUAAGUGGGUCAGGGAAGACAUUUUCUGAAAAAUAAAACAUCCAUAUAUAAAUAAUUUGAUAUAAUAUUCACAAUAAAUAAUAAAAAUGCAAAAAACCAUAAAUGUGUUUUAAUUUAUUGUAACGAUAAUCUAGUACCGCUUUGACAAGCUAUCCGUUGGGGAAGUUGUGUCUGCACUUACUAGACCCAAUUAUCCAUUGGAUUAUAUACUUUCAUGUAAAGACAUGAUAAAUAAUUAUCGUUAUCUUUUUGGGCCUAAAUUUGUUAGUAGAGCUUCGUUGGGAAGGUUAAUAACAAAUUUUAAUUGAUUGUAUAACCAUUGUUUCAUUCUAUGUAUCUUCCAUACCAUGCCGCCGCCGUUAGGGUAAUCAACAUAUUGAAAAAUAUGUCAAUCUUAUCUAUAAAGAAGUUCAUCAAAUAAAAUGUCUAAUAUAUAUACCCUCCGUAGGGAGCAUCACCGUAUCAUGAAGUCAAAGUAUAUAUAUAAUUUUAUUAUUGAACUAACAAUGGAGCCCGUGGGAAAAAUUAUCUUGAAUUUUCCCUCUCCCACUCAAUAUUUUAAAAUUGGUUUUUCCUUUUUAGAACAUACAUUGAUUAUAUAUUGUUAAUUGCAUGCUUAUAAUAUUAUCUAGAUGAUAUCCAAUAUUAUUAAGCAUUUGCAAAUUGCAAACAAUAUAAUGAGAUUCAUAAUUUAUGAAUGACAUGUAUCAUUAUGCAUAGAGUGACACUAUUUAUUCUAUAUGACAUGUUAUCAUGGCAUGCUAUCAUCCAAAACAUAACAUAAAGAAAAAUAAUUAAAUAAUCUUAAUUCAUGGCUUUCCUAAAAUGAAAAAUACAUUAAUCCUAAGCCUAAUCUUCAUUAGGUUUCUUGUCAGUGUCCAUUUUCCAUAGGCUUUUCUUUGUUAAUGGAAUAGGGAAAAUUGGACUUUUAAAUUUAUUAUUGGUCCAAUUUUAAUUUUGAAAGAAAAUAAAUAUUUUUUUUAAAAUAAAACUUUUGGACCAAAAAUAGAUUUAAUGUGUUAAACUUUAUCUAUGCAUUUUAAUCCAUUAAGCCCAAUUUCAAUUGGACCUAAAACUAUGAUUCAUUAAGUCCAAAAUUAUUUUUGAACUUAAAUGCAGAAAAUUAAAACUUGUCUGCCCAAAAAAUAAAACUAUGAAACUAUAGGGACUUCAACAAUAUAAAUCAUUGAAAAACCCUAAAAUCCAUAUUUUUCUUCCCAGCCGCCAUCACCACAAAGACCAGCCACUGUUCAGAUGCCUCACCCUUCUCUAACAUCGAGUUAACCGCUGCCACACCGGAAAGCUACCAAGAUGCCGUCUGCUUCGAGCAUGCGACCAGCCCACGCAUGCAUUACUGGCAGCGUUGCUUACAGCACGCGCUACUGGGCAUGCACUGUUUGGUGGCUGCCGCUGAAAUUUUCGGCCUUCGUUUCUUGAUUUCCUCAUGUCGUGAUUAUUCUCCAGUGAUUUACAAAUAUCUUAAGCCAAUUUUUGGCUUACAAAAUUUCUAUAACAGUAAAUUAAAUCAAGAGGGAAACAUGGUGAUAAAAAACCACCCCUCUUGUUAUAGAUCCAAAGAAAGAAAUACAACAGAGAAUCUAACCAUGAAUUAAGACAAACCAAAAGCAUGCUUUAUUCAUAUAUUAAACAAAUAAUAGUUAUCUAAAUAAAUCGUGCCACUCUAAUACAUAAAUGUCAAGAUUGAUUUCAUAUGAAAUUUUUAUGUAUUAAUAUGAGAUGGCUCUGAUACUAAUUGUUAGGGAAAAUUAGUUUUUUUUUUUAAAAUUUUAUACAAACUUUUAGGACAGAUCUCAUAUAGUAGAUAAGAGUUCGUAAUCUAGAAAAUGAUACCUUGAUAAUCCGACUUUGCUUUUUCACUGAAAUAAUCUAGGCGCCUAGAUCAUGAUUCAUCACCACCACUCCUUGUUAAAUCACGAUCCACCACCUAUGAUCUUCCAGGUUAUAACUCAAGUUUGAUCUGCACUUGACGUGUGGGCGCCUUUAUCAUCACUAAAAGCAACUAGCAAGAGAAACUAUUCCUUUCAAAAUUGGAGAGAAAAAUUCUUUUUCCUCUAAUCUGUAUAUUGUGGCUUCUGUAUCUUUUUUUUUUUUUUAAAGAAAACAAACCCUUUUAUAUCUCUAUUUGGUGGAAACCCUAGGCUCCAUAUUAAUAUAUCUUUUAAGUCUAUUAAAUCAAAUUUGAUUUAAAUUAAAAAAUAAUAAAACCAAAAGUGGCAUUACUUGUUCUUUAUUAUAGGGGCUCACCUUGUAAAAUAACACAAAACCCCUUACACAUAAACAUAUUAAAUAGAGCCUCUCACUAAAUAAUAUAUUUAGGCUUUUAACCCAAAUAGCUAGUUAUCUUGCUUAUUAAUCUAGCAGUGGUGCAAUCAAUUAAAUCUACCCAGGGAUCAUAUUGGUACAUACAAUAGUGGCUAUAAUAAUUAGGCAUGUAAUUAAAUUAUCCCAAUUAUUUAAUUCCAAAUCUACUCCACUAAAAGAUUGGAACUUACCUCCAAACUUUUAUGUUAUCAAAGAUAGUGUUCUCGAAUAAUAAUUCAACCCAUGCCGCAUUGAUUUCUUUACUAUACAAUUCUUUGUAUCACAUCGUUAAUUAAAUCAAUAUCUUAACUGUCCAAUCAAUUUAAUUACAUCUUGUUCCUUGAUACUUACUGGUUCCCUCUAAUAAUCAUUUUCAAUAUACUAAAUAUGUUGACACACUCUGGUAAGAGAAUUCUAUGAUCAAGUGCCGAAAACUUAUCAAGAGACGUGUCGUACAAAUUCUAUGUUGUUAAUUUAUAACUUCAAUACUCAUAAUUGCUCCCACCAAGAUAAUGAGUAAUCUUGACUACAAGUGUAUGUCGUGCCCAUUGGUAACUCAAAUGGAAUAACAAUUACAAUCAUGAAAUUAUAACUAACUGAAGAUUAAGAUUACAUUAAAAUAAAUGCUUAUGAGAUUUAAUACAUCUGACAGUUAUUACAAAGUUAAGAGAAAUAGAUUUACUAGAAGAAUAAGAAAUUGAUCUAAAUAGUCAACCUACUCUUAUUAAGGGAAAUACUACAAAAUCCAUAGAAUAUGCUCCAGAGGGAAGAAUCAUCAUAGGAAAUAAAAGAUCAUUCUCUAUUCCUAAACGAGAAUCGGAAUUAAGUAGAACCCAAAGUUUUACUAGAUGUAGUCAUCUUGUGAUACCACCUUCACAUAAAAUAUUAACUACAGUAAGAAAAAAUAACCAAAAUCUAAAAAUUAAGAUUGAAUACAAUAAUGGAAAAUCUUGGCAUGAGACUUUUGUUAUUCCUGAUACAGGAGCCUCAAAAAUCUUACGUAGAUGCCAAAAUGAUCAAAUAUUUAGAAAGAAAAGUUCUAAUUUAACCUCAUAUUUAUAUAGGAUUUACUGGAGAAAGAAAAACGUUAAGUCAAUAUUGUGAUAUACCAUUAAAAUUAAAAGGAAUAGAAUUCAUCUUUCCUUUCUUCAUAGAACCAGAUUAUAAAAUAGAAGUAAGUCCUUUGUUAUUAGGGAUGAACUUUCUUGAGAAUUUAUCACCUUAUUGCAUAGGAGAUAGAGAAAUAAGCAUAACAAUUGAAGGAAUUUAACAAACCCUAUUAAGAUAUGUCUAAUCCUUUUAUAGUUUAUAUAAAAGUGAUUGUACCAUAUUAUAAGCAUAAACCAGAAUGGUUCCAUGCUUUAAUAGAUACUGGUUCAGGAGUUAGUUUAGCCAACUCCAGGAUUUAUCCAAAAUCAUAUUGGAAAGAUUAUAAACCUUUAAUAGUGCAAGGAAUAAAUGGUGAAUAGAUCACUUUAGGAACAUGUAGGAUUAAGACUUUAAUCCAAAUUGAAGAUUACAUCUUAAGUAUCCCUAUAUUAUAGUCUUAUAAUCAUAUGGGAGUAGAUAAACUUUUAGGAGUUAAUUUUCUUCGAUAGUUCAUUUAUAUAAUGACUAAUGAAGCAAUUACACUUAAAACACCAUGUAAUCAUUCUAUUACUGCCCCUAGGAUUUAUAGCCCGAUUAGGCGAACAACUCGAAAAUUACAUUUUCGAAGCAGCUAGCGUGGUGAAUAUAAUAUAAAAUUUAAUCAAAUCAUAUCAUAUUAUGAAAAAAUCUUAGAAAAACUUGAUAAAAAUUUUGGUGAAAACCCAAUUCAAUUAUGGGAAAUAGCUAAAACAUAUGCUAAAAUAGAAUUAAAAGAUCCAAAUGUUAUUAUAAGAGUCAAACCUAUGAGGUAUGGACAAGAAGAUAGACAAGAAUUUGAUAAACAAAUUAAAGAGUUAUUAGAACUCAAGAUAAUUCGAGAAUCUAAAAGUCCUCAUAGUAGUCCAGCCUUUAUAGUUAGAAAUCAUGCAGAAAUCAAAUAAGGAAAAGCUUGUAUGGAUAUUAAUUAUAAAGAAUUAAAUAAAUAUACCAAAUUUGAUGGAUACUUUUUACCUCACAAAGAUACAUUAAUUAUUUUUGUGAUCAAUAAACAGAUGUUUAGUAAGUUUGAUUACAAAUAAGGAUUUUGGCAAAUCAAACUUGAAGAAGAAAUUAUACCACUUACUGCCUUUAGUACACCUCAAGGAUAAUAUGAAUGGAUUAUAAUGCCUUUUGGAUUAAAAAAUGCACUACAAAUAUUUCAAAGAAGGAUGGAUAAAAUCUUUAAAGAAUUUCAUGAAUUCUGCAUAGUUUAUGUAGAUCACAUACUAAUAUUCUCAUAUAAUAAGAUAGACCAUAUUAAUUAUCUCGUUUCUUUUGCAGAAAAAUGUAAGAAACAUGGAAUAUUACUUUCUAAAAAGAAAGCUGAAAUAAUAAAACCCAGAAUAGAAUUUCUAGCAUUAAUAAUAGAUGAAACAGGAAUAGAAAUGCAACCUCAUAUUUCUGAAAAAAAUAUAUUUAUUUCCAAAUAAAUUAGAAUCUAAAGAACAAAUUCAAAGAUUUUUAGGAUGUCUUAAUUAUGCUGAAGGUUUCAUAGAAAACUUAGCUAAAGAAAGACAACCCUUACAAGGAUUAUUGAAAAGGAAUAAUACAAUAUCAUAGGAAGAACUCUAUACCAAAGUAGUAAAAAGAUUAAAAGAAAAAUGUAAAAAUCUUCCAAGGUUAGGAUUCCCUACCUCUAGUGAUAAUUUAAUUCUUAAAACAGCUGCUUUAGAUAAUCACUGGGGUGUAAUAGAUCAAGAAAAGAUUUUUAGAAAUGCCAGUGGAACAUUCAAACCCGCAGAAAAGAAUUAUCAUAGUAAUGAAAAGGAAUUAUUAGCUAUUAAAAACGGUAGCUAAAUUUACCUUCUUUUUAUUACUAAAGAAAUUCAAGGUAAGAUCUGAUAACAAUCAGGUAAAAAGAUUUAUAUUUAAUAAAUUACCUAAUCUCCCCCAAUAUAAAAGAUUAAUUAGAUGGCAACAGUUUUUUGCUGGAUAUGAUUUUGAAAUUUAAUAUAUUAAAGGAUCUAACAAUUGUAUUGCAGAUUUUCUUAGCCGAGAAUACAAUGGAGAAGAGUCUUUCCAAAAUAAUUAAGGGCAUAAUGAUGUGCUCUGAAGGAUAAGAAUUGCUUCUCAAAGGCAACAAUAUGAUUUAUGAUGGGCUUGCCAUGAUUGAUGAUGCCCAUGAAGAAUUGAGCAAACUUUGCCUAGACAAAAGUUUGCAAAAUCAUCUAAAAUCAAGACUUCAGAACAAUAUCUUAGCAACAUGCUAAAAAAGGUCCUUUACAAGGAUCAAACUGAGGGACAGAUCGCCUAGAGUUCUUCACAGAACUCAAAGAUGACUCAUCUAGAGAACUUUCCCACAAUCAAGGAUCUUAAAGAACAAUAUGUGAAGAAAGAAGAAUUACAAGGGUCUAUAGUAAACUUAAGGCCCAAAUAUGAUAAAAGCGGACAAUCUGUUCCUAUGGUUAAAAUUUCAUUAGGAAGUGACUACGCUUAUGAUUAUAAAAGAAUUGGUAAAAUAGCCUAUGGCAUUCGUCCUAGCCAGGUUAUAAUACCAGAUCAUUUAAGGUUAUACUUAAGGAUAAACUUUAUACCAAGAGCUUAUCCAAAAUUGAUAAAGGACAUGUUUGAUUAUGGUUUUCUUAACCUUGUAUAUGUUAGUGAUGAUUGUAGGGAAAUAAAAGAACUCCCAGAAAAAAAUUACAGAGGCUGCCAAUGACCUCAAAAGGAUAUCCAAAACAAAAGAAAUGAUUUUUGUCAAGAUCCUCAUUGCUUGUCCUGAAUACUGUGGAAACAAGUGGUAUCCAGCUCAACACAUGAUUCAAGUUGGAAUUAGCAGCAAAAAAGUUAGUCCAACUAUUUGUCUAGAUCAAGUCUACAAUGAUUAUGAUCCUAAAUUAUUCGAGCCUAAAGCACUCACCAGCAAAAGGCCUAUAGGAAUGAAAGUCCUCUAUGAAUCUCUUGAGAGGAUAAGUAAAGAAAAAAUAUGGCUCCACGAAGCCACAAGCCACAAAAGAGCAUAUAAUCUUUUCUAUGAGUAGAAAAGAUAACAUUUUAUUCAGACAAGCCAAAUCAAAAAAGGAAAAAGCAAUAUAUUAAAAUCUCGUGGAAUCCAGCUUGCCGACAUAACACGAGAUAUGCAAGGUGCUAAAGCAUCAGUCAUCAUAUGGCUACUGCUAUGAAGGAUCAAAAAGGGAAUCUAAUGGGGAAGACAUAUAGCUAGAUGAAGAUAUGGUAAUUGGCAUGUGACGAGAACCACCAGAAAAGAUAAAAGAUGCUAUCCAAAUAGCGUCAAUAAUUCAUAAAGCAAGAUUCCAAAAAGAUAAAGGCUUUCUACCACGAAGAAAAGAGGACAACCAUUGUCUUCAAUUAUAGAAGGAGGAGGGGUCACCUUAUCAAGAGGAAAUCCAUGAUCCACCAGAAAAAUCAAACAAGUGUCAUGUAAAAGAGAACCUUAUCUCUUUAGAAUUAUAAAUAGAAUCAUAAAAGAAGGGAAGGACAUCACUUGUUCAUCACAUGUCCAACUUUCACCCUCUGUUGUAUAUUCUUUAUAACCAAUCCCUGUAAACAAUUCCAUGUUAACAUUUAUAUAUUCAUAAUGUUGAUUUUUGAUGAUAACAAACAAAAUUAAGAAUGAUUCAGUUUUUAAAAGCUCAAAUUAUUUUUAUACAUUUUAAAUAAAUCAUUAUUUUCACAUUUUAAAGGUUUUAUAUUUAAUGGAAAAAUGAUUUUAUGAAAUUAUUUGUUUUUCAGGUUUAUGGUUUAAUUGAAAGAGUUUUGAAAACUUUGAAAUCAACAAGUAUUGCUUGAAAUUUUGGAGAAGGAUUUAUUUGAAAAGUAUUCAUAGCAUUUUGGGCUAUAUCAUAAUUUCAGAAAGUUUUGAGAAUAGUAAGCAUUAUUUAGAAAUUCUGAAAUUGGACUUAUUUGCUAAAUGUAUAAUGUUUUGGGUUAUAGUACAGUUAUAUAAAGUUUUGGGGUCAAACUAUUAUUUUAUAAAAUAGUUCACUGUAGUAGUAACUGUAGCAGUUACUGUAGAAAACGGCGAUCUGACAAUUUUGAUAAACGGCUCGCCGAUAUCGAACAUAACUAAAGAUUAGCCUCUGGACCUAAAGGGCAAUCCGACAUCUAGAUAACGGCGAUCCGACAAUUUAAAAAUUCAGCCCAACGGUCAUAUUGACCAGUCAAACAACGAUCCGACAUCUAGUUAACGGCGAUCCGACAGUGAGCAAAAAAUCAAUAAUGGCUAGUUUUCAGCUCCAACUAUAAAUAAACUCAAUCUAAUUCAAACAAAGACAAAUCCAAGAGUUAUCAUUGAGUUUUCUAUUGAGCAUAAAACUAUUAUUGAGCUUUGAACUUGUUUCUAUUUCUUUGAUUCACACAUUGGGUAUUCAUUUGUAAUCAAACACAUUGUGUGAGAGAAAAUUCAUUUGUAAUAUUUAUCCUUGAGAGGUUGUAAGUGUUGAAAUACACUUGGAUUAAGAGAUUGAGGAUAAUCUCUUGUUGUAAAGGUCCAUUGUGUUUGCUUGUUUUUCUUUUGUUUCUUUGUGUGUUUCUCCUUGGGUGACGGCUCUCUUCCAUUCCUUAUGAUGUGUGCUUCUUUUAUAGUUGAAAAUUAGGGUAAACGAAAGCCUAAGUCGCGCAUAAGUCAGAUUAGGAAACUGCAGAUCCCAAGUCUGCAGUUAUCCCGCACAAAAUUUUCUCUGUCGUUGUUCCAGGAUUGCUACAGCAAUGGUUGCUACAACAAUAUCUACAGCAAUUGCACUGUUCCAGAUUUGUUUCAACUCUUUUGUAGCCAUGUUCUUUUCUUAUUUUUUGCAAGCCUAUUGCAUAGCAUUCCUUCCAUGAAUUAUAAGCUUCUGGAAACCUACAAUUAUGCACACAAUUUAAGCACAAAUUACUUUAAAUCGAGCAAAACUUAUUAAGAUUGACUAAAAUGAUUAUUUAUGCAAAAUGUAACAAAAAUGCAAUAGAAACACAUAAUUUACUCUCUAAGUAGUAUUGAUUUAAAUCUAAAAGUGCCAUGAUAACUCUCAUUUCAUAGAGUUAUCACCGAUAUCGAACAGAACUGAAGAUUAGCCUCUGGACCUAAACGACGAUCUGACAUCUAGAUAACGACGAUCCGAAAAUUUGAAAAUUCAGCCCAACGGUCAUAUUGACCAGUCAAUUGGUGAUCCGACAUCUAGUUAACGGCGAUCCGACAGUGAGUAGAAAAUCAAUAACUGCUAGUUUUCAGCUCCAACUAUAAAUAAGCUCAAUCUAAUUCAAACAAAGAUAGAUCCACGAGUUAUCAUUGAGCUUGCUAUUGAGCAUAAAACUAUUAUUGAGCUUUGAACUUAUUUUUGUUUCUUUGAUUCACCCAUUGAGUAUUCAUUUGUAAUCAAACACAUUGUGUGAGAGAAAAUUCAUUUAUAAUAUUUAUCCUUGAGAGGUUGUAAGUGUUGAGAUACACUUGGGUUAAGAGAUUGGGGAUAAUCUCUUGUUGUAAAGGUCCAUUGACACCUUGGAAGUCAAUCGUAAGCGUUUGAAGCCUUGGGAGGCUAGCUUAGUGAAAUCCUCAAGCCCGGUGAGCUUGGAGGCGUGGAUGUAGGCGGGGGUUGCCGAACCACGUAAAAAUCAUUGUGUUUGCUCUCUCUUCCCUUAUCUUUUUAUAUUGUGAUUGAUUUAUUUGUUAUUGCUUUAAAUUAGUUUUGGAUUUGCAUUGAGUUUUGUUUUAAAAUUGAAUAAUUUUUAAUAUCCCCAUUCACCCCCCUUGGGUUGCCUAGUUAAUAUUUCAUUCCAGUUAUGAAAUAAAUAAAACCCUUUUGAGUGAAAUUAUCAUCUUCCAGAUAUCUUAUAUACUUUUAGAAAAUAAUGAAGAAUCUUACAUGCGAAUACUUGUGCUAUCAUGUUAGGCCAAUUUGCUAUGUGUUGCGUUAGUCCGUGUGGAACAGUCGCUGAAGUGAUCUUGUAUGAUGUGUGGAGCUAUGGCAGUGCUAACCAUGGACCUCUCCAUGGUUGGAGGCAAUUAAUGAAUCUAUCUUAGAAUUCCGAGGGAUAGUACAUUGGUUAGUAAUCUUGAACUCUUCUUUCAUUUUAGCAACAAACGAAAGCCUGUUGGGCCUUGUUUGUUUUAUGAGAUGUUAUAAGAAAGGAAGUGAUAAAAGUAACUCACUUUCAUAAAAAUGGAAAGAUUUGUUAAUAAAUUUCUAGAUGCAAUUGAUCAUUUAGACUUUUGUCAAGGAUACCAGGUUGCUUAUACAAUUUCGAUAAUAAAAACUAGAUUAAAUACAAGUAAAUGUUUUUAUGAAGAAAUGAAAAGAAUUAAUGAUCCAUAAAUAUUUGAUUCAUUUGAAGAAAACAAGAUAACAUUAAUAGAAUCAAUUCUAUCUUGUCUUGAAGUAAUCCAAGACAGGUGUAAGACUAAUAAUAGAACUCAAAAUCGAGUGUAAUGGAUAAUAAUAAUAAUAUGGAAAUAUUGAUUCAAGAUGCAAAUCUCAAUUUACAAUUUAUAUUUGAUAGUUUUGAUAGGAUAUAUCUAAGUUGGGAAGAUAGCUUAGGAAUAUAUAUAGAUAUGUUAGAAGAAAAGAUUUGGUCUAUGUCUCAAAAGAGACAAAUGAUUAUAAAUACAGGAAUUAAUUCACACAUAGAUCUCUAUGAACGAGAUAAUCAUUUAACACUUUAUAAAGAUAUAGUUAAAACAUUAAAGAAAUUUGAGGAUAGAUGCAGAAGAGAUUGAAGGAGAAAUGCUCCAAUCAAUCAAAAUUAAUAAGAUCUAUAAAUUCUAAAAUAGGAUAAAAUUUUGAAAUAAUUUGCAAAAUGGUCCUUUUUGUACAAAUUUAUGUAAGAAUAUCAUUAUUGAAGGUGAAAACAAACAAGAUUCUAAUAUUUCAGCCACUAAAGUUGCCUCCUUCAAUCGAUUCUUCCAAGUGUCAUUUUGGUUUUGGGGGUUUAAAUUUGUCAAUUAUAUACAUUCUUUUUUUAUCACAAGCAUAAACUAGCAUAUGACAAUCUAACUUCUAUAUCUAAAGUUGCAAUUUCAAUUUUGUCAAUGGAAUAACUAAACCUUUAAGAGUCAUAUAAAUGUCAUUUCAAUUUUGGUUGCUUCUAAUUUCAAAGUUUAUCACUACGUGGAUUUUAGUUACUAAUUAGCAUCACAAAUACUCUGUUUUGUACUUUAAACAUAUCUAUUAGCUACGUCUAUCGCCACAUGUAAUCAUCGCUAGAUUAUCAAGUAAUAAUAACAAUUAAAGCAAUCGCCUUCCAACUUUUGGAAAUAUCGGCAAAAAUCGUUGUACAAGAGCAUAGAGAUGGCAUACAAUUAUAUUAUAAUGAAACUUUAAUAAAUUUAAAAUGUUCUAGUUUCAAAAGACAUCUUGGACUAACUUCUGUUAUCGUUUCAUUCUUAUACCUUUAUUUAUUUUUUUCAUUGCUUUACUUCUAGAUUAAUUGGCCUUGGAACUUUGGGUAUUGUUAUAAAAGCUCAAAUGAGCUUAAUCUCUUUGUUUGGAAGCUGAGAAAAUGAAAAGGAAUAUUUUGGAUCUUUGAUUUUUGUUUCCUGCAUAAAAAUGAUAAUUACAUCCGUAUUUAUACUAAGCUAAUUACACAAGAAAGAAUUACAACGUAAGCUUAACAAGCUAAAAUAGAAUGCAGAGCAUGUAUAACUAUAUUCAUUUAGCUAGCAUAUACAAGUAGCUAACACUGCUGACUAGGCUAAACCAACGCGUGCUGAGUGUGCAAUUAUAUACAACAUGUGUUUCCUUUUAUAGCCCCCUCAAGCUCAAGAGGCAUGACGCACAUUGAGUUUGGCUCUAAAACAGUUGGAAUAAUAUACUCUUUACUUAGAAUGUAGUUAAUUUUCAACUCUUUUGCCAACACUUUGUCUCUAAUGAAAUGCAUAUCUAAUUCAAUAUGCUUAGUUAUUGAAUGGUAAAUAGAGCUCUUAGCUAGCUUUAUUGCAUUCAUAUUAUUACACCACAUUGUAGGCAAUAAAGUACAAUUAAUCUUGAGUUCACUGAACAAUGACUGAAGCUAUGUUACACUUAUUUCAGAACUUGUAGAAGCAAGAGCUCUUUAUUCACUUUCUACGCUACAACUUGUAACGUAAGAUUACUUCUUAGAUGACCAGGAUAUCAGGUUGUUUCCCAACUAAAUCCAAUAUUCACCUAUUAACUUUCUAUCAUCAAUGUCACAUGCCCAAUCUAUGUCCAUAUAACCUAUAAGCUUUAUUUUUCCUCCAACUGAGAAUUUCAACCUAUAAUGUUGAAUAUCCUUCAAAUAUCUAAGAGCUCUUUUAUAGGCCAUUACUUCUCCAAUUUUCUAAUAUUAUGGCCUAUAAUUAAUAUAUCAACAUGACAGCAUAGAUUAAGACCAAUAUCAUUGAGCCUUGUAUCUCUUGAAAAAAGAGAAGUAUCUACUUUAGGAUUUUGAAAUCCCCAAUUAGCAACCAAACAAGUCUUUAGCUUAUCAUAACCAGCCCUAGGAGCUUAUUUCAAUCCAUGCAAUGCUUUCUUUAACUUACACACAUAAUUGGAUUUCUGUAAAUCAACAAAUCUCUUAAGUUGAUACAUGUAAACAUCCUUUAUUAAUUUUCCAUUCAAAAAAGCAUUAUUCACAUCAACUUGUCUUAUUAUCCACCUGUUCAUUAUAGCCCAACUCAACAUAACCUUAGUGUUGAAGCUUUCACAACAUGACUAAAUGUUUCAAAGUAAUUCACACAUUCAGUCUGCUGAAAGCCCUUUACUACUAGCCUAGAUGUUUUGCUUAAUUCUGAAUACUCACUUGUUAUCAACAACUUUGUGUUCAACUAAAGGUGGCACCAAUGACAAUGUCUCACUCCUCGUUAAUGCUUCGUAUUAAUCUCUCAUAGCUUAAUGACAGUUCUAAUCCUUUAGAGUAUUUUUUUUUACUAUAUUAGGUUCUUUGUUGGUUAAAAUGGCUAUAUGAAUCUUUGGUUUUCAAAUUCUAGCCUUUGAUCUUGUAAUCAUUUUGUGAGAGAGUUGUGGAGGUAAGGUUAAAGUUGGAUUUUGAUUUGUAUGUUAUUGGUGGCUAAUUAUGCUUCAAUUGAAGACUGAGUUUGUCCUGGAUUUGUAAGAGGUUUAUAAGAUGGAGAUGAAUGAUGGCUGUCGAAGCCAGCAAAAAUAAAUACAUACUCUAAAUAAAUUGUGUAUAGUGAUUGAGCAGGGUCGUGUCCACAAAGAUCGGUAAUUAUUUAAAUCCUUUUAAAUUGUAAAAUGCAAAAUGGGGGGGAUUGUUGACAAUAAUAAAAAUCAAAUUAAAAUAACAAGAAUGCAAAUUAAAAUUGUAAUUCAAAUUGGUAAAAGCUCUGGUUGAAGGAAUUAAUUCAGCUUGAUUCGACUACUGAUCAUGGAUUCAAAUAUAAAUUAUUUCUACUUAUGAAUAGACCGGUUAUAGCUAAUGAGACCCUCUAAUAGCCAAUAUCUCCUUAACUAGUCGAUAACCAAAGUACGACCAUUGGUUAUUUCCCUAAUCAAUAGACAACCCUAGAUAAGAUCAUAGGAUUUAAUCAAUUAACAACCUGAAAAACUAGAGAGACCCAAAUCCUAAUCAACAAAUGCAUAUGAUGGUUAAUUUAAAUUAGAUUGUUUAUUCUCAUAACACAACACACUGCUAUGCUAUUUGUCACAAACAUUAAAAUCUUCAUACAAUAAAUCUUUUAAUUGACAAUAGAUUAAGUUGAUAAUUAAAUAGUGGCUAAUUAUCUAAUUAACAAACAUAAUCAUGACAAUAAUUUAGAGAAUAAACAAAUACCUAAAAAGCAAUAAAACAAUUAAAGCAUAAGAAAGAUCUCACAGUAUUGAUGAAUCAAAGCUUUAUUAACCUUCAACCAGAAUAAUAGGUUUAGUUCUUCAUAGAAAGAAGAGAAAAAUUUAGAUCUAGGCUUUCUUUUUCUUUCUUUCUUUGACAAUAGAUUCCUCUCUUCAAUUCUCUUCCCUCCCUUCUCCUCUAGAGUUCUUUUUAAAAUAAAAUACUAAUAUUUAAAAUAUUAUCUAAAUAUUAAAUUCGUAAUUACAAAAAUAACCAAAAAGACAAAACACAUUAAAAUAAAAAUUGCAGGUCCUUAGUUGACAGCACGCGCCCACGCCUUAUGAACAAAGUUCUUCUGAAGCUUAUAAUUUCUCCAGGAAAACAAUCAUCCUCAAACAUCAUCUUGUAGCUCAAUUUUAGCACCAAUCAAUAGAAUUGAACCUGCAAAAAUAAAACACAAGUAAAUCACUAUUAUUAAGUGCCAAACAUCGAUAUUAAAGGAAGUAAACAAUGCAAAACUAGUGCAUAAAUUGCACUCUAACAAAUUCCCCCACAUCAAGAUAAUGCUUGUUCUCAAGCAUAUAACUCUAGACUAAUCCCAAAUCUCCACUCAAUUCUCAUCUCAACUCAUCCAAAAACAAUCUUAAGCAAGCAUACCUCAAGAAUUUAAGUCAAUCAACAUUCGAGAGAUAAGGAUUUUAAAGCAUAGAAUCUCAUAAGCUAGAAUAAAAACAUUCAACCACCAAGAAGAUCCAUUCAAAAUUCAAGUGCAACAAGAUUUAAUAGCCCUCUCAUUGACUUCACUCCAUGCACUCAAAGUGUUUAGGGUAUCAUUUAUGCACUCAAAUCAAAUCAAAGAAUGCUAUUACUAUAAGCUUGCUCAUAUAUCACAUCUCAAUCCACAAAAAAUGAAUUAAAUGCAAAAAUCUAAGGGUCUUAGAAAGGUUGUAACAGGGUUAAAUGGAUUAAAUGAAAAAAAAAAGGUCUAUGAAAGAAAAAGAGAUCAAAAUGAGAAGAAUGAACUCAUUGAAUGAACCUUAUGAUAUCAAAACGCUUAUUUCUACUCAAGUCGCCAAGAAUGUAAACAUUUUUUUUUCUCUUUUCUUUUUUUUUUUUGAUUUUUUUGUUGUUUUUUUUUUGUUUUUUGUUUUAAUCAAACAAAAGAAAUGAACCUUCCACAAUUUAAUUCAAGCAUAAUGCUUGUUGAUCUAAUUGAGAAACUUUAAUUCAAGGUAGCAAGAGAAACAAAAUAUAUACAAAAUAUAUCCAAACAAUUGAGUCCAAAAAUCUCCUUAAAUUGAGGCUCAAAAAGAAGGAAAAUGGGUAAGUAGAUGGAGAAAAUUAGAUGGGUAAUGGUUAAGGCUCAAACAAAGAUAACAAAUAAAGGUCUUCGGGUGGAGAAAAAGAAGAAAAAUGCGAAAAUAGAAAAAUGAAAAGUGGUUUGCCCUUAUCAUUUUAAUGCAUAAAAUCUCAUAAUGCGGCUUCAACAUGCAUAACAAAGCAAGUUCUAAAAUAUACAAACUAAGAUUUAUAUUCACAUAACAAAAAUAAUUAGAGCAAAGUGGUUGCUCAUAGGCUCAAAUCCUCACAAAGUUGGUAAAUUUGCCAUCAAAUCAUUUACACUCUUUAAAUGAAUCAACCAUCAAUAGUGGUGUAGAAUGAGAAGAAGGUAUGAGUGAUAUAUAAAAGGAAAGGUAAAAAGGAUAAGAAGCGAGAAAGAUUUAUGUAGUAAGAUAAAAAGUGAAAGAUAAAAUGUGAGUGAUGAAAGAGUAUGAUAGAAUAAAAAUAGAUGUAAAUAAUUUGAGAUAGAUGGGAAAAGAGUAGUGAGAAAGAAAAGAAAAGAAAAUAUAUGAAGCAUACUAACUCCAAAAUCAUUUAAGGAUGAGCAGAGUGAAAAUAUUACUUCUAGACAUCAAUAUUGCAAAAAUCCCUCCCCCACACCAAGAACUUACAUUGUCCCCAAUGUAAGAUAAUCAAAGUUCACUUAAAAAAAAAUAAAGCAUAACGAUAAAAGACUAAAGGAAAAACUUUCCUGAAUUGUGAGCUUUGAUCCACAUAACGUCUAUGGGCUUAGCGGAAAUGGUGGGAUAAAUCCCACACUCUCGAAGUAUGCGGUAAAAUUCUGCUCCAUCUUGUUCAACUUGUGUUCCAUUUUCUCUAACUGAAUGCUCAAAGGUGUUGCAGAUGCAGAAGGAAUAGUUGGUGGGGCAGCAAUUUCGUCAUCAAACUCGUCAUCAGAGGUAGCACCACUUCUAGCAUAAAGCUUCUUUGGAAGUUGAGUGGGUCCUAGUUCAGUAAAUUGAAAUCUUCCCUCCUUGAAUUCGACCACACCUGUUCUUUCAAAGACACACAUAUCCAAAAAUUCCUUUUUGCAAGCAGGAUGCAAAUCAUUAUUGUCAGGAUCAAGCACACAUAAGUUUAUAGCUAACAGAGUAAUGUAUGGACCAAGAAAUAAAGUCAUCUACCGUUUAACACACUCUGAAAUUGAUCUGCUAACCAAAAACCUAAAUUAGGCCUCACAUCAUUUAACAUGCACCAGAUAAAAUAAAACUCAGUUUUAGAGAAAACUCCCUAGUGAUUUUUUUUCCUAAAAAAUUAUAUGCUAAGAACCGAUGCACACAUUUCAAAACAGGAUCACGUAAGAAAGAGCUCUUUGAUUUACUCGGGUCAUAGGCAUUGUGAUCAAAAGAUAAAUUACGCCAAAGACCAUAAGGCUCAAAAUUUUCGCUAAAGGCACAAGUUGUCCCAAAAUAUGCAUCACUAGAAGAAUAAUCAUCAUCAAUGAAUCCUAAAGCUAUGUUAAAAUCUGUGAUAGAUUGUGAAAAAUUUUGUCCCAUUAACCUAAACUUUAUAACAUCCGGAGUAUGAAAAGUAAAAUCAUUCGGUAUAUUAAAUUGAAAAAUAGCAUAGAACUCCCUAAUCAACUCAACAUAUCCCAAACAAUCAAUAUCAACAAAUUUACGCAAACCAAUCUUAUCGAUCAAAGAAUUAAAAUUAUCCUUAACAUUUAAUUUUUCAAGAGUCGGGUAAUGAAUGUACUUAACUGGAAGUAUUUUUCGCUUGGAAAUAUCUUUGUACCUUUCUUUCUCUAGUUGAGUCGUGAAUGUGAGGCACUCUCCGAGAUUGGAUUCAGCAAGUGGCAAAACACUCAUGCUUUUUCCAUGUUUCGAUCUUUGUCUCACGGCUUGGCGUGAAUCUGAAACUGUGCUCCAUGGAACCGUAGUGGGAGCGGCAAUCUUGGAUUUCUUUGCGACGCGUUUCUUUUUAGACGUUGAUGACUUGGAAGUUGAUGCUUUUCUCUUCGGCAUUGUUACAAUAAUUUCACUCACGGGCAAUGAUUCACGCGGCUAGAAUGCUGGGCGUGGACUGCUUGCCAAUGCGGCUGGGAUUUGGGAUGCACGACUGCUGGUGAUUGUAGGCACGCGACUGUUGGUUGUUGGAUACGUGGGCUGGAGACGCGGGCUGCUACGCGCGGGCUGGUUGGUGAGCGCGGCUGCUGCUCUGGUGUUGUGCUGCUGGUUGCACGCGCGGGACGGAGCUGGAGAAUUUUUUAUUUUCGAAUUUUUUUUUACUAAAAGCUAAAAGAGACACUUAAGACACCAAAAAAAAUUUACAGAAGUAUUUUUUUAAUAAACAUAUGGGCACGCUUAACCAAAAAUUUUCUUCUGGCCAAAAUAAGCAAAAACAUUAUUUAAACAAUCUGAAUCAAAAUUAAAAACAAAAGAUAUAACAAAAAUCAAAAUAAAUAAAUCCUUUGGGUUGCCUCCCAAAAAGCGCAUUUGUUUUAUGUCUUUGGCUAGACACAUUCAUGCAUCAAUCUCUAUAAAUGGGACUCUCGAGAGCCACAUCCUCCACAAUAUUCACCGAAAAACCUUCAUAAAAAGGUUUUAAGCGAUGACCAUUAACCUUAAAAACUUUGUCAGAGGUCGGACUCCGAAUCUCAACUGCACCAUGAGAAAAAAUAUUAGUAACAAUAAAAGGUCCUACCCAGGAAGAACGUAAUUUAUCAGGAAAAAGUUUAAGCUUAGAAUGAAAAAGAAGAACUUUUUGACCAACAGAGAACUCUUUUCUUAAAAUCAUUAUGUCAUGAAAUGUCUUCGUCUUUUCCUUGUAAAAUCGCGAACUCUCACAGGAUUCGUUUUUAAUCUCCUUCAACUCUUGCAGCUGCAACUUUCUAUGUUUUCCUGCUUCAUCCAUCCACAUAUUGCAUUGCUUAGCUGCCCAGUAUGCUCUGUGCUCAAGCUCUACAGGUAAAUGACAAAGCUUACUAAAUACUAAACGAUAAGGAGACAUACCUAUAGGAGUUUUGUACGCGGUACGAUACGCCCACAGUGCAUCAUCUAAUCGUAAGCUCCAAUCCUUCGAUUUGGACUAAUCGUCUUUUCAAGAAUAGACUUGAUUUCUCUGUUUGAUAUCUCAGCUUGUCCACUUGUCUGUGGAUGAUAGGCGGUAGACACUCGAUGGGUAACAUGAUAUCUCUUGAACAAAGCCUCCACCACUCGAUUACAGUUUUGAGUGCCUUUAUCACUUAUCACCGCUCUUGAUACACCAAACCUGGUAAAAAUAUUAGACUUGACAAAAUCUACAACAACUUUAGUAUUGUCAGUCCGGGUGGCUUUAGCCUCUACCCACUUAGAAACGUAAUCCACUGCUAAAAGAAUGUAAGCAUUGUUAAAAGAUGAGGGAAAAUGUCCUAUAAAAUCAAUGCCCCACACAUCGAAUAUUUCACACACAAGAAUAGGGGUAAGUGGUGUUUGAUUCCUAUGACUUAAAUUACUAGUCUUUUGACAAUUCUCACACGACUUACAAAACAUGUAUGAAUCACAAAAUAAAGUAGGCCAAAAUAGACCACAUUCUAACACCUUAGAUGCUGUCUUUUUGGGACCAAAAUGACCACCACAUGCAUAUGAGUGACAAAACUGAAGAAUAUAAGGAAUUUCAAACUCAUAUACGCACCUUCUGAUGACUUGGUCAGAGCAAUGUUUCCACAAGUAAGGGUCAUCCAAAACAUAGUACUUAGCAUCGCUCUUAAUCUUAUCUUUUUGAGCCCUUGUCAGAUCACUAGGUAGUGUUCUUGUAACUAAGUAAUUGACAAUGUUAGCGUACCAAGGAACCAUACGUUGAGUUACAAAGAGAUGCUCAUUUGGAAAAUCAUCCUUCAAAGGUGCUGUUUCUUCACUCGUGGUCAAUCUACUAAGAUGGUAUGCAACCAAGUUUUCUACUCAUUUCUUGUCACGGAUCUCCAAGUUGAACUCUUGAAGUAGUAGGAUCCAGCGGAUGAGUCUCGGUUUCGCCUCCUUCUUGGCGAGCAAAUAUCUGAGAGCUGCAUGAUCAGAAAAAACAAUCACUUUAGUACCUAAUAAAAAUGAACGAAAUUUUUCUAAAGUAAAAACAAUAGCCAAAAGUUCUUUUUUUGUUGUUGAGUAAUUGCACUGAGCACUAUCAAGUGUCCUUGAUGCGUAAUAUAUCACAUGAGCAGCUCUUCCAACCCUUUGUCUGAGAACAGCACCAACAACAUAGUUACUAGCGUCGCACAUUAUCUCAAAAGGGAGGCUCUAGUCGGGUGUCUGUAUAAUUGGAGUUAAAGUCAAUAACUCCUUAAGCUUAUCAAAUGCUACCUCACAUGCUUCAUUAAAAUCAAAUGUCACAUCUUUCUGAAGCAGCUUGCAUAAAGGCUGAGCUAUCUUCGAAAAGUCCUUGAUAAAACGUCGAUAGAAACCUGCGUGACCAAGGAAAGAACGAACUUCCCGCACACAUGUGGGAUAAGGUAAAGAUUUAAUAACAUCUAUCUUAGCUUUAUCUACCUCAAUUCCUCUAGCAAAGACUACAUGACCCAAAAUAAUGCCUUGAUCUACCAUAAAAUGACAUUUUUCAUAAUUCAAGACAAAGUUUGUUUCAAUGCAUAUUUCAAGCACUUUCUUCAUAUUAUAGAGACAAUCAUCAAAAGAAUCAGCAUAGACUAUAAAAUCGUCCAUAAAUACCUCUAUAAUGUUCUCGACAUAGUCUAGAAAAAUAUUGACCAUACACCUCUGAAACGUGGCAGGAGCGUUACAAAGACCAAAUGGCAUACGUCGGUAUGCAAAGGUUCCCAAAGGACAUGUGAAGGUAAUCUUCUCCUGAUUCUCAGGCGCAACUGGUAUCUGAUGAAAACCUGAAUAGCCAUCAAGACAACAAAAGUGAGAUUUUCCCGCCAACCUUUCAAGCAUCUGAUCAAUAAAAGGAAUAGGAAAAUGAUCCUUCUUAGUGAGUAAAUUAAGUUUUCUAAAAUCAAUACAAACCCUCCACCCAUUCUGAACUCGGGUGGGUUUGUAUUGAUUUUAGAUUAUACCUGCAUUUGUUAUCCGAAAUUGGAUAGAUUAUACCUACAUCAAGAAGUUUCAGAAUUUCUUUCUUCACUACUUCCAUCAUGAGUUGAUUCAAACGGUGUUGAGCUUGAAUCGAAGGUUUGGCAUCUUCCUCCAGCAAUAUUCUAUGCAUGCACGUGGACGAACUUAUCCCUUUAAUAUCAGCAAUUGUCCACCCAAUAGCCUUUUUGUAAUCCUUCAGCACUCCAAUAAGCUUUUUUUCCUCUAAAGUACUAAGCUUUGAAGAGAUGAUCACCGGAAGUGUCUUCCCAUCUCGUAGAAACAUGUACUUUAGAUGACUCGGCAAUGGUUUAAGCUCUAUUUUCGGUGCCUGCAAAAUAGAUGGAAGAAGUUUUGCAUAAGAUGAAGGUAAUUCAAUAUAAGGCAUAUGAUGAGUUAAAGUUCUCAAAGAAUUUAAUUCAUAAAUUUUCUCUUGCAAUACAGAAUUUAAAACAAACUCAUUUUCAUCCUUUUGCAAUCCUUUGAGGCCCAAACUGUUAUUUAAAGCAGCUACCAAUGAAUCUUCAACAUCCAAAUAAAAAACUUCCUGCACUAUAGGGUUAAUAACAUCAACAGAAAAUACCGAAUGUUCCUCACUAGGAUAUUUCAUGGCAUCAUUCAUAUUGAAUUCUAUAACCUCUCCAUCAAACUCCAUAGUGAGAGUCCCUUUAUGUACAUCUAUUUUAGUCAUAGCAGUCUUAAGAAAAGGUCUUCAUAGCAAAAUUGGGACAGAAUUAGAGGAGUUAUCCUGUUCCAUAUCAAGUACAUAAAAAUCAGCAGGAAAAACCAACUCAUUAACUUGUACUAAGACAUCUUCUAAUACCCCAUCAGGAUAUACAUUAGACCUAUCAGCUAGUUUAAUUAUCACGCCAGUUUCUUUUAAUGGACCAACAUUCAAAGAUGAAUAAAUGGAACAAGGCAUGACAUUAAUAGAAGCUCAUAUAUCUAACAUAGCCUUCUCAACUUUAACACUACCAAUUUUGCAAGGGAUAGUAAACAUACCUGGAUCCUUGCACUUAUGAGGUAGUUUCUUUUGGAGAACUGCUGAAACAUUCUCCCCCAUGUGAACUCUUUCAUCUCCUCUUAAUUUUCUCUUGGUGGUGCACAGUUUCUUAAGGAAUUUAGUAUAUCGAGGUAUUUGUUUUAUAGCAUUUAAUAAAGGAAUAUUUACCUCAACCUUGCGAAAUGUCUCAAGGAUGUCUUUCUAUUGUUCCUUCUUCUUGGAUUUUGCAAACCGGCUUGGAAAAGGAUGAGGUAUCACCACAGGUAGAGGUUUCGCUCUGGUGGAUUGCGCAUCUUGAGAUUUAGGCAUCAAUUCAUUCUUUUCAAGCUCAUCUUUUACAUGCUUUGUCACUUUCUUAUUAGGAUCUUGCAACUCCUUCCCACUUCUAAGGAUGACAACACUAGCGUUUUGCUUUGGAUUCACCUCAGAUUGUGAAGGCAAUCUCCCUGAUGAUUGAGACUCCAGACGGCUCACUGUAGUCGCCAAUUGACUCAUUUGGUUCUCCAAAUUCUGAAUGCUUGUUGUAGUUGCCUGCUGAAAUUGUUGAGUGUUAGUCGCAAGUGAUUUAACAAUUUCUUUAAGAGAUAUACCUGACUUGGAGUUUGACUGUGGAGGUGCUGGUUGUCUUGGUGGGUAUUGUUGUAGGAAUCCUGAUGGCCUAACUCCAUAGCUGAAGUUGGGAUGAUCCUUCCAUCCCAGAUUGUAUGUUUGUGCAUGAGGAUCAUACCUCCUCUGGGGCAUGCUUGGAAAUCCUCCAACUGCAUUAGCUUGUUCAACGGGUUCUUCUUAAAGUGUAGGACACAUAUCAGUUGAAUGACCCAUAUUGGAACAAAUGCCACAAGCCUUCACCUAUUGCACAUUACCUACAAUAAACUUUUCCACAAGAGAAGUAAGUUUAUCUAAACGUUAUUUAAUAGAAGAAAUAUUUACCUCAUUCACCUUUCUUAAAGUGGGAUCUUGCUUGCUGCCAAAUUAUUGUGCAUUGGCAGCCAUAUUUGAGAUCAACUCCCUUGCUUGAGUAGGGGUCUUGUUCACCAACACACCUCCACUAGCCACAUCUAUCAUACUCCUAUCCAUCAAUGACAGUCCUUCGUAAAAGUAUUGAAUAAGAAGUUGAUCAGAAAUCUGAUCAUGAGGACAACUGGCACACAAUUGUUUGAAUCGCUCCCAAUACUCAUACAAAGUCUCCCCAGGAAGUUCUCUGAUCCCACAAAUGUCUUUUCUGAUGUUGGCAGCUCUUGAAGCAGGAAAGUACUUCUUAAGGAACUGCUUCUUCAAACCAUUCCACGUUGUAAUCGAUCCAGGAGGUAAAUAGUACAACCAGUCUUUAGAUAGCCCAUCUAAAGAGAAAGGAAAAGCACGCAGCUUAAUCUGCUCUUCAGUCACGCCUUGUGGUCUUAUACUUGAACAUAUGGCAUGAAACUCCUUGAGAUGUUUAUGAGGAUCUUCACCUGCAAAACCAUGAAACUUGGGUAAUAAAUGAAUAAGACCAGACUUUAAUUCAAAAUUUACCUCCAAGUCUACAUAUUGAAUGCAGAGUGGUUGCUGAUUCAAGUCUGGUUAAGCUAACUCUCUAAGAGUUCUUUCUAUGUUGGCAGCUCUAUCCAUCACUUGUUCUUCUGAAUCGCUAAAUGAUUCAACCAAAUCAGGCACCAUAUCUGUUCCAGAAAGCAAAGGCGACGAGGAUCGUUGCUUAGCUCGCUUCGUCUGCUGUCUUAGCUGGCAAGCUGUCUUCUCAAUUUCAGGAUCAAACGAAAGUGUACCUGUACGGGAAGAACGAACCAUACACCAAGUAAAACGUAAAAAGGAUUAAAUAAACGACACCAAUCCCCGGCAACGGUGCCAAAAUUUGAUGGUUGUCGAAGCCAGCAAAAAUAAAUAUUUACUUUAAAUAAAUUGUGUAUAGUGAUUAAGCAGGGUCGUGUCCACAGAGAUCGGUAAUUAUUUAAAUCCUUUUAAAUUGUAAAAUGCAAAAUGGGGGGGAUUGUUGACAAUAAUAAAAAUCAAAUUAAAAUAAAAAGAAUACAAAUUCAAAUUGUAAUUCAAAUUGGUAAAAGCUCUGGUUGAAGGAAUUAACUCAGCUUGAUUCGACUACUGAUCAUUGAUUCAAAUAUAAAUCAUUACUACUUAUGAAUAGACCGGUUAUAACUACUGAGACCCUCUAAUAGCCAAUCUCUCCUUAACUAGUCGAUAACCAAAGUACGACCAUUGGUUAUUUUCCUAAUCAAUAGACAACCCUAGAUACGAUCAUAGAAUUUAAUCAAUUGACAGCCUGAAAAACCAGAGAGACUCAAAUCAUAAUCAACACACGCAUACGAUGGUUCAUUUAAAUUAGAUUGUUUAUUCUCAUAACACAACACACUGCUAUGCUAUUUGUCACAAACAUUAAAAUCUUCAUACGAUGAAUCUUUUAAUUGACAAUAGAUUAAGUUGAUAAUUAAAUAGUGGCCAAUUAUCUAAUUAACAAACAUAAUCAUGACAAUAAUUUAGAGAAUAAACAAAUACCCAAAAAGCAAUAAAACAAUUAAAGCAUAAGAAAGAUCUCACAGUAAUGAUGAAUCAAAGCUUUAUUAACCUUUAACCAGAAUAAUAGGUUUAGUUCUUCAUAGAGAGAAGAGAAAAAUUUAGAUCUAGGCUUUCUUUUUCUUUCUUUCUUUGACAAUAGAUUCAUCUCUUCAAUUCUCUUCCCUCCCUUCUCCUCUAGAGUUCUUUUUAAAAUAAAAUACUAAUAUCUAAAAUAUUAUCUAAAUAUUAAAUUCAUAAUUACAAAAAUAACCAAAAAGACAAAACACGUUAAAAUAAAAAUUGCAGGUCCUUAGUUGACAGCACGCGCCCACGCUUUAUCAACAAAAUUCUUCUGAAGCUUAUAAUUUCUCCAGGAAAACAAUCAUCCUCAAAUAUCAUCUUGUAGCUCAAUUUUAGCACCAAUCAAUAGAAUUGGACCUACAAAAAUAAAACACAAGUAAAUCACUAUUAUUAAAUGCCAAACAUCGAUAUUAAAGGAAGUAAACAAUACAAAACUAGUGCAUAAAUUGCACUCUAACAAUGAAUCAGGCGAUAUUUGAUUGGGUAAUUAUGGUUGAUGAGAAUACAUGUAUGUACGGAAUCAUUAGGAAAAGAAUAUAUUAUGGAAAGCUGAUAGACCUGCUGUUGUGAGAAGUUUGGCACCAUUGUUCAGAUACUAGAUCAGUUGUAGAUGAAGAGAAUGCAUUGGUUAUUGAGUAAGAGAGCAUAUAUGGUUCUAUAAAAAACAUGUCUAAGGAUAUAAACAUGGUCAUUACUAGUUAAUCAUUUGCAACCUUUAAGAGAAGAACUGCAAGUUGGUAAUCUGUUAAUAUGAUAUAGUACUAUAUAAAUAGCAUUUUAGAAAAAUUUGAAAAGGGAGAUUAGCUUAAACUAACAAUAUUAAUGCUAAUUCAGUUAUAUGUUUGUGUUUACUCUCAACUGUAUUAUUUUGAUAAUGAGUACAUGGACAAGAGUGUCUAAAGACAAUCCCAUUUUGAUUUAGAAACUUAGCAAAAACUCUAUGCUCUCCUCCCUUUAGUUAGAUUACAAUAUUGCAAUUGUUGUAUUGAAUUGAUUUUCCGCCUGAGGUUUAAACAAUUAAACACUUUAAAGGUUUUAGACUUAAGCUUUAAUGGAUAAAUCUAAGUAUAUUUGCUAGAAUCAUCAACAAAACUGAUAUAAUAUUUGUAUCAAUUUCUAGACAAAGUAGGUAAACGCCCUCUAAGUCAGAAUGUAUCAUUUCCAACACAUAUAAAGUUUUGGUUUUGAUUGUAAAGAAAUGUUGUCGAUGAACCUUGCCUAAUUGACAUGCUUCACACAAAGAAUUUACAGAUGACUAGAUAUCCUUUUAAGAGAAUUGAAUGGAUUACAAGACUUUAGUAAAUGUAUCAUUACUGUUGGAUUUGGAUAACUAAAUCUUCUAUUCAACAUAGUUACUGUAUCAAGUUUUGAAGUACAACUGUUUGAGACAGAAUGAAAACAGGCCUUAGUCAAGAUAUUUCACUUAUGGAAAAUAGGAGAAACAACUGUAAAGAAUUUAUUCAACUAGAAUUGAGAGAGACAAGACUCAUAUGAAGAUAGAGUAAGCUUGAAAAAAAAAUUAAAAAGACCUUUCUCAGCAAGGCCUUGCAGAAGAACAUAUCCCUUCAUGUCUUUUAUAGAGCCGAUAGUACCCCAACAUUCAACAGUGAGACUUAUCAAAAGUGAGCCCACAAACACUUAAUAGAUUUUUAGUUGUUGAAGGCACAUGUAACAUUCUCUAAGUGCAAUUACAAUAUGGUUAGAUGAGUAAUUUGAAGCUCUAAACGAUGGAAAAGCAUGUCCAACAUGAGUGAUAUACAACCUUUGGCUAUUUCGAAUAAUGAGUUGGUCAGUACCUUUAAAUUCUCCCUUGAGGUGCAUGUUUUCCAUAUUUUUAGUCAAAUGAUGUGUUGCUCCACUGUCUAAAUGCCAACCAUCAUUAACAGGUCCUUCAAAGUUAGCACAAAGGCUGCUCUAAGAGCAUUAGCACUAAUUAUAGACUAGUAACCAAUUUUAGAGUCAAGAAAAUAAGCCAGUGACAUGUAAUUGGUUUUGACAUAAUCUUCAUAACUUUGAGGAGAAGCAGAUCCUUCAAAGUUUGCAAUGUAACUUGUUCUUACUAUUUUUCCCUUUUCAAAACCACUUGGCAUAGGUACAUUGUCUUCCACAAACUUAUGCCAGUAAACAUUUGCUAUGUGUAUAGAUUUGAACAAAUUUGACACAUAAGUUCCUCCAUAAUAGCUCUUUGUGACCUAUUUAUGCCAUUGAAUCCACUCUUAGCAAAUUGAGAUGGAUUCUUAUGAACUUGAAAAGGAUAAAGGCCACUGGAGUUUUGACUAUAUGACUGUCCUCUAAUAUAUCCCCUACUAAAACCUUCAUUGAACAAUCUUUAAGAACAAUUCAUGCUUCUCUACCAAGUAGAUUUCCUUUACCUCCAAAGUUACCAAAAUCACCAUUAUAUCCUCAUCUUCUAAAGCGACACUUAGGUUGUGCAUAGUAUGCCUUGGGAUAAUAUGAAUUCGUAUAUGCAUAAGUAGCAUUAAACAUAGUUUGAUCAUCAUGUUCUUACUCCAAUCUAGUUUAUGUGUAAGCAACAAAGCAUAUGCACCAUCAUAUUCCAUAUGGAAACCAGUAAUAAAAGUGGCAAUAUCAUGAUAUCCAGAUACUAGUCUAUUAUAAUGGUCAACAUAACAUCUUUCUCUGUUUCAUUUUAAUAAAAUAAUCUUCAACACUCAACAACACUUUUUUAAGAGCAUUCAAUUCAUACCUAAGUUGAAGAACUAUAGCCUUUGAUUGCACACUAAACUUCUUCUCAAGUGUUCUCCAAACAUCAAAGGAAUUUACAUAAUUUAUAACGAGACUUAGAGUACUUUCAUUUAUUAAUGACAGUAGCCAUCUAAGAAGAGUCUGAUCUUGUGAUCUCCAAUUGUCAUACUCUAGAUUAUCAACUUGAGUAGAUCCAUCAACUCUAGCUGGAAGAAGAUAUUGCUCAGGUGGUAAUUUUUCUGCAGUGAUAAAAUCCUCCAAUCAAUUGCCUCUAAUUAAAGCUAAGACUUGAGAUCUUCAAAGCCAAUAGUUCGAUCAAUCUAAUUUCAUUGGAAUAUUAAAGGAGAAAUUAAUUUGAGUUUGUUGAUGUUGUGGAUUUGUGUUGUUUAUGGUUAAAUUGUGAAAUGUUGUGUUCUGAUUACUAGAACUAGCCAUGGCCGGCUCUAGUACCAUGUUAUAAUAGCUCAAAUGAGCUUAAUCUCUUUGUUUGGAAGCCGAGAAAAUGGAAAGGAAUAUUCUGGAUCUCUAAUUUUUAAUUCUCGAGUAAAAAUGAAGACUACGUUAGUAUCCAUAAUGAGCUAAUUACACACACGAAAGAAUUACAAAGCAAGCUUAUACAUGUAACUAACAACAUUACUGACCAGGCUUAACCAACACGUGCUGAGCGUGGAACUUCUUUAUAUGUAGUAUGUGCUUUCUUUACAACAUUUCAGCAGAGCAAUUUAGAAAGUCGAAAAUGAUCCUCUUAGGCACUAUAAGGCAGAGUUUAUUUAUUUAUUUAUUAAUGCUAUAAUUUAGGAGUGUCCAUAAUACGAUCUUAUAGUCAUGAUUUAUUAUCAUUUUAUCUUGAGACAAAAGGACUGUUGUUGAAUCCUCAUUAGCAAAUGUUCAUUGCUUUCAUUUUUGGAUUGGUAGAAACAAAAAACAUAAGAAGAAAAUAAAUUAAACAAGAUUACUGGAAAUUAGUAUCUUUUUCUUUUCUUGAACAAAGUCUUUCUUUCUCUAGUUUUUGUUAAGAUAAUUUCUUAACCUUCCUCUUAUCUCUUUCAUUUCUUGAACCAAGAUGCGUGCCUUUACUUACAAGGAAAGUUUAAAUGCUCUUUCCUUCCUUUUCUCUUAACUUCUGUUUUUCUUAAGAAAUCAUUUUCAAUUCUGCCAACACCAUCCAUUUAUCAAUAACCAAUUUGAAUAAAGUUCUACAUUUUGAUUUUUAUGCUCCUUUCAAGUAAUAAUUUAAUUUUGAAGCUUUCAGUCACAAUAAGAUGUUGUUGCGAUAAUAAAGUCGUUAAUUACUGAAAGGAACAAUAGCAAAGUUCAUAAUAAUACCAUACCAAAAUGCAAUUCUUCGAAACUUGGUCAUCCAUUAUUGGAGGUGAUGUUAUGCGUUGAUUUUGAGGUGAGAAAAUUAAAUUUAUUGCAAUCCUAAUGAGCUCCAUAUAAAAAACUGUGGGUUAGAUAUUAUUUUCUUGAAAAGGAGAACGUUCGACAUUUUAGUUAAAGUUCUACAUUUUGAUUUUUAUUUUUCUUUCACGUAGGAAUUUAAUUGUGGUGCUUUCAAUCAUAAUAAGAUAUUAUCGAGAUAUUGAAGUCUUUGAUUACUCAAAGGAACAAUAACAGAUUUCAUAACAAUUAUGUACCAAAAUGCAAUUCUUCUAAACUUGGUCAUUUGUUAAUAGAAAUGAUGUUAUGCAUUGAUUCCGGGACAAGAAAUUUUAUUAAUUGCAAUCCUAAUGAAUUCCAUAGAAAAAAUUAUAGGUCAGCAAUUAUUAUUUUCAUAAACAGGAGAACGUCUUAACUGCUCUUGGAGCAUCGAGUAAUUUUUGUCAAUGGUGCUCCAACCAAAUGACAAGUCUCCACAGGCACUAAAAAAAAUUAAAAUUCUUUAAUUGAAAUAAAUGUUAUCCUCUAUUACAAUCUCCUUCUUUUUCUCCCUCGGAUUUGCUUGCAUUUUCAGCUAUUGCUUCUUCGUUACGAAUAACAUUGGUGGGAGAUGUACUUGGUUCUUCAAAAAAAAUCUAAAAUCUUCGUACUCAAGGAAUCAAGGUCACAUAGUACGGAGCUCCAAAAAGCUUGAUAAAAAUUAUGGUCUCUAUCUCUGCACUUUGCCCCCCGAAAAAGGCUUAUUCUUCAUCUUUCCUUUCUAAAGGAUGCAAGUUUCGUUUGGUAAAGUGUAGAGAUAGAGAGGAGAGAGAGGAGUGAUUGACUUCAUCUGCCCUUUUCUUUUUCAUUUUAUUCGAAGGCCCCACAUAGUAUGGUCUCUAUUUAUUUAUUAAGACCUUGAGCUUCCUUGCGUAAAAAGGACAAGACCUUACAAGGCGGUUGAGACCACCAAACGAAAUAAAAAAUUGUAGCACCCACGUUAGCCAACUUAUUAGUAUGUCCUAUUACAUUCCCUUAUUAUGUGAGUAAACCGCACUUCUAUCUAGAUCAUAAGCUGCAAAAAAUUAUUUCAUCUACUAAUCGAAGGCCAAAGAGGAGGAAGAUGACCAUUCUAAAGAUGGAAAAUGUAUGGCAUGCAUUGAAUCACAUUCAAUCCAAAUCUUGAAACAUUGACGAUCAAAUGCAUUCUUAAUUAUUAGAAUUACAGCCAUCAGCACAACAUAGGAAGCUGAAUGAAUGAAUCCCAAGCGAACAAGCAAAACAACCAAGAAUGUAUUUAAGUUUUUGCCUUUUUCUCUACUUAUAUGGAGGAGAUGUGUAACACCCUAGGCAAAUCUCACAUUGGCAAAACGCAGGAGAGAUGUUGGGUUUAUAAGGGGUGAUCUACUCUUUAAUUGGCAAGACGAGUUUCAGGGUGUAUAGGCGUCCCAAAAAAAACCUCGGGGGCCUUGUUAAGGCUCAAAGCGGAUAAUAUUUUGUCAAGUCUGGGUUAAGUCAUGACAGAUGGUAUAAGAGGGGCUCCGCGUGUCUUCUUGAGCAAUAGUGGGGCAAACCUUAGCUAGGACGUUGACUUUCUAAGGGGAUGUAUGUAACACACUAGGUGAAUCCCACAUCGGCAAAGCAUGGGAGAGAUUCUGAGUUUAUAAAGUAAUCCAUACCUUAAUUGGUAUGGCGCAUUUUAUGGUGCAUGGACGCCCCAAGAACAAAAUCAUGCGGGCCUUGUUAAUGUCUAAAACCAAUAAUAUCUUGUCAGGUUUGGGUUGGGUAAUGACAAAAUGGAACACACACAAAACCAUAGUACACGAACAUAAGGAAUUCGUUAUUCUUCUCUAAUGCUUAGAUUACUUAAUGAGGAAAUAAUCACUUACCUUUAAUGAGAACUCGUCAAGAUUAAUAUAACCAAGGAUCAUGCCAACUUUGGAAACAUAUAACCUUACAGGACAAGCAUGCAAAUAGUCUCUCUUUUGAUGAUUCUUUUAGUCCCCACAUGAAGAUAUUCGAUAAACCCCGUGUUCAGCUAUAAUAUCUCUUGUGCGAUCAUCUUCAUGCCUCUACGCAUCGACGCGGUCCAUAUAUACUUAAUGAAACACAAAGCCCUAAUUCUUGAUUGAGUCAACUCCCGUUGAUAGCUAGCUCUCGUUGUAACAAAAGACAACCUAUGUUACAGAGAAAAUUACUUGAUAAUAAAGACUAGAUUAUGUUGACAAUAAGGAUUCCAACUCAUAAAAAUAUGUAAAAGAUGUUAUCAAUGGAAUGCCACACUCAUAUUAGAACAUAGAUUUUACACAAUCUAAUUAACUUGGACGAGGAAAAUUUUGUAUUCAACAUCAUUUGAAGUUUUGAACACCUCAUUUACUUAUUUAUAUUUAUUUGUGUGUGCGUCCGUGAUUGUUUUUCGAAACGGAAGGAUCAAAUUCUUUAGCCCAUAGGAACAUGGUGAGUUUUAGUUUAUAAGCUACCACAAGUUUUGUUCGAUUUUAUCUUUCCAUCAUUUUUUUCAUUUUCUUUUCCUUAAAUUAAGAAAGGUGUAAAUAUGUGGGCGGGGGAUUUUUUUUUAAUUAAAAGUGUUGUAAAAUGAAAAAUAAAAAGAAGUGGUUAACUUACAAUGGGCUGAUAAUAGCCAACAUAGUUUCGAAGUUGAUGACCAUCCACUUUUACUUCUUUUCCGAAGUUGACGGCCAUCCACAAUUGCUCUUUUAAAAUGUAAUUUUCACAGAAAAAUUUGGUGAAAAAAAUGACAAAAACAUUGAAGACUGAAAAUCUCGACGCAGAUAAGAUAAUGGCAACAAACAAUGGAAAUUUUUUUGAAGACAUGGUGGUUGAAAUUCUGUCGAAGUUUCCCGUUAAAUCUUUACUACGGUUCAGGUGCGUUUGUAAAUCUUGGUAUGAAUUAUUUGAAAGCCCUAGUUUCAUUUCCAAACACCUAAAAGCUGGAAACAGUAAUACUCGUCUCAUUCUACGUUAUGUAGAUUCCAGUGAUGAUCCUGAAUUUCCAAGACUUCGUGAUUGUUUGUUCCUUGAUCCAACACUGGCAAAUAUAUCUUUAGAGGAAGAUCUUCUUCUACUAAUGCCCAUAGACGAUCAUUUGAGGGGUCCUUUUGAAGGUUUAUUUAUUAUGUUUAUAGGAGGAGAUGAAAUUGCUUUAUACAACCGUGCUACCAGAGAUUUAAAAUUUCUUCCAAAACUUACACUCAUAGACAAUCUAGAAUCAAUUUACACUAUUAUGUUUGGAUUGGGAUUAGACCCAAAAUGUAACUACUAUAAGUUAGUUUACAUUGUGACUUACCAUGAUAGUGAACUUGGGGAAGUUCUUAACGAUUCAAGACAAGUUUUUAUUUACAGCUUUAGUGAUAAUUCCUGGAGAAAUUUUCAAGUCUUUGAGUUUGGUACGUAUGAUCUUAAUGAAGUGUUAGAUUGCACAUAUCAUAAUGGAGCUUGUCACUGGUUGGUACCGUUUGGCCCUUUUCAUCCACUUUGUUGUCAUUAUGUGAUCCUUUCAUUUGACAUGAGUGAUGAAGUUUUUGAAGAGAUACAAGGGCCUAAUUGCCUUCUUGAAAUAGCACCUGAGCAUACAGUUUUUGGGUUAUACAACGAUUCUCUUUCAUUUUUAGUAUUUGAUGAAAGGGAGAGUUGUUUUGAUAUAUGGACAAUGAAGGAGAGAUAUCAUUGGACCAAAGAAUUCUCUACUACCCCUAUUCUCGCAGUUGAUGCUCCAAUUGGGUUUUGGAAGAAUGAUACCUUUUUUAUAGGAUCUAACACGGAAGAGUUACUUUUAUAUGAUCCGAAUUCUGAAGAAAUCAUUGACUUUCAACACAAAGGCUGUUGCUUUACGAUUUUUUUCGAUAAAGAGAGUUUAUUCACAUUGAAAGGCUAGAGAAAUUCCUUGACUCAAAACCAUAAGUUGAUAGGUAAGGGCUCAACGACAAGUCUUAAUAGGUUGUCUACUUUACGGGAAACGUGGGCUAAGACUUGAGGUAGAAACCCUUAUACAUGGUUUUAAAGAGAAUACGAGAAAGUGAGCUAACAAAUUGAAGAAAUAAUUGAACGAACAGACUCACUGUACCAAGUGAUUCGUCAAAUAAGGAGCUUCGGUAUGGCCUUAAUAAUGUAGGAGCUAUUUUCAGAUACAUUAUUGGUUCUACAAGUGUAGUGGGCUACUGUAUCGGCUUUGUGGGUUAAAGUUUCUACAGAGUUUUAGGGAAAGAAUAUUGCCAUUGAGAGAUAUGGAUAAUGUAAUGCAGUAGCCAUUAGCUAUAUGAAUUUAUUAAAUGAUGUAUUAGUAUAGUUCAGAGCAAUCUUGUUUACAUAUUCAAAGUAAUACCCUGAAAAUACCCAUGUAAUACCAAGAUUUUUACUUGUAGUCCAUAAUUUCUGAGUUCUUACAUUCCAGACUUCAUGGUUUUGUUCCUUUUCAAUGUUAAAUUUGCCUUGAUUUGUACCACAACUAGCCCGGAACUGUAUGUCGGAUCCAAGGUGAAUCAUGCGGUUUGACAUCUAGUACUCAUGAUAUAAACUUAAUUCAUAAACAUAUAAAAAUAAUUUCGGGCCUCUAAUAUAAACAUGUAAUAACAUCCAUGUCUCAUCCGAAAACAUAUCCAAUCUUCGCACACUCCACAUCUCACUAUGUACACAUACAUCGUAAAUACUAACAUAAGAACAUAAAUGUGCUCAAAGUACAAGUGAUACAACAAUGCGUGUCAUGGCCCAACCUCGAUUUAUUCAAAAUUGGACAGCACAAAAUCCAAUAGAAACCUGUGAGAAAUGGGCCAAAUAGGAAAAUAGUGAGCAGGGGGCUAUAUAUAUAUAUAUAUAUACAUACAAAGAGAGAGAGAGAGAGAGAGAGAGAGUAAUGCACCAGUGCUUAUUCAUAAUCAUAUGACGUAACUCCACAGAGAACACAUUAAAGACUUAAGAGGAAACGAUGAGAAGGCUUAAUCAAUUUCAUUGAUUUACACGUACCAAUAUAUACAGCAAAGAGUGCAACAGCUACCUAUAUUAUUGGUUUGUUACAACUGAAUAUAUCUUUACGUUCAAAAUACUUUGAACAGGUAAACUCCUAUAAUCAUGGAGGAGAAUCCUCUAUCAUGCCCCCUCAAGAUGGACUUCUUGAAAGCAGUCCGAUCUUGCAUCGAAGUUGAAGGAAACGUGGUCGUGGGAGAGCUUUUGUAAGAGCAUCAGCUAGCUGAUCAUUAGAUGAUACAUGUGCAACCCGUAACGAACCGUUUUGAACUUGCUCCCUGAUAAAAUGAAAAUCAAUGGCAACAUGUUUCAUCCGUGAGUGAAAGAUUAGAUUAGAACACAACUGAGUUGCUCCCACAUUAUCGCAGUAAAUAACUGGACAAGUAGGCACUCUAAUAUGCAGGUCUGUUAACAGUGAACAUAUCCAAUUAAGCACGGCUACUGUAUUGGCAACGGAGCGAUACUCAGCUUCAGUGGAGGAUCGUGCCACUGUGCGUUGUUUCUUCGAACACCAGGAUACUAAGUUUCGACCAAGAUAUACCAAGUACGCACCUGUCGAUGAAAAAUCAUCUUUGUUGCCUGCCCAGUCGGCAUCAGAAAAGGCAUGUAUACUGGUGGAAGAAUGAUGAUAUAGUUGAAGACCCUCAUUAACAGUACCUGCCAAAUAUCGAAGGAGUCGCUUGACACAGGUCCAGUGGUCAGUUUUCGGACAAUGCAUAUACUGUGAUAAGCGAUUAACCACGAAAGCUAUGUCUGGUCUGGUGAUUAAAAGAUAUUGGAGACUGCCCAACAUAGCACAAUACUCAGUGGCAUCAUCCAGGGGAGUGCCAGAUUGUGACGUCAGCUGCGCAGUAGUUGAAAGAGGAGUGAGUACCGAUUUUGUUGCCGUCAUGUUUGCUCGAUUUAAUAACUCCAGUAUAUAUCUUCUUUGAGACAAGAUCAACCCCUGGUCAUUCGGUACAACUUCAAUGCCCAGAAAAUAUGCCAAUUUUCCAAGAUCUUUGAGAGAGAAUUGCUUGGCAAGAAGAGUUAUAAAUUCAUUGAUCUUGAGAGGCUUGUCCCCCGUGAUUAUGAGAUCAUCAACAUACACAAUGAGAUAUAAAAUAUGUGUGCCAUCAUUAUAUACAAAUAGCGAUGUAUCAGCUAUAGAAUUUUUGAACCCGAAUUGAAUAAGAAAUGAUCGCAGUUCAUUAUACCAGGCGCGGGGAGCUUGCUUUAGUCCAUAGAUGGCCUUUCGAAGCUUGCAGACAUAGUUAGGUUUGUCACCAUCUAUGAAUCCUUGAGGUUGAGCCAUGUAUACAUCCUCAUACAAGUGCUCUUGAAGUAAUGCAUUAUUUAUGUCUAGUUGGCGUAGCUCCCAUCCAUGACUGACUGCAAUGCUUAGAACAAUACGAACUGUUGUUGGCUUUACAACCGGACUGAAAGUAUCAUGGAAAUCGACCCCUGGUCUUUGAUGGAAUCCUUUGGCCACCAAGCGGGCUUUGUACCUGUCAACAGAGCCAUCAGAAUUUAUUUUUAUUUAAAAAAUCCAUUUACACCCAACAAGAUUAUGAUGUGGAGAUGGUGAAACAAGAGCCCAUGUCCCAUUCUUAACUAAAGCAUUAAACUCAUCAGACAUUGCUUGUCUCCACUUGGAGUCUGUUAACGCUUGAGUUACUGUGGUUGGUUCAAUUUCAUCAGUGGUGGCAAGUUGAGCAAGGAGAUUCAUUCUGCGAAUAGGUUUAUGAAUAUUAUUUUUAGAUCUGGUGACAAUGGUGUGAGCGGGUGGCAUUGAUGGUUCUAGGGUAGUGAUUGAGGUAUGUUGAGAUGCACAAGGUUGUAUUUGAGGAGCUUCGGCCGCAGAUGACGUAGUGAGUGGCAGAGUAGUUGUAGAGAUAGGUAUUUGUAGGGGAGGAGGAAACCAAGUGGCUAUUGUGUUUGAUUGGUUUAUGGACUCUUGUGGUUUUUGGUAGACGAAUGGGAAUAUAGACUCUACAAACUUGACAUGUCUAGAGACGUAAAAUUUGGAGGAACUUGUAUCAAGACACAAAAAUGCACUCUGACUUGUCGAAUAACCAAGAAAUACACAUGGUUUAAAAUUGGACUCUAGUUUGUGAACCUUAUAAGGUCUGAGCCACGGAUAGCAAAGACACCCAAAAAUUUUGAGUUUGGUAUAAUUGGGUUUUGCCUCAAAAAUUUUCUCAUAGGGUGAAUAGUAUUGGAGGGUUGGUGUGGGCAUUCUGUUUAUGAGGUAAACGGCGGUGGCAAAAGCACAUGGCCAAUAUUGUAAAGGUAUUGAUGCAUUGGACAAAAGUGCAAGACCAGUUUCGACAACAUGCAGAUGGCGACGCUCAGACAUACCAUUGUGUUCUGGGGUGUGUGGGGGAGUGGUGAGAUGAGAAAUUUCAUUUGUAGAAAGAAAAUUGGUUAGUGCAAUGAAUUCACCACCGUUGUCAGAGUACAAGGUUUUGAUGGGUUUUUCAAAUCGUUUUUCAACAAUGGCCUUGUAUCUUAUAAAAACUUCUUUGAAAUCAGAUUUGUUUUUCAAUGGGUAAAACCAGAUAUAUUUUGUGUAGUGAUCUACAAAAAUAACAUAAUAUUUGUAUCCAUUAACAGAGACCACAGGAGACGUCCAAACAUCAGUGUAUAUAAUUUCAAGAGGAUGUGAAGAUGAUAUUGUAGAUUUUGAAAACGACAACUUAUGACUUUUAUUUGACAAACACGCAUUACAAUUGACAUCAGACAGCAUAGAAGACGUUACACUGAGUUUAUUGGAAGAUAGAAUUUGUUUUAAAAUGGGAAUGACAGGAUGUCCUAGCCUAUGAUGCCAAGUAGAAGACGAGGUCAUGACACUUGAAAAGGAAAUAAUUGGGGUGGAGUCUGGCCACUCAUAUACGCCACCUUUAGCUUGGCCCUUCAAAAGUGUUGUCCCUAUGCUGAGUUCCUUCACAAGAAAAGUAUCUGGUAAGAAUUCUACGGAAGCAUUGUUAGAAUUGCAAAAUUGAUAAAUAGAAAUAAGAUUUCUUUUCAUGCUUGGAACACAUAGGACAUUGUCUAGAAGAAAAGACUUAUGAGGAGAGUUUAAAGUUGUUGAACCAGUGUGAGUUAUUUGUAACUCAGAUCCAUCCCCUAUCAUCAUAUCAUCACCUCCUCUGUACGGGUUAUGUAAAGAGAGAUUUUCCAGAUCAGCUGUUACAUGAUGCGAUGCACCACUAUUUAGGAGCCAGGUUUGAUUGUUGUUUGUUGUGGCUGCAUAAUUUGCUUUUGGCUGCCAUGGGGUGGAUGAGUGGUUAUUGUUUGACUGCACGGGUUGCAAUUUGUAGGAUGGACAUUUCUUGGCAGUGUGCCCUUGAAUGCGACAGAGUUGGCAGUAGCCAAGGUAUGGGCGUUGUUGUCGCUGAGUGGAAUUGUUGUUUUGGGUCACUCCUAAGUUACGGUUUGGGUUGGAGGAGUUUUGGUUGGUUCCGUUGUUGAUACGCCAAUUGUUGUUAGUACGAGUUGUCACAUGGGCUGUUAUUGGGAACAUUGUGUCAGGUUUUGAAGUGUUUAGAGAUGCCUCAAAAUUGAGCAAUUUCUCAUGAAGUUCUUCGAAUGUGAUAGGGGUGUCCCUGGCUUGUACAGCUCGGGCCAGCUCUUUGUAGUCAUCUCCGACAGCCUCCAGAAUUUUGUCUGUAAGAUCAUCUUCGUCAUAAAGUGCGCCAAGAAGCGUAAGUUCAUCUGCCCGAGCCUUAAUAUUUUGGAGAAAUUCUGUAAUGGAUGCUGACCCUCUAGUCAUUUGUCUAAUUUGGCUUUUAACUUGCUUAAUUCGUCCUCUGGAAGGCUUUGCAUAGGUGUUGGCAAGUGUUAUCCACGCUUCUUUGGAUGUUUUGGCAGUGGCCACAAACGGGAUGAUGUUGGGUGAGAUGGAGCCAAUUAUGGCAUUGAGGAUCAGUUGAUCCUGGCGAACCCAAAGUAAAUGAGCUGGAUUCGGGGUAGUAGUGUUGUUGUCUGUUAUUGUAGCUGAAGGACAAGGUUUAGAACCAUCUAUGUAGCCAAGAAGGUCAUAGCCUGCGAAGAGAGUUUGAAACUGCAAUUUCCAUGAUAAAUAAUUGGAUGAUGUGAGCUUGAGAGGAGUUUGUGCAGCUACAUUAAUGGUGAUUAAGGUGUUGUUGAGGUCAUUAGUGUUUCUGAUGGUGGUGGCCAUUGCAGGAUUUUCUUUCCAGAAAUAAGGAGAGAAAGGGAGAGCCUCUAGUGCUCUGAUACCAUAAAGACUUAAGAGGAAACGAUGAGAAGGCUUAAUCAAUUUCAUUGAUUUACACGUACCAAUAUAUACAGCAAAGAGUGCAACAACUACCUAUAUUAUUGGUUUGUUACAACUGAAUAUAUCUUUACAUUCAAAAUACUUUGAACAGGUAAACUUCUAUAAUCAUGGAGGAGAAUCCUCUAUCACACAUUACAUAAGGAAACAUAAAUUCAUACAUACAUACAUGACAAAACUGCACUAAAUAGUACUAUGGGGAAAUAACUCUCAGUACGCAUAGCCAUCAUCAUUGCCGGAGUAUAGCGAGGGAAAACUCGUUCAAUACCCGGUGGAAUUUAACUACAUCGCAUGGGUAGAGUAACCUAAUUCUCAAUACGCAUGUAUAGAGCCUAUAGGGAAGGGUACACAUACAGUGACUGACAAUCAUAUCUCAUGGCUAUAUCAAAGAUAUAAUAUGCAUACAUGUAAUCAUGACAUGAUAUUGGAUCAUGCUAUCAACCAAAAUACGUCACAGAAAAUAUAAUAGUAAUAAUAAUAUCCACUCAUAUCUCCUGAUUCACUCUAGGGUUCGUUGGGGCUCUUGUAGGUGUCUGGAUUUUCAGAUUUCUCCUAAAAUAUAGGGUUUAACUGUUAGAACUAAUAUAAUAACUUAUACAUAUGAUGUAAAUUAAAUCAUAAUUACUUAAAAUUCAUAAAUCUAUUACCCUUUGACUCACUGAAUAUAGAUCUAAAUGCCCAAUUCUAUUUCCUGUAAUAUUUCCUCUUACUUCCUCUUUUUAACUUCUUUUUCACUCUCGGGUUUCCUUUUCUUUCUUAUUAUUUCCUUUUCUCUUUUCUUUUCCGUUUUCUUUUCUUUUUCUCUUUUUCUUUUUUUUCUUUUCUCACUAUCUCUAUUUCGAUCUCGAUUGCAAAUAAUCUCUAAUUGUGCAAUAGCUCUCAAUUUCCAACUUGAUAAAAUAAAGUGGCUUAUAAUAUUUUUCAAUUUAUAUAGCCUACGACCCUAUGAAUCCAAGUGAGCAGGUGAAAAAUUCAAUGAAAUAGACAGCUAAAGCAAUUGAAGCAUGCAUGUGAACUUAUAAAGCAGGCUGCUGGCUAUUUUCAACUCAAUAAGCCACAUGUGGCCUCUUAAUGCACAAGCAAUGCAUGACAAUUCCUCUCAACUUAUAAAAAUUUCAUCCUACAAAUUUAAAUGCCUAACUGAAAUAAAUAUGGAUAUUGUGAUUGCAUUUGUUCUUCAUGCUCCUAGGUGGCCUUCUUUACUGUAUGACCCUUCCACAUCACCUUAACCAGUGAGCACUACUACAAAAAUGUAAAACAAUGACACAUAUAUUAUGACGGUUUAUUUAAAAAACCGUCAUUAAAAAUAUUUAAUGACGGUUAUUAUAUGAACGGUCAUAAUAUGUACUAUUUAUAAUGAUGGUUCUAUUAUAAAACCGUCAUUAAAUAUCAUGCCAAAAUAUAAUUUUAUUUUUAAUGACGGUUACUUGUAAAAACAGUCAUUAUAAAUUUCAAAUUUUUAAUGACGGUUCUAUUAUAUAACCGUCAUUAAAUAUCAAGUUAUUAUUUUUAAUGACGGUUUAUAAACCUUACAUAUUAAAUUAUUAUUUUUUAUGACGGUUCUACUAUAUAACCGUCAUUAAAUAUAAAGUCAUUAUUUUUAAUAACGGUUUUUAAACAAAACCGUCAUUAAAAAUCACUAAUGACGGUUACAUAUAUAAACUGUCAUUAACUAUAAAAUGUUAUUUUUAAUGACGGUUUUGUUUAAAAACUGUCAUUAAAAAGCCACAAUAUUUUUAAUGACGGUGUUUAAUAACCGUCAUCGAAUAGAAAGAAUCAUUCUUAAUACAUUUCAUGACCAUUUUAUAAUAACCGUCGUUAUAUGUUAUUUGCCUUAAAAAAUUUUUUAAAAAAAGCCGAUAAAAGGAAUAAAGGAAACGCGCAAUCCCUAACCACUCACAUUCGUUGUCUUCUUCUUCAAUUUUCACGAAUUACAAUCACAACGACUCACUCAGUCACACACACCAGCCCUAACCCUACCUAAGCUAUCAAACGCCAAUGCCGCUGCCGCUGUCAAAUCGAUUCAAGUGCUCCGGCGCUGAGUCUAGCCGUCCUUGAGCCGAUUUGCUUCCUUUUUCUGCCGCCGCUGUCAAUCUCUGCCAUUUUUGAGCCGAUUCACUUCCGCAAAACAGCUGCUGUCAUCUCUGCCGACAUUGCCUCUGUGUUCGUUCACCGUCAGAUGCAGUGUUAUUGUGGUGACACUGCCUCCGCUAUCAAGUCAGUUCAAAUUUUCUGGGUGCUAUCUCGAAAAUGUUGGUGAGAUUGUUGCCAAUGAUAUUCUAAAAUUUUGAAUUCAGGGUUAUUGUUUCACCACUGUGAGUUGCUUUCUCCAAUUUUGCAAUUCUUUCCUCUUAAUUUGCUUUGAAAUAUUUGCUCGUUGGAUUUAUUUCCUCUUCAUUUAUAUUCGAUUUGGUGUUUUGUGUUGUGUAGCUUGUACCUUAGUCUCUCCUUUUCCUUUCAUAAUAUUAUAAAAUAUGUCGUGCACUUUGGCCUUUCGUUUCUUGAUUUUCUUGGUUAAUGAAUUUGGAAAAAGAGUGAAUUAUGGGUAAGGGGAUAGAAAAUCACAUUGACAGAAAAGAGGACUGAAACGCCCUGAUUUUUACUAAGUGGAGUUUACUUAUUUGUUAAAAAAAUAAAUUUUAAAUUAUUAAUGAUUUAAUUGUCUUAUGCUUAUUAUAUUGUUCGUAAAAUUUUUGUUACAAGUCCAGCCCAUGAACCUCUUUAUGUUUUAGCAUUUCUUUAUUUAUUUACGAAACGAAAACCAGCGUUCGAAUUCAAAAGUAACAAAACAGAAAAAGGAAGAAAGGAAACAAGAGGAUAACAGGACGUGAGAGAGGAGAAGAGGGAGAAAGAAGAGAAAGACAAGAGAGGCUAGGUGAAGGAUUUCGAUUUAAAGAGAGAGAAUUCAAUUUCAGAGCAAAAUAUUAAAUAUAUGGCUUUUUAAAUUUGUAAGCCUUAUUCAAUUUCAGAGCAAAAUAUUAAAUAUCUGGCUUUUUAAAUUUGUAAGCCUUCUUUCUCAGUUCACUUUAUUCUUUUAUUUUUCUUCAAAAUUCUUGUUUAAAUUGGCAUGCUUGUUGAUGUUGUUAAGUCAUUUCUAAAUUAACUUGCAUGCAUGAUUAAAAUUCUGUUUAUUUAGAUAUUAUGUCAUUGAAAUUAGUUUCUUUUGCCAUGCUUGUUUCAUGUUCCGAUUCUUAUUUGAAAAAAAAAAAUUUCUAUGUUCGUUCCAUAAUCUGUUUUGGGUAUUAAAGUUGAUACUACCUAGCAAAUUCUAAACUGUAAUGGCUGAUUUCUUCUCUUAUUUUUGUUUAAUCUAUUCAAAUUCAUGUAUAAAUUUACAGGUGUCAGAUAUUUGCCUAAUUAUCAUGUAUGUGUUAAAUUCAUUUUGGGUGAAUUUUUAUACUAUUUAAUCAACUUCAAAGUUACAUGGGUUUGGCCAAUUAUCACAUAAUCUCUUCUUUGACUAUUUGAUUAGAUUUUUGUUCAUGCGUGGCUUAAUUAAUUUCGAAAUCUUCUUACUUGUGAGUGUGGUCAAACCCCAAACAAAUGAAGAAGUCUUCUGGUUUUAUGUCUUAAAUAGAGUGCCUGUAAAUAUAAAAUCGAGAUUGAGCUAAUGAGUGAAAAUGAUGGUACUUGGAUUUUUUGAGGCUCUGUUUUUUUUUCUUUACUUUAAAAGCUAAUUUGUUUAGCUUUACCUUUGAUUUGAAUUUUUUGCUUCUGUUCUUUGCAGCCAACCUAUGAAAAUGGUGAUAAUCGGGCUCCAAUAAAUAUUGAUUUAAUAGGAACCACAUUGGUAAGCCUAGUUGCAAGACAAGAACUACUUUGCAAAGCAUGCUAUGUGUAUAAUUCUGAGCAUUAAGGAUUCAGUUUCUGAAGGGCAAGCUUGCUGGCUGGGUAUAAAUGUUCCAAGUGCCAAUCCCACCUUAUGUAAGCACAAAAUAUAGUCUCCAUUUCCUUUUUGGAUUAUAUUUGUUUGUAUAGUUAUAUGAUACUGGAUUUUAAUUUAAGAAUUUGUGCAGUACAUUUUUUUACUGUUAGGAGUUAGUUUGAUCAAGGUUAUUUAAGUACUAAACUGUUAUAAUUGAGCUUGUAUGCAUUUAAGUUCUUUAUAUGUAAAUGACAAUUAUAUCAAUGUGUAAUGUAAAUUGAAAUUUGCCAAUGUGGCUUCAAUUGUACAGUUUAGAAUGUGAAAAUAACUAUCUAAAUUUUAAUUUAAAAAAACAAUUGAAGUAUAGUAAUUUUAAAUUGUUAUUUUUUUUUUAUUUUUACUCGUGCAAAAGAUGACGGUUCUUAUAUAAGAACAUUCAUCAAAGAGCGAUAUAAGAUGACUGUUAUGAUACAAAACCGUCACUAAAAAUUAAUAUUUAAUGACGGUUAUUAAAAAUCCGUCAUUAAAAGUAUAUAUUUAAUGACGGUUAUUGGCAAAAAACGGUCAUUAAAACUUAUGUACCUAUAGCAUAUAAUGACGGUUUAUUAGAAUAACCGUCAUAAUAAGUAUACAUUUAAUGACGGUUUUUAAACCGUCAUAAAAAAUGUACCCCUUUUAAUGUCGCUGCCUAAGAUAACGGUUUUAAAACCGUCAUCUUAUGUCUUUUAAAACCGUCAUUAAAGGCCAAUUUUGUAGUAGUGGAGAUUAUCUUAUUACAAAACACAUGUUGUUUCUGAUCAAGUAUCUAGAUUAGUUCGAUUUCAUAAGUCAAAUCCACUGUCAUUUAGACUAGUUCUGUAUCUAAAACAUAAAAAGGAUCAAGAAUAUACUUCUGUAGAAUCAAGACUUAAAAAACAUCAUGGACUCAUGAUAACUCUAGAGGUAAAGCCAAACGGUAAGCAACUAGACUAACAUAUUGAAUAAUCUCAGAUGGGCCUUUAUAACGAGGGCUUAACUUCCUAUGUUUUCCAAAUUGAAGAAUGCCUUUCUAAAGGGAAAUCCGUAGGAAAACUAUAUCACCUACUGCAAACUCAAGUGGCCUUUAAUGCUUAUCUGCAUAUCCCUUUCUGUCCAUCCUACGCUAACUUUAACUUCGUAUGUUUUCCAAAUUGAAGAAUGCCUUUCUAAAGGGAAAUCCGUAGGAAAACUAUAUCACCUAUUGCAAACUCAAGUGGCCUCUAAUGCUUAUUUGCAUAACCCUUUCUGUCUAUCUUACCCUAACUUUGACUUUUCUCUGAUGACAUUAAUCUUCUGAUUAGUACUUUGGAUGAUUUCUAGUUUCUGGACUUAACAAUUGCCUUUCCUUGACUUCAUCCCAACAAAUAGAAGUCCUGCAUUUCCUUCCAUAUAGAGCCUCAAAUGGUGCCAUUUAAAUACUAUACUAAUAAUAAUUAUUAUUAUAAGUAACUUCCAUCAAAGGCAAGUAUAUAUCUUAAUUGCCUCGAAACUGCAUGAGGCAUGCUCGAAGCAUAUCUUUUAAAAUUUGAAAAAACCCUCUUUGAUUGCCUAUUUGUUUGCAGAUGAUAAGCUAUACGAUAAUAUAAUCUAGUACCUAUAAACUACUAUAAACAAGGCCAAACCCUAGAAGUAAACAGUACAUCUUUAUCUGAAAUAAUAGGUAUAGGAGCUCCAUACAAAUUUACUAUUUCCUUUAUAUAAAAGUUUGCAAUCAUACCAUAAGAGUACAUGCUCUUAUAAGGCAAAAAGUGAGCAAACUUUGUGAGGCAAUUAACAAUAACCCACACAUUAUUAUAACCACUAUUAGUAUGAGGAAGUCCUAUUACAAAGUCCAUUGUGAUGUGUGUUGGUGUAUAAAUACUAAUGCUAUUGGUGUCAAUGUGCAAGUGUACACAACAAGUAAUAAAAUGAUGAGUAUUUAAGAUCGUCUCCACAGGGAUUGAUGUUAUCAGAUUUGCUACAACAAUCUUAACAGUGCAGAUUUUGUGUCUAAAUUAAGAUAAACAACUGAUGAAACUAAUUUACUAAUUAAAAUAAAAACACAAUAAAUAAAAUGCAACAAAGUAGAUUAUCACGUCAAACUCAAGGAUAAAACUAAUGAGAAUAUAUAGUAGUUGAGUGAGUAAACUCUCUUAAUGAUUUUGACUAUUUUCUAAUGGUUGGCUCGGUUACUGCAGUAUCUGCUAUAGCACUGGGCAGAAUCCUUAUGUAUCCUCAGCCAUCGCAUGUUGGAUAUCUUAUAUCUAUAUGCAACCUAACAGUGAUCAAUUGUUAUGCCAACAUAAGAUAUAGCAUUACACGCUUAGGUUCCAUUUACCCUACAAGGUGAGUCCCUAUGUCUAGUUCAUCACUAAUCUUAAAUCAAACAUGGCCCUUUUGGGACUUAAGUAAAACUCAAUCCGGGAAACCCAAUUUAAGAUCAAGUAUUGCUUUGAUAUGUUCCACUAAGAUAGGCCAUUUUGCGGCUCUCUCCUAACUUGUAUCAUUAAAUGGGUGAUCAACCGAAAUAAUGAAUAAAAUAAAUACUAUCAAAAUAAAUUGCUACAGCAAACAUACAGCAACACAUAUAUUCAGUCAAUAAACUAUCAAGAUUGUUUAUCACUCAACCACAAAUAAAUUUAGUUCAUGGUUUGCAAAAGAAAAAUAAAGAACAAAGUUCCAGCCAUGAAACACAUCCCCAUAAAUAAAUAAAUAGAAAACGAGAAAGCAAGAGAAGAAUAAGAAUGAUUGAGCUCUCAAUUGAUUUCUGCAAAUUCUCCUCUUGUGCAGCCCUUAAUCUCUCUCUUGAAUCUUGUUUUUCUUUUGUUUCUUUGUGUUUUUCUCCUUGGGUGACGGCUCUCCUCCAUUCCUUAUGAUGUGUGCUUCUUUUAUAGUUGAAAAUUAGGGUAAACGAAAGCCUAAGUCGCGCAUAAGUCAGAUUAGGAAACUGCAGAUCGCAAUUCUGCAGUUAUCCCGCACAGAAUUUUCUCUGUCGUUGUUCCAGGAUUGCUACAGCAACGGCUACAGCAAUGGUUGCUAUAGCAAUAUCUACAGCAACUACACUGUUCCAGAUUUGUUUCAACUCUUUUGUAGCCAUGUUCUUUCCUUAUUUUUUGCAAGUCUAUUGCAUAACAUUCCUUCCAUGAAUUAUAAGCUUCUGGAAACCUACAAUUAUGCACACAAUUUAAGCACAAAUUACUUUAAAUCGAGCAAAACUUAUUAAGAUUGACUAAAAUAAUUAUUUAUGCAAAAUGUAACAAAAAUACAAUAGAAACACAUAAUUUACUCUCUAAAUAGUAUUGAUUUAAAUCUAAAAGUGCCAUGAUAACUCUCAUUUCAUAGAGUUAUCAAUGUGCUCCCAUUUCCACUCAAGAAUAGACAGUGGUUGAUGUUCUCCUAUAGGUUUCUAAUGUUUUACGUUAACUUGCUGACAAGUUAAACAAUGUGCUAUAAACUACACUAUUUCUCUCUUCAUCCCCUCUCACCAAUAAUGGUCCCUCAAAAUGCGAUACAUCUUCUUCCUACCUUUAUGCAUAGUAUAUGCCGAACUAUUUGCUACUUCUAAAAUCUGGUUCUUCAAAUUUGAAUUAUUCGGCAAACAAAGUCUACUGCCCAUAACUAAAGUUAUAUUAUCUCUCAGUGAAAAGUUAGUAUGCAGUACAUUAUUCACAUAUUCUUUUUUUUAAUCAAUUUCGAAUCUUGAUCCUGCAUCUCUUGAAUCUGAUCAAUCAAAACAGGCCUAGCCUGAAAAUGUGCCAAAAGUGCUCCAUUAUGAUCCACUGCCACUUCUAUAUCUAAAGACUUCAAAUCAAUCAACAAUAAAAGGUAUGACACUUUCAAGUGGGAUAUCAAACUCAAAGACUUCCUACGGAGAGCAUUAGCUACCAUUUUACCUUGCUUGGAUAGUAAUCAAUGACACAAUCGUAAUUUGCAAUCAACUCAACCCAUUUAUGUUGUCUCAAAUUUAAUUUCUUAUGUAUGUAUAAGUGUUUCAGGCUUUUUUGGUUUGUAUAAAUCUCACAAACAUCUUCAUAUAAAUAAUAUCUCUAAGUCUUUAAAGUAAACACCACUACUAUGAGCUCUAAAUCAUGUGUUGGAUAAUUCAAUUAGUUUUGCAUAAGCUAUUGGGAAGCAUAAGCAAUUACCUUUCCAUGCUGCAUCAAUACAUAACUCAAUCUCUAUCUUAAUGCACCAAUGUAAACUAUGAAUCAUUUUUUACCUUAUAGAAGUGUAAGAAUUAGAGUUGUAGUUAACCUUUUCUUAAGUUCUAGGAAACUCUAUUCACAAUCAUUUGUUCAUUCAAAUUUCACUUUCUUCCUUCUUAAUUUAUUCACAAUCAUCUGUCCAUUCAAACUUCACUAUCUUCCUUGUUAAUUUCAUUAGAGGUAAAGUUAUCUUUGAAAAACCUUCGACAAAUCUGUGAUAAUAACCUGCGAAGCUAAGAAAACCCCUGACCUCUUAUAUAUUAGUCAAUCGCUCCCAAUUACCUACAUCUUUUAUUUUCUAGAGAUCUACAUAAAUACCCUCAGUAGAAAUCACAUGACCUAAGAAUUCAACUCUAUCUAACCAAAAUUGACAUUUAUUGAAUUUAGUAUAAAGCUGCUGAUAACUCUAUAAAAUGAGAGUUAUCAUAGCACUUUUAGACUUAAAUCAAGAUCACUUAAAGAGUAAAUGAUGUGUUUUUAUUGCAUUUUUGUUACAUUUUGCAUAAACAUUCAUUUUAGUUUAGUCUUAAUAAGUUUUGCUUGAUUUAAAGUAAUUCGUACUCAAAUUGUCUUCAUAAUUGUAGGUUUCCAGAAGCUUAUAAUUCAUGGAAGGAAUGCUGAUGCAAUAGGCUGGCAAAAAUAAGGAAAGAACAUGGCUACAAAAGAAUUGAAACAAAUCUGGAACAGUGCAGUUGCGGUAGCCAUUGCUGUAGCAAUCCUGGAACAACAACAGAGAAAAUUCCGCGCAGGAUACUUGUAGAAUUACGAUAUGUAGUUUCCUAAAUCUGAUUUAUGCGCGACCUAGGCUUUUGUUUACCCUAAUUUUGAACUAUAAAAGGAGCACACAUCAUAAGGAAUAAGGGGGAGCCGUCUGUUGAGUGUUAGAAAAUGUAAAUUUAUAAAGGAGAAAAUCGUCAUUUUACAUUUCACGUCUUACUAACAACCCUUACUUUUAUGUAUUUAAGGUUCUUGUAAUUUAAUUAUGUGUGUUUUAUUUUAAUUAAGUUUUUGUGUAUUUUAGGGGCAUCAUAGUCAUUUCACAAUAAACGAGAGAUCAAACGGCAAAACGGACAUCACUUUUGAACUCAGGACGGUCGAAAACCUUAGGAGGAGCAUAAAAGGAAAAAUAGCACUAUUCACAUGUACGGUACUAUUCACAUGUAUGGUACUGUCUACGUUACUGUUCACGACACUGUUCACAUAGACGGAUCGAUGACGUGGCAUUGACCGAUGAUGUGGCAUUGACUGAUGAGGUGUCAUGAUCCUGUUGGUCUAAAAUUCUUAUGAACUGUUGAUGGUGACGUGGCAGCAUAUUAGUGGACCAAAACUUGCGCGUACGGUACAUGCAUUACACAGGAUUAUUUUCAACCAAACUACGUUACUGUUCAAAGCCGGGUCAAACCGUGUUACUGUUCAUCCGCGUGGUCAAACCGCGUACUGUUGACUGAUAACGUGACACAAUCAUGAGCGUCCAAACUGUUUUUAAUCCGAUGGCCAUGAUUUACUCCAUGUAUCUAUAAAAAGGGGGCCUCCCCCCCUAAUUUGAUACCUCUGAAUCCAUUUUUGGGAUCCAUUUUCUGUAAUUCCUUCUCCAUCUUGUAUUUUCUAUGUAUUUUAAUAAAUUCCCAUUUUGCCCCUAGUUCAAUUAUGAGUACCUAAUUUUCUUUCAAGCUUGGGUUGAAGGUGAAGUCUCAACAUGUGUCAUGGGCUUUAUUUGGUAAAUUUAUUUUCUUUUCCCCUCUAAUUUGUGUGGAUGAUUUGACUUUUCGUAGACAAAUAAUAAUAAUCUUGUCUAGAUACCGCCUUGGUUACAUCGGCUCUCUAGUACAAGGUUAUUAUUAUUUGGCACGAUAAUAAUAUUGAUUAGAGUGUGGCUCAUGAGGUGUGGAUUCCCCCCUCAUGUUUUAAUUGGCAUUAAUAAGGAAUAUUUAGUCCAUGGUGCAUGUUGAUACGGAUCUAGGUACCCAAGUACGUCAUUUCAAUAGAAUUCUCUUCAAUUUAUUCUCGCCAUUUCAAUUCCAAUUUUAGAAUUUAUUCUCCCCAUUUUAGUUUAAGUUUUAGCAUAUUCCAAAUUAUUUCCACCACAAAUCCAAUCACCCAUUUACAAAAUUAAUUCUACACACAAUUAAAAUCCACCUCCUCGUGGGAUCGACACUCGUCACCAUUGAUCUAUAUUACAAUAGAUUCGUGCACUUGCGAGUUCAAUAAAAUUUGCACAACAUCGUCACCCAAGGAGAAAAACACAAAGAAACAAAAGAAAAACAAGAUUCAAGAGAGAGAUUAAGGGCUGUACAAGAGGAAAAAUUGCAGAGAUCAAUUGGGAGCUCAAUCCUUCUUAUCCUUCUCUUGUUUUCGUGUUUUCUAUUUAUUCAUGGGGAUGUGUUUCAUGGCCGAAACUUUGUUCUUUAUUUUUCUUUUGCAAAUCAUGAACUAAAUUUAUUUGUAGUUGAGUGAUAAAUAAUCUUGAUGGUUUAUUGACUGGAAAUACGUGUUGCUGAAUGUUUGCUGUAGCAUUUUGUUUUGAUAGCAUUUAUUUUUAUUCAUUAUUUCGGAUGAUCGCCCAUUUGAUGAUACAAGUUAGGAGAUAGCCACAAAAGGGCCUAUCUUAGUGGAACAUAUAAGAGUAAUACUUGGUUUUAGAUUGUAUUUCAUGUAUUGGGUUUAACUUAUUCCAAAAGGGCCAUGCUUAAUCUAAAAUUAGUGAUGAACUAGACAUAGGGAUUCACCUUGUAGGGUAAAUAGAACCUAAGCGUGUAAUGUUAUAUCUUAUAUUAGCAUAACAACUUAUCACUGUUAGGUUGCAUAUAGAUAUAAGAUAUCCAACAUGCGACGACUGAGGAUACAUAAGGAUUCUGCCCAGUGCUGUACCAAAUGUUGUAGCAACCGAGCCAAAUAUUAGAAAAAUAGUCAAAACCAUUAAGAGAGUUUAUUCACUCAACUACUUUAUAUUCCCAUUGGUUUUAUCUUUGAGAUUGACGUGAUAAUUUACUUUGUUGCAUUUUAUUUCUUACAUUUUUAUUUUAAUUAGUGUAUUAGUUUCAUUAAUUAUUUUAUUUUAAUUUAGCACAAAAUCUGCACUGUUAAGAUUGCUGUAGCAAAUCUGAUAACAUCAAUUCCUGUGGAGACGAUCUUGAAUACUCAUCACUUUAUUACUUGUUGUGUACACUUACACAUUGACGCCAAUAGCAUUAGUAUUUAUACCCAACAAGUUUUUGGCGCAAUUGCCGGUGAUUGAAUGUUCAUUGUGAUUUGUGAAAUUAGUUUUAACGGUGCUAAUUUUUAAUUUAAUUUUAAUUUGUUUAUGUUGUUGACAUAGGUGAUCUAGCAACCCUUGCAUGCGCAAAUAUAAAUAUGUUGAAUUCCAAUUUGAUCCAGAAAUUGAAAAAAAUCGCAAGGAGAUUGAGAAUAGAGCAUAAAAAAUUACAAGCUGUUGUAGUAAUGGAUGACUUGCAAGAUAUGAGAAACUUGAACCGUAGAGAGGAGAUACAACCAGUCAAUGUACAUGAAGGUCUAAAUGGACAAUGUGUUCAACAUCGUGGUAUUCCUUGCUGCAUACAAUUGGAAACUUUCUAUAAUGGUCUCAACCCAAGCACUAGAUUGAUGGUGGACGCUUCAGUAAAUGGGGUAUUGUUAUCUAAGUCUUACGAUGAAGCUUAUAAAAUUUUGGAGAGGAUAGCCAACAAUAACUAUCAGUGGCCAUCAACUAGACAAGUUGCAGCAAGAGGAACAACAAGAGUCUAUAAUGUAGAUGCCUUAAUAGCAUUGUCAGCCCAAGUAACUUCAUUAAAAAAGAUGGUCAAGGUUAUGACUAAUGCUCCAGCAACUGUUAACCAAAUUUCUGAUGUGUCUUGCGUUUAUUGUGGAGAAGGGCAUUUAUUUGAUAAUUGUCCUUGUAAUCCAACUUCGGUUAACUAUAUGGGUAGCUUCAACAGACAAAACCAGAGCAAUCCAUAUUCAAACACUUACAACCCUAGAUGGAGACAGCAUCCGAACUUUUCAUGGAGUUAUCAGAACCAGACUGCUGCAGUACCCAGCAGAUUUUAUCAGCAAAAUCAAGAGCAAAGAAGCAUCAACAAUGAUCAACUCAACUCCCUUGAAGGUUUGAUUAAAGAUUAUAUUGUGAAAAAUGAAGCAGUUGUCCAAAGUCAUAGUGUAUCUUUGAGAAACUUGGAUAAUCAAAUUGGACAGCUUGCUACAGCAUUGAGCAACAGACCUCAAGGUAGUUUACCUAGUAAUACAGAGGACCCAAGAAGAGAAGGGAAAGAGCACUGUAAAGGGAUUAACUUGAGAUCUGGAAAGGAUGUUCAUAGUCCCAUUAGUGUACCAAAAAGAAGAGUUGAGUCCACUUCAAUCCAGAAAGAAACUCAAAUUGAAAAAGAGCCACAAUCCUCCACUUCACAGCACAUUGGUGAGAGCAGUCAAGCUGCAGUAUUUGCCGAAAAAUGAUAAUCCAACACCUGUGGAUAACGAGGCUGUAGCACCAACCCAGAACAUAGCAAAAAAGAAACAGUCUGCACGACCUUCUACAACACAGCAGUUUAGGCACCCACUACCACCACCCUUCCCUCAAAGAUUUCAGCAGCAAUAAGACAAACAGUUCAGCAAAAUCUUGGGAGUGUUGAAACAGUUACAUAUCAAUAUCCCUUUUGUGGAAGCUCUAGAGCAAAUGCCAAAUUAUGAAAAAAAUUUUAAAGAUAUUUUGACAAAAAAAAAUAAGACUUGGAGAAUUUGAGAUAGUUGCUCUAACACAAGAGUGCAGCCGAAUGCUUCAGAGUAAGAUACCGUAGAAGAUGAAGGAUCCAUGAAGCUUCACAAUCUCUUGCUCCAUAGGCACUAAAUACAGUGGCAAAACACUUUGUGAUCUGGGGGCUAGCAUCAAUCUCAUGCCUUUAUCAGUGUUUAAGCAAUUGAGAGUUGGUAAAUGUAGACCAACAACAGUGGCUUUACAACUUGCUGACAGAUCUCAUGCAUAUCCAAAAGGGAAGAUUGAAGAUGUGUUGGUGAAGGUGGAUAAAUUUAUUUUUCCGGUGGAUUUCAUUGUGCUAGACUUUGAGGCAGACAAAGAAGCGCCAAUCAUUCUAGGGAGACCUUUCUUAGCCACGAGAAAGACUUUAAUUGAUGUUCAAAAAGAAGAAUUAACUAUGAGGGUAAAUGACCAGCAAGUUACAUUCAAUGUGCUAGAUACCAUGAAGAGUCCCGAUGAGAUUGAAGAUUGUAAUAUAUCAAUGUUGUGGACUUUGUUGUAGCAGAGAGAUUACACAGUUGCUGCAGUAAGGAAGAAAUCAAUGUUGUAACAUUUGAAGAACUUGAUGAUGAAGAUCGUGGAGUAGCUAACAUAACAUGGUCAGGGGAGAAGUAACCCUUCAGAAUUGACGAGCAUAUCCAACAAAGGGAACUCACUCUAGACCAACAAGAAUUCAAGGUUAGCAGGCCGAAAGUGAAGCACUAUAUGGGAGAUGAUGUGAACAGCCUAAAGAAGGAUCGGUUCUUGAAGGAUCCAGGUUGAGCAAACAAGAAAGGUCAGGCUGAAAAACCUAAAAUCAAGCGCUAAUUGGGAGGCAACCCAAUAAGGGAAAUUGUUUUAAGUUUUUAAGGCAUUGAUUUUAGUUUUUAAAUUAUUUAAUUUGUCUUUUUGUUAUUUUAAGUGUGCAUAUAAUUUUUUGUCUUUUUGUUAAAUUGCAGCAAGUAAAAAAAAUGUGGGCAAAAACAGAGCAUGAUGGAAUUGCUGCAGCAUCACUUACAGCAUGACAUAUAACAGAAGAUUCUCAUACAAUAUAGGCAUUUCUUACUUUUACAGCAGCAAAUGGAUUGAUCAAAUUUUAUGAUAAGGAGCGUUUGAGAAGUGAAUCAAAUAAGAAGUGACUCUUUUCAGCCUGUGCUGCAGCAGUGCUUCCAGCAACAGGGGAGUACCCCUACCCGCUAGUUUAUUUUACUUCUUUCUGUAAAAUUUUUCUUUCAUUUAGUUUUAAUUUUCUAAUUCAUUCUGCAUGUCCUUUUAUUUAGUGUAUGCAUGUCUGGUUUAUGUGAUUUUGUUUUAUGUGUGAGGACACAACACCACUCAAGUUUGGGGGGGUUGUGUUUCUGAGUGCAUGUGUUUAUACUUGUGUUGUGUGUUAUGUGAAGCUCUGUCAUCUAAUAUUUGUGUAUGGAUUUGAAAACCUAAUGAAGAUAAAUUGAGUGUUAGUCAGUAUUUAUGAGAAUGCCAAGUAGAGAUAGUUAUAGAUGGAGGUUGAAAUUUUGUCCCGACACUUAGACUUUGGUUGAGUUUUAUGAGAAUGCUAUAGCGAAAACCAAAAAAGAGUAGAAAAUAUCUCAAGUUUAGGGAAAAUUUUUGUUGGACUGUGCCUGUUAUGAAAUAAAUUUUGCUCCAAUGGCUUAAGUUGCUGAGUAACCAGGGCUGAGUAUGUACCACAUAUGCAGACUUGAGUCCAAAGGCAACAAGAGCUAUGAGCAGUCCUGCAGCAAUUUUAUAUAAAAAAAAGUAAAAAAAUGGUGAUGAAGGAAUGAAAAAUAAAGAGGUCUGCUGCCUAGGAUAUUGAGUAACCUGGUCUGUUCAUGAGCCCCAUGUUCAGCCUUGAGUUAAAGGCGUCCGAAGGUAAGACCUAAAUAUAGCAUCCUGGAUGUGUUGCUGCAGCAACUCUGAUAUGUGCUUUGAGUGAGUAAUUGGGUGUCGUCAUUACAAGUUAUAGGCAUUCACAUGAAAGCUCAAUGUUGCAUUGAAGAGUUUAACUGAAAAAAAAAAUUUAUGUUUGUUGAAGCAUAAUUUGAGUUUAUUUAUGAAUUAUGCUCCCCCAUAUGUGAAUAUAUUUGUGUUCUACCUUUAAAUUAUAUGCAAUGUCUGUGUAAUGUUGUAGCACUUUUGGAAUUUGAUCAAAGUGGCACACACACACACUGGACAGAAUGAAGCCUAAGUCUAAAACUUGAAUUGUUAUGGCAAUUUUGUACGAUUAAAAGUGUGAUAUGAGGGUUGAACAAUCUUUGCAAAUUUGAUAACAAAGUUAAGUUAUUUGUUGCAUGAUUGUGUGCUUGAAGUGUUAGUGUUUCGUCAUUACUUGAGGACAAGUAAUGGGUUAAGUUUGGGGGUGUGAUAACUCUAUAAAAUGAGAGUUAUCAUAACACUUUUAGACUUAAAUCAAGAUCACUUAGAGAGUAAAUGAUGUGUUUUUAUUGCAUUUUUGUUACAUUUUGCAUAAACAUUCAUUUUAGUUUAGUCCUAAUAACUUUUACUUGAUUUAAAGUAAUUCGUGCUCAAAUUGUGUGCAUAAUUGUAUGUUUCCAAAAGCUUAUAAUUCAUUGAAGGAAUGUUGAUGCAAUAGGCUAGUAAAAAUAAGGAAAGAACAUGGCUACAAAAGAAUUGAAAUAAAUCUAGAAUAGUGCAGUUGUUGUAGCCGUUGCUGUAGCAAUCCUGGAACAACAACAGAGAAAAUUCCGUGCAGGAUACUUGUAGAAUUGCGAUAUGUAGUUUCCUAAUCUGACUUAUGCGCAACCUAGGCUUCCGUUUACCCUAAUUUUCAACUAUAAAAGGAGCACACAUCAUAAGGAAUAAGGGGGAGCAGUCACCCAAGGAGGAAAAACACAAAGAAACAAAAGAAAAACAAGAUUCAAGAGAGAGAUUAAGGGUUGCACAAGAGGAAAAAUUGCAGAGAUCAAUUGGGAGCUCAAUACUUCUUAUCCUUCUCUUGUUUUCGUGUUUUCUAUUUAUUCACAGGGAUGUGUUUCAUGGACGAAACUUUGAUCUUUAUUUUUCUUUUGCAAAUCAUGAACUAAAUUUAUUUGUAGUUGAGUGAUAAACAAUCUUGAUGGUUUAUUGACUGAAAAUAUGUGUUGCUAUAUGUUUGCUGUAGCAUUUUGUUUUGAUAGCAUUUAUUUUUAUUCAUUAUUUUGGCUGAUCACCCAUUUAAUGAGACAAGUUAGGAGAGAGCCACAAAAGGGUCUAUCUUAGUGGGACAUAUAAGAGUAAUACUUGAUUUUAGAUUGGGUUUCCUGGAUUGAGUUUAACUUAUCCCAAAAGGGCCAUGCUUAAUUUAAAAUUAGUGAUGAACUAGAUAUAAGGAUUCACCUUGUAGGGUAAAUAGAACCUAAGCGUGUAAUGAUAUAUCUUAUGUUGGCAUAACAACUGAUCACUGUUAGGUUGCAUAUAGAUAUAAUAUAUCUAACAUGUGACGGCUGAGGAUACAUAAGGAUUCUGCCCAGUGCUGUNNNNNNNNNNNNNNNNNNNNNNNNNNNNNNNNNNNNNNNNNNNNNNNNNNNNNNNNNNNNNNNNNNNNNNNNNNNNNNNNNNNNNNNNNNNNNNNNNNNNNNNNNNNNNNNNNNNNNNNNNNNNNNNNNNNNNNNNNNNNNNNNNNNNNNNNNNNNNNNNNNNNNNNNNNNNNNNNNNNNNNNNNNNNNNNNNNNNNNNNNNNNNNNNNNNNNNNNNNNNNNNNNNNNNNNNNNNNNNNNNNNNNNNNNNNNNNNNNNNNNNNNNNNNNNNNNNNNNNNNNNNNNNNNNNNNNNNNNNNNNNNNNNNNNNNNNNNNNNNNNNNNNNNNNNNNNNNNNNNNNNNNNNNNNNNNNNNNNNNNNNNNNNNNNNNNNNNNNNNNNNNNNNNNNNNNNNNNNNNNNNNNNNNNNNNNNNNNNNNNNNNNNNNNNNNNNNNNNNNNNNNNNNNNNNNNNNNNNNNNNNNNNNNNNNNNNNNNNNNNNNNNNNNNNNNNNNNNNNNNNNNNNNNNNNNNNNNNNNNNNNNNNNNNNNNNNNNNNNNNNNNNNNNNNNNNNNNNNNNNNNNNNNNNNNNNNNNNNNNNNNNNNNNNNNNNNNNNNNNNNNNNNNNNNNNNNNNNNNNNNNNNNNNNNNNNNNNNNNNNNNNNNNNNNNNNNNNNNNNNNNNNNNNNNNNNNNNNNNNNNNNNNNNNNNNNNNNNNNNNNNNNNNNNNNNNNNNNNNNNNNNNNNNNNNNNNNNNNNNNNNNNNNNNNNNNNNNNNNNNNNNNNNNNNNNNNNNNNNNNNNNNNNNNNNNNNNNNNNNNNNNNNNNNNNNNNNNNNNNNNNNNNNNNNNNNNNNNNNNNNNNNNNNNNNNNNNNNNNNNNNNNNNNNNNNNNNNNNNNNNNNNNNNNNNNNNNNNNNNNNNNNNNNNNNNNNNNNNNNNNNNNNNNNNNNNNNNNNNNNNNNNNNNNNNNNNNNNNNNNNNNNNNNNNNNNNNNNNNNNNNNNNNNNNNNNNNNNNNNNNNNNNNNNNNNNNNNNNNNNNNNNNNNNNNNNNNNNNNNNNNNNNNNNNNNNNNNNNNCCAAAUAUUAGAAAAAUAGUCAAAACCAUUAAGAGAGUUUAUUCACUCAACUACUCUAUAUUCCCAUUGAUUUUAUCCUUGAGAUUGACGUGAUAAUUUACUUUGUUGCAUUUUAUUUAUUACGUUUUUAUUUUAAUCAGUAUAUUAGUUUCAUUAAUUGUUUUAUUUUAAUUUAGCAUAAAAUCUGCAUUGUUAAGAUUACUGUAGCAAAUCUGAUAACAUCAAUCCCUAUGCAGACGAUCUUGAAUACUCAUCACUUUAUUACUUGUUGUAUACACUUGCACAUUGACACCAAUAGCAUUAAUAUUUAUACCCAGCAAGUUUUUGUGCUAGUGCCUCAAGGUUUAUAAAGUAAUCCUCAAGUGCUCUGCAUGUUCCUCUCAACUAUAUGAAUAUAUUAGGAUAUCAUCAAUAAAUACAAUAACAAACCGAUCUAAGUAAGACUGAAAGACCCAGUUCAUGAGAUCCAUAAAUUCUGCAGGGGCAUUGGUUAGCCCAAUUGGCAUUACCAAAAACUCAUAAUGCCUAUAACGAGUGCUAAAUGUGGUUUUGGAUACAUUAACAUCUCUCAUCUUCAAUUGAUGAUAACCUGAGCAUAAAUCUAUCUUUAAGAAAACUGUCACACCCUAUAGCCAAUCAAACAGGUCAUCAAUCUGAGGAAGCAAAUAUUUGUUACGAUUAAUGACUUUAUUCGACUUCUUGUAUUCAGUACAAAAUCUAUAGUUCUAUCUUUUUUCUUCACAAAUAAUAUUAGUGCUCUCCAUAGAGAUAUACUAGGUCUGAUGAAGCCCUCAUCAACUAGUUUUUGUAACUAUACCGUUAACUCUCUUAACUCUAAUAAAGCCAUCCUGUAUGGGGCCAUAGAAGUAAGGGUUAUGCCUAGAAUUAAAUCAACAGUGAACUCUAUAUCUCUAUUAAGUGGCAAGCCAAGAAGAUUGUUAGGAAACAUAUUCAGAUACUCUUUUACCAUAAGAAUAUCUUCUAAUUUCACAUCAUUAAUUUAGCUAUCAAUAACAUGAGCCAAAGUAGCAAAACACCCUUUUUGAGUAAUCGUUUAGCAGAAAUAGUAAACAUCACACAAGAAAGAAAGAUUUAUUGUUCCCUAUAGAAAAUUGUAUUAGAUUCUCCAUAUUUUCUGAAAGUUACUUCUUUUCGAAAACAGUCCACUGUAGCAUGAUUUGAUGAUGGUUCGUUAGCCAAUCUAUCCUCAGUUUAGUAUCAAAAUCAUGAAUGUCUUACGAAUCAGAUUUGUUACCAUGUCACUAUUAUCCAUUCUUACCAUACAAUCUCAAAAUAUACUCUCAAGCAACAAAGAAUUACUAACUGGUGUAGCUACUACUAAAGUACAAUCUAAUGGUCAUAUCUCUAUAUCCGUAUAUGUGGAAAAUGUAUAAGAAACAAAAGAAUAGGUAGACUGUAAUCAAUUAAAACAUACGCCUUACGGCUAAAGAUAGUCAAAAUACCCGUCACGACAUCUCAAGUAGCAUAGACCUCCUACCGAGUUAGAGCAAAUAAAUGUGCUUGUGUAUACGGUUUACUUGGCUGACUUCUCUGUUGAUUACCACUAGUCUCUCCUACAUUGGACUGAGACCUACUGGAAAAUGUGGGUCCUCUUCUUUAGGAAUCUCCUCGCCCUUGAAAGUGACUACUGCCUCUCUAAAGGUAGUAAGGGUCUCAAUCUAGCAUAAAACUAGUGUUCGAUGUCAAGUUUGGAAAAUCUUUCUUCAAGUAUCCUGGUUAUCUAAACUAAAAGUAACAUGACAGACCGCUCAAACAUUGUCACUUGUGAAGUUUGCCACAAAUAUUACACUGAGGGCAAUUGCCUCUACUUACAUUGCAUCUCUGUCAAACAUUGUCGUGACUAUUAGAAGGUCUCUUCCUUCGAAGAAACCCUGGUCGUCAAUUGUACUACUGCCUAGUUAAGAAAUCUUUGCUCCAUUUCUCUCCUUUGAGAUCUACUACUAAGUUCACCAACUGGCCAAAUAGGGCUUUGCUUAUGCUGUUACGAUUCAACCAUUUGUGCUUGUCUAUGACUCCUCUCGAUUCUUGCAACAACUCAGUGUGCCAAAAUCUAUACAUUCUGCUCUAAUUACUAAAGUACUUAUGCCCUUUCAAAGAACUCGUUCGAACGUUCUACACUUCUCCUUAUCAUUCGGUGCAACAAAUGGGACAAAUCUUAAUAGCUCAGAAAAUUUAUGCUCAUACUCUUCCACAUUUAUGUAUUCCUGUACAAGUUUCAUAAACUCAUUCAUCAUGUCCUCCAAUAAAUAAUGGGAAAGAAUUUAUUAGUAAACUCUUGCUGAAAAUCUACUAAGGUGGUCUGCAACCAAGUUUUCUGCUCCUUUCAUGUCACGGAUCUCUAAGUUGAACUCUUGAAGUAGUAGGAUCCAGCGGAUGAGUCUGAGUUUCGCUUCCUUCUUGGCGAGCAAAUAACUGAGAGCUGCAUGGUUAAAAAAAAUAAUAACUUUAGUACCCAAUAAAUAUGAACGAAAUUUUUCUAUAGCAAAAACAAUAGCCAAAAGUUAUUUUUCCGUUGUUGAGUAAUUGCACUGAGCACUAUCAAGUGUCCUUAAUGCGUAAUAUAUCACGUGAGCAGCUCUUGCAAUCCUUUGUCUAAGAAUAGCACUAACAGCAUAGUUACUGGCAUCGCACAUUAUCUCAAAAGGGAGGCUCCAGUCGGGUGGUUGUAUAAUUGGAGCUGAACUCAAUAACUCCUUAAGCUUAUCAAAUGCUACCUUGCAUGCUUCAUUAAAAUCAAACGUCACAUCUUUCUAAAGUAGCUUGUAUAAAGGCUGAGCUAUCUUCAAAAAGUCCUUGAUAAAACAUUGAUAGAAACCUGCGUGACGAAGGAAAGAACAAACUUCCCGCACACAUGUGGGAUAAGGUAAAGAUUUAUUAAUAUUUAUCUUAACUUUAUCUACCUCAAUUCCUCUAGCAGAGACUACAUGGCCCAAAAGAAUGCCUUGAUCAACCAUAAAAUGACAUUUUUCAUAAUUCAAGACAAGGUUUGUUUCAAUGCAUCUUUCAAGCACUUUCUUCAUAUUAUAGAGACAAUCAUCAAAAGAAUCAGCAUAGACUGUAAAAUCGUCCAUAAAUACCUCUAUAAUGUUCUCUACAGAGUCUGAAAAAACAUUGACCAUGCACCUCUGAAAAGUGGCGGGAGCGUUACAAAGACCAAAUGGCAUACGUCGGUACGUAAAGGUUCCAAAAGGACAUGUGAAGGUAGUCUUCUCCUGAUCCUCAGGCCCAACUGGUAUCUGAUGAAAACCUGAAUAGCCAUCAAGACAACAAAAGUGAGAUUUUCCUGCCAACCUUUCAAGCAUCUGAUCAAUAAAAGGAACAGGAAAAUGAUCAUUCCUAGUGAGUGAAUUAAGCUUUCUAAAAUCAAUACAAACCCUCCACCCAUUCUGAACUCGGGUGAGUACUAACUCACCAUAAAAAUUCUCAACAAUUAUUAUACUAGUUUUCUUCGGUACCACUUGUACCAGACUUACCCAUUUGCUAUCGGAAAUUGGAUAGAUUAUACCUGCAUCAAGAAGUUUCAGAAUUUCUUUCUUCAUUACUUCCAUCAUGAGUGGAUUCAAACGGCAUUGACCUUGAAUCGAAGGUUUGGCAUCUUCCUCCAAUAGUAUUCUAUGCAUGCACAUGGAUGGACAUAUCCGUUUAAUAUCAACAAUUGUCCACCUAAUAGCCUUUUUGUAAUCCUUCAGCACUCUAAUAAGCUUUUCUUCCUCUAAAGUACUAAGCUUUGAAGAGAUGAUCACCGGAAGUGUCUCACCAUCUCCUAGAAACAUGUACUUUAGAUGACUCGGCAAUGGUUUAAGCUCUAUUUUCGGUGCCUACAAAAUAGAUGGAAGAAGUUUUGCAUGAGAUGAAUGUUAACAUAUAUGUUUCCAUAAUAUUGAUUUUGAUGAUAACAAACAAGAUUAAGAAUGAUAAAUAUUUUAAGCUCAAACUAUUUAAUAUUCUUUUUAAAUAAAUCAUUAUUUUCAUAUUAUAAAUGCUUCAUAUUUAAUGAAAAAUGAUUUUAUGAAAUUGGUUAUUUUUCAAAGUUUAUGGUUUAAUUGAAAGAAUUUUGAAAUCUUUGAAAUAAACAAGUAGUGCUUGAAAUUUCAGAUUUGGACCUAUUUGAAACUAUUUAAAUGUUUUUGGGCCCUUCUAUAAUUUCAUAAAGUUUGGGCGAAGUCAUAAUUUCAGAAAGUUGUGGGAUUGAGAAAGCAUUAUUUAAAAUUCUGAAAUUGGACCUAUUUGCAAACUUUUAUAACAUUUUGGGCCAUACUAUAGUUUUAUAAAGUUUUAGGGUCAAACUAUAAAUUUUGGGAAAUAUUUUACUGUAGCAGUUACUGUAGCAAGCGGCUUACCGGAUACUGAUAAACGGCAGGCCGAAUUCGGGGCAGUAAGCACCAGAACGAAAACGGCUUACCGAAUUCCGAAUCCGGCAAACCGGUUAGGCAAAAUUUUGAAUUUUUCCUUAACGGUAACAUAAAUCCGGCUUACCGGAUUCCAUAAACGGCAAACCGGAUACGCCUGGAAUGUGAGUAACGGCUAGUUUUUGAGCUCAAACUAUAAGAACUCAAAUCCAACUCAUUUUGAAGCUCUCAAACAAUCUCCAACAAGCAAGAACAAGUGCACACAACAUAUAUUGAGCUUCAACUUCGUGAAUCAUCAUUCAUUAAAUCAUCUUUGUUCUUCAAUUUGUAUAUCCACUCUUAAAGAGAGAUUUAUUGUUGUAUUUAUCAUUUCUCAUCAAUUUGUGAGUGUACAAGUGUGGUAAACACUUGGGGUGAAGAGAUUGGGGAUAUAAUCUCUUGUUGUAAAGGUUCAUUAACACCUUGGAAGUCAAUUGUAAACAUUUGAAGCCUUGGGAGGCUUGGAUAGUGAAAUCCUCAAGCCGGGUGAGCUUGGAGGCGUGGACGUAGGCGGGGAUAGCCGAACCACGUAAAAAUCCUUGUGUUCGUUUUCUCUUCCCUUACUCUUUUAAUAUUGUGUUUCAUUGAAUUUAUUGUUUUCGAAUUUAUUAAGGCAUUAGAUUGAAUUGUUGUGUGGUUUGCUUAGGAUAAUUUUUAAAAUUCCAAUUCACCCCCCCCCCCCUCUUGGGUUGCCUAGCUAGUAUUUCAAUGAAGGUAAUUUAAUAUAAGACAUAUGAUGAGUUAAAGUUCUCAAAGAAUUUAAUUCAUAAAUUGUCUCUUGCAAUACAUAAUUUAAAACAAACUCAUUUUCAUCCUUUUGCAAUCCUUUGAGGCCCAAACUAUUAUUUAAAGUAGCUACCAAUGAAUCCUCAACAUCCAAAUAAAAAACUUCCUGCACUAUAGGGUUAAUAACAUCCACAGAAAAUACCGAAUGUUCCUCACUAGGAUAUUUCAUGGCAUCAUUCAUAUUGAAUUCUAUAACCUCUCCAUCAAACUCCAUAGUGAGAGUCCCUUUAUAUACAUCCAUUUUAGUCCUAGCAGUCUUAGGAAAAUGUCUUUCUAGCAAAAUUAGGACAGAAUUAAAGGAGUUAUCAUGUUCCAUAUCAAGUACAUAAAAAUCAGAAGGAAAAACCAACUCAUUAACUUGUACUAAGACAUCUUCUAAUACCCCAUCAGGAUAUGCAUUAGACCUAUCAACUAGUUGAAUUAUCACACCAGUUUCUUUUAAUGGACCAACAUUCAAAGAUGAAUAAAUAGAACGAGACAUGACAUUAAUAGAAGCUCCUAGAUCUAACAUAGCCUUCUCAACUCUAACACUACCAAUUUUGCAAGGGAUAGUAAACAUACCUGGAUUCUUGCACUUAGGAGGUAAUUUCUUUUGGAGAACUACUGAAACAUUCUCCCCCAUGUGAACUCUUUCAUCUUCUCUUAAUUUUCUCUUAGAGGUGCGCAGUUCCUUAAGGAAUUUAGCAUAUCGAGGUAUUUGUUUUAUAGCAUCUAAUAAAGGAAUAUUUACCUCAACCUUGUGGAAUAUCUCAAGGAUGUCUUUCUCUUGUUCCUCCUUCUUGGAUUUUGCAAACCGACUUGGAAAAGGAGAAGGUAUCACCACAGGUAGAGGUUUCGCUCUAGUGGGUUGCGCAUCUUGAGAUUUAGGCAUCAAUUCAUUCUUCUCAAGCUCAUCUUCUAUAUGUUUUGUCACUUUCUUACUAGGCUCUUGCAACUCCUUCCCACUUAUAAGGAUGAUAGUACUAGCGUUUUGCUUUGGAUUCACCUCAAAUUGUGAAGGUAAUCUCCCUGAUACUUGAGACUCCAGACGGCUCACUGUAGUCGUCAAUUGACUCAUUUGGUUCCCUAAAUUCUGAAUGUUUGUUGUAGUUGCCUGCUGAAAUUGUUGAGUGUUAGUCGCAAGUGAUUUAACAAUUUCUUCAAGAGAUAUACCUAACUUGGAGUUUGACUGUGGAGGUGCUGGUUGUCUUGGUGGAUAUUAUUGUGGGAAUCCUGACGGCCUAACUCCAUAGCUGAAGUUGGGAUGAUCCUUCCAUCCCAGAUUGUAUGUUUGUGCAUAAGGAUCAUAUCUCCUCUGAUGCAUACUUGGAAAUCCUCCAACUGCAUUGGCUUGUUCAACGGGUUCUUCUUAAAGUGUAGGACACAUUUCAGUUGAAGACCCGUAUUGGAACAAAUGCCAUAAGUCUUCACCUGUUGCACAUUACCUAUAAUAAAUUUUUCCACAAGAGAAGUAAGUUUAUCUAAACAUUGUUCAAUAGAAGAAAUAUUUACCUCAUUCACCUUCUUUGAAGUGGGAUCUUGCCUGCUGCUAAAUUAUUGUGCAUUGGCAGCCAUAUUUGAGAUCAACUCUCUUGCUUGAGUAGGGGUCUUGUUCACCAACACACCUCCACUAUCAGCAUCUAUCAUACUCCUAUCCAUCAAUGACAGUCCUUCAUAAAAAUAUUGAAUAAGAAGUUGAUCAGAAAUCUGAUGUUGAGGACAUCUGCCACACAAUUGUUUGAAUCGCUCCCAAUACUCAUACAAAGUCUCCCUAGGAAGUUGUCUGAUCCCACAAAUGUCUUUUCUGAUAUUGGCAGCUCUUAAAGCAUGAAAGUACUUCUCAAGGAACUGCUUCUUUAAAUCAUUCCACGUUGUAAUCGAUCCAGGAGGCAAGUAGUACAACCAGUCUUUAGCUAGCCCAUCUAAAGAGAAAGAAAAAGCACGCAGCUUAAUCUGCUCUUCAGUCACGCCUUGUGGCCUCAUACUUGAACACACAACAUGAAACUCCUUGAGAUGUUUAUGAGGAUCUUCACCUACAAAACCAUGAAACUUGGGUACCAAAUGAAUAAGACCAGACUUUAAUUCAAAAAUUACCUCCAAGUCUACAUAUUGAAUGCAGAGUGGUUGCUGAUUCAAGUCUGAUUCAGCUAACUCUCUAAGAGUUCUUUCUACAGGUGCAGCACUAUCAAUCACUUGUUCUUUUAAAUCGCUAGAUGAUUCAACCAAAUUAGGCACCGUAUCUAUUUCAGAAAGCAAAGGCGACGAGGAUCGUUGUUUAGCUCGCUUUAUCUGCUAUCUUAGCUGGCGAGCUGUCUUCUCAAUUUCAGGAUCAAACAAAAGUGUACAUGUACGAGAAGAACAAACAAUACACCAAGUAAAACAUAAAAAGGAUUAAAUAAACGACACCAAUCCCCGGCAACGGCGCCAAAAUUUGAUGGUUGUCGAAGCCAGCAAAAAUAAAUACCUACUCUAAAUAAAUUGUGUAUGAUAGAGCAAGGUCGUGUCCACAAAGAUCGGUAAUUAUUUAAAUCCUUUUAAAAUAUAAAAUGCAAAAUGGGGGGAUUGUUGACAAUAAUAGAAACCAAAUUAAAAUAACAAGAAUGCAAAUUCAAAAUUGUGAUUCAAAUUGGGGAAAGCUCUGGUUGAAGGAAUUAACUCAGCUUGAUUCGACUACUUAUGAAUAGAUCGGUUAUAGCUACUGAGACACUCUAAUAGCCAAUCUCUCCUUAACUAGUCGAUAAUCAAGGUAGGACCAUUGGUUAUUUCCCUAAUCAAUAGAUAACUCUAGAUACGAUCAUAGGAUUUAAUCAAUUGACAGCCUAAAAAACCAGAGAGACCCAAAUCCUAAUCAACAAACGCAUACGAUGGUUCAUUUAAAUUAGAUUGUUUAUUCUCAUAACACAACGCACUGUUAUACUAUUUGUCACAAACAUUAAAAUCUUCAUACGAUGAAUCCUUUAAUUGACAAUAGAUUAAGUUUAUAAUUAAAUAGUGGCCAAUUAUCUAAUUAACAAACAUAAUCGUGACAAUAAUUUAGAGAAUAAACAAAUACCCAAAAAGUAAUAAAACAAUUAAAGCAUAAGAAAGAUCUCACAGUAAUGAUGAAUCAAAGCUUCAUUAACUUUCAACCAGAAUAAUAGGUUUAGUUCUUCAUAGAGAGAAGAGAAAAAUUUAGAUCUAGGGUUUCUUUUUCUUUCUUUGACAAUAGAUUCCUCCCUUCAAUUCUCUUUUUUCUCUUCUCCUCUAGAGUUCUUUUUAAAAUAAAAUACUAAUAUCUAAAAUAUUAUCUAAAUAUUAAAUUCGUAAUUAUAAAAAUAACCAAAAAGACAAAACACGUUAAAAUAAAAACUGCAGGUCCUUAGUUGACAGUAUGCGCCCACGCCUUAUCAAUAAAGUUCUUCUGAAGCUCAUAAUUUUUCCAGAAAAAUAAUCAUCGUCAAACAUCAUCUUGUAGCUCAAUUUUAGCACCAAUCAAUAGAAUUGCACCUACAGAAAUAAAACACAAGUAAAUCACUAUUAUUAAAUGCAAAACAUCGAUAUUAAAGGAAGUAAACAAUGCAAAACUAGUGCAUAAAUUGCACUUUAACACCAUCAGAGAGAUUAGAAAUAUGGGAACAUUUCACUAAAUAUGAUCCAGGUAAUAGAUGCAAGUGUAAUUAUUGUGGUAAUGAUUAUGCUUGUAAGAAUAAACAUGGGACUAAAAUUGGGACUAGCACAUUAAGGAAUCAUUUAUUGCGUUGUCCUGAUUAUUUGAGCAUAUUUGAGGAUGAAAAUCAAACAACCUCACAUGAAAUAAAAGGCGAAUCUAAGUCUCAUGUCUUUGAUAAAGAAGCAUGUUGAAAAGCCCUUGCAAGGUUAAUUAUUAUUGAUGAAUUACUGCUUAGUUUUGUGGAGAAAUAGGGCUUUCAACAAUAUAGUAAGCAAUUGGAACCAAACUUUAAUUUACCAUCUAGGAGAACCCUUACUAGAGAUGUGUACAAACUUUUUUGGGAUGAAAAGUAAAAAUUGUGAAACUUUUUUGUUUCAAAUAAGCAAAGGGUUUGUAUAACCACAUAUGCAUGGACUUCUAUUCAAAAUUAUAUCACCAGCCCAUUUCAUUGAUAGUGAAUGGAAACUACAAAAGAGAAAUUUAAAUUUUUGUAUAGUACCUGACCAUAAAGGGGAGACAAUUGGAAAGGUAAUUGAGUCUUGUUUACUUGAGUGGGGUAUAGAAAGGGUAUUUACCAUUACUGUUGAUAAUGCUAGUUCAAAUGAGUUAGCUAUCAAUUAUGUCAAAAAGAAAUUGAAGAAUUGGAGUGAGAAUGGGCUUGUGCUAGAUGGUGAGUUUUUACAUAUGAGAUGUUGUGCGCAUAUUUUAAAUUUAAUUGUGAAUGAAGGGUUGAAAGACUUACAUGUGUCAAUUUCCAGAAUUCAUAAUGCUGUCAAAUAUGUAAAGUCCUCUCCCGCAAGGCUAAAAAAAUUUAAAAUAUGUGUGGAGCAUGAAAGAAUUGAAGGUACUGGUCUUGUGAUUCAAGAUGUGUCCACUAGGUGGAAUUCCACCUACUUAAUGUUGGAGAGUUCUUUAAAAUUUUAAAAGGCUUUUGAGAGAAUGGAGGAUGAUGAUCGACAUUAUGUUUCAUAUGUCAAAGAGGAUGGAGGACCUCCUAAUAGUGAUGAUUGGGAAAAAUGCUAAUGUUUUUAUGUUGUUUUUGAGGUCAUUUUAUGAUAUAACUUUGAAAUUGAGUGGUUCAAUAUACGUGACUUCAAAUUUAUAUUUUCAUGAACUGUGCUCAAUUCAUUCCGAUUUGACAUCAUUAAUUGAAAGUGGUGAUGAUCCUGUCUUAUCUAAAAUGGCAACAAGUAUGAAAAAUAAAUAUGACAAAUAUUGGGGUUCAAUUGAUAGCUUGAAUAAUUUAUUGCUCAUUUCAGUUAUUCUUGAUCCACGUUAUAAGUUAAAAUAUGUGACAUUUUACUUUGAAGACAUUUUUGUUAUUGAUGAGGUUGGGAAGAAGUCUGAAGAGGUGAAAAAUCUUUUAAUACGUCUUUAUGAUUACUAUAAAGAUCUUGACACUAAGAUUGAUGGUUGUGGAUCAUCUAGUGGUGUUAGUAAGUCGUCAAUUGUUGAUAGUAGGAAAUUUGAUAAAAAGAUGGGGUUUUCUAAACUUUCAAGUGUUGCAAAGUUCAGACAAAGAAUAGAAAAAGAUGAUUGUGUUGAGAUGAAGAAUGAAGUAAAGAGGUACUUGUUGGAGCCAUGUGAACAUGUUGAUGAUGAUGACUUUGAGAUUUUGACUUGGUGGAAAAUGAACUCAAUAAAAUAUCGAGUUCUUUCACACAUUGCAAAGGAUGUGUUUGCAAUUCCAAUAUCUACAGUAGCUUCAGAAUCUGCUUUUAGUACUAGAGGGCGCAUCAUUGAUUCAUUUUAUAGUUCUUUAAGUCCAAAGAUGGUGGAAGUUUUGAUAUGCUUACAAAAUUGGUUACGUAACACUUUUGUCCCAUUACAAGAUGAACCAACAAUGGAGGAGCUUGAGUUUUAUGAAGCGAUGAUGUCAGGUAACUAUUUAUCAUAACAAGUUUUAAAAAAAUUUAUAUAUUUGUUUAUCACUAGUUUUUUUUUCAUUAAUUUAUUUUUAUUUAAUGCAGAGUUUGGAUCAAAUAUAACAAUGGAGGCGAUGGCUUUGAAUUGAUGUUAUUCUUAUGAUUAUCAAAUAAAACAACAAAGUUUGGAUCAAACAUUAUAAUUUUUCUUUUUUGGUUAUUUAUUUAUUGGUGAAGGAAUUGACUUCAUUGAUCAUGGAAUCUUUUGAUUAAAAUACUGCGGAUGGAAAUGAUCAUUGAAUUUAUUUUCUUUCUUUUAAUUUGCUUAUUUAUGUCAUGUUCAUGGGAGUUUAUUAUUGGAGUUUAAUUUAAUUCUUUCUUUUAAUUUUUUAUCCAUAAUAUUUUUUCAUAUUUUAAUAUUAAUUUAAUAAUUAAUAAUAAUUAGUAAUUAUUAUAAUUUUGAUAUAAUUAAAUUUAUUAAAAUAAAAAAUAUUUUGAUUAUAAAAUUCAAACCAAACCCAAAUGAGUUGGUUUGAGUUGGGUUAAAAAUAUUUGGGUUGGGUCUAAAUUUUUAUGAUUUGGUUUGGAUUUACUUAAAACCAAAUCCAAAACAACUCAUGCCUACCCUUAGAUAUACGGAGACCAUGAGGACAGAUAAUGUUGAGUUAAACAAUGAGUUUUUGAGGGAAUGUUUAGAAAGAAAAAGAUGAGAUGAGCUAAUUUUAGAAAGAGAGAGGAAUAAAACUUGUCAUUAUCUUCUUCAAUAAUGGUCAGUUUUUGUUUUUAUAUUAGGUUAAAAUAUAAUUUCACCCUUUAAAGGAAAUUUAAACAGUAACAAAAGUAACGGUAGGGGGUGCUCCAAUAUUCAAGAAAUAGUAAGAAAGAAUUGGUACAUAAUUUAAAUAGUAGGGGUAAUUGACGAUCCCCUAAAAAAAUUAUUGACGGCUGUAUGUCACCACCUGUCCUACACAUUCCUCGUUCUAUUGGUCAUGCGUAACACAACAAACAUUUUUUUUUUUUCUGUUAUUUACAGUUAUAAAGCACUUUAGCAUCAUAAAGGAUAAAGCAAAGUCAGGAGUACUACAGAGUACGGAGUUCGGACACUUGUUGACAAUUAACAGUUCAACACUGUCUUACUCGGAAAUAUCCAUUGUCCAGCUGAAAAAGAUAAAUUGAAGUACACGGAAAUAUCCAAUUGUCGAGCUGAAAAAGAUAAAUAAAGAGAAACCUGUUUGUUGUAUUAUUGUCUACAAAACGGUAAACACAAAAAGAAAGAGAGAAAAGAAAAUUUUUUAACAGCGCAAUGAUAAAACAAAUGAGCGAGUUAUUGUAUUCGAAGGACUUGGAUGAUGAUCAAGAAAUUGGGUCGGAGAAAACCUUGAGAAGAUGUAGAUCUGCCUGCAAUGGCCGUAGAAGCGUCCAUAAGCUCGCCGGUCUCGACGAGCAUAUCAAAUUACAGGCGAAUUAUUCCUUUUAUUUCUUAAUUUUUUAAUUAUUAAUUAACUUAUGAUUCAAGUUAAUUUGGGUUAGCUUUAUUGAUUUAUUUAUUUAUUUUAAUUAUAUAAGUAAUUUUUGUAUUUACUUACUUAGUUCUUUGCCUAAUUUCGUUGAGGUUAAUGCCUAAUGGGAAACUUUUAAAAUCAACACUCAAGAAUUUAAAUGCAGAGUCAAGAGUAAAGGUGAAUAGUACUGAAUGAUUGAAUUUGCGAUACCAAACUAAAGGCUUUCUGUGUGUUAUAGGAACAAGUUAGAGUUUUCUAUAUAUGCUAUUCAAAAGCUGUACUUCACUUUACUGAAAAUCUGAGUCUGCAGUCAAACGAAGAUGUGCCAUCAAGUGAAUACAUUGUGAAUGAGGCCGACACCGAAGCUAGAAGAUUUCAAGAACCCAUUGAUGAUGUUGGAUCCACAAUCAGUGGCCUUGAUGUAAUGAUAAUUGAUACUCAAACUUUUGUAACCUCACUUAAAAUUGAAUUUAGGAUACCGAACUAAAUGCUGGCUGUGUGUUACAGGAACAAGUUACAGUUUCACCUGUCGUUCUAAAAGCGGUACUUCACUGUACAGAAAAUCUGAGUCUGCGUUCAAAUGAAGAUGUGCCAUCAAGUGAAUAUGUUGUGACCGAGGCUGCCAACGAAGGCAAAAUAUUUCAAGAACCCGUUGAUGUUGGAUCAACCAUCAAUGGUCAGGUAAUGAUAAUUUAUACUGAAACUUUUAUUCCUCCCUUCAAUUUUCAAAUAUCAAAAUAUGCUCUUUUGAUAUUUGAAAAUCGCUCGAGUAUCCAUUUUCCUGUUUGGAUUUGGAUACAUCGAGGUAAGAAUAUUAAAGUUUUGCUUACAAUUGGCCUCCAAUUUCUGAGCUCAAAACUUUUAACUUAAUGAAUGACAAUACAAUUUCAUUGAUUGAGAUUUAUAACUGCAUUCUUUGUAUAUUACAGAUUUGUGAGCUACUUGGUAAAUAUAAGAAACGUGCACUUGCUGUGUUUUCUGUUGUGUUGGAAGCAGCAUCAUUUUUACUAGAUAUAUAUGGGAAAAGUAAGAGGAGGAUCCUUCUUGCUGCAUUUCUAUUGUCAGCAUUUGGUUUUGCUAUUACUAUGAGUACGCAUUCUUGGACCGGGAGAAGAAACAUAGCUGCAACCAGAAUGUAUUUACAGAAGCGACUACUUAUGUUGUUGGAAAUGUCUUUCUCUUUGGUCCAGUUGAUUGUUUCGCUCAUUUAUUUUAUUCUGGCGGAAUUGGGUGUCAAGAACAAUUUUAGUACAUCUGUUUUCCCACUGGUCUUUGCUAUAAUUGCUGCUGUGUUCACUUUCAAAUAUGAUGGGGAAGUUUCUGAUUCAUCAGGCCUCGACAGUGCGCUUGUGGCCCUAGCUGCUGGUAAUCAAGUAUGAUUGUGAACACAAUUGUAAUCAUCAAGCUGCACUUGGUGAAUUCGCAUAACUUAUCACCUCUAGGACUAUGAAUUCCUAUAAAUACAUAUGUAUCUGUAAUUUGGAUUAUAACUAUUCAGUAUAUAUAUUUUAUCUUUUCUGAGUAACUUUCAAUUUAUAGAGCUCGUUGAGGGGGUUAAAUGAUGGAGUUAAGUCUUUUGGUGUCAAGUUAUUUGAGAUUCUUGAAAUUCAUGAAACUUGUAUUACGCCAAUUAGAAAAAAUGAAGCUGUUUUGAUUGGGUCACACAUGAAACUUCUGAUGUGCCAAUUAAUUAUUGAUCGGCAUGGUCAAUUGUCUUGGGUAAAGGUACACUAUAUGAUAUGAAUCAUUUUAAAAAGUGAUUUUAUUAUUAUUAUCACCAUGAAAUUGUCAAUUAACAUCACCAUGAAAUCAAGAGAACAUCCCACUAGCUAUAUUCAUGUUGCUAGUAGAUGUACAUUGGAUUAUUAUUUCCUUGUGGUUGAAGAUUCAUCUGAACCAAAUGGAGAUUGACUUUUGAAAUGUAAUAAAUAAAUAAAUAACAAAAAAGCAGGAGCACAAACAGAAAAUUUUAUAUUUUUUUUUCUGACAAAAUAAAGAGAUAGAUGGGGGUAGUGGAAGAUUGACUUUUGAUGAGUCUUUGUCCGCCAUUAGAGAAUAAAUGCAACGAAAUAAUGUUUUUCACUUCAAUUACUAUUGGUAUUAUUAAUAAUUAGGACUUAUUUAUCAACAUCGAUCUUUCACUCAAAUUCAACAGCCAAAGUCGCCCGCGGGUUGUGCUCGGCUGAUCAAAAGCAAGUAUUAUAGUUAGGGUUUAGUCUUAGAUAUAAGUUUAAGCACCUAGAAUGUAAUAAUAGAUAACGCCUUGCACACCCACGUUCUCUGUAACUUUCUCAUUCACUUUUUCAAAAGUAAUCCAGUUUGACGAUAGAACUCAAAUUUACAAUGAAUUAUUAUUAAAUCGAUUAAAAUAACAACAACAAUUCAGAUUAGCAAAGAAGUGUUAUAGAAUAAAUAAUGCUCGUGAAGAAUUCAAUUUCAAAUAAAAGAAUUUCACAUAUUGUAUUUUAUCUUAUCUCUUUUUGUUUUUGUUUUAAUUUAAAAUAACCCUUCUAACCGUUUGUCAAUCGGUUAUAUAAUUUUAAAAAUAAAUAAAUAAAUUUAUUAAUAAAAAUAAUGUGAUUAAAUCUAAUAGUUUAUAUUUCUGACAUUAUUGAUACUGUAAAAAAAUUACAGCACAGAACUAUUGUUUUCUGCUUAAAAAUUUAGCAAAAAAAUUAGCGAACCCACAAUAGAGAGAUUUAUGUAUCUUACAUAUUUCUUUAGUUAUCAUAUAUCAAAUUCAUGAUUAUGUUUUUUUCUUGAAAAUUAUCGUUCAAAAUUAUUAUGUUCCAUAGCAGAUGUCCCGGAUAGACUUAUAAAGUAAUUCAAUUUGAAUGCUACAAAAAGAUCACAAGCCAAAUAUUUAUAUGUAAUCAAGAUUAUCUUAAGUGUGAUUAUGUAUAUAAUUACUCCUUUUGAGAAUCUAUAAUUGGUCCAAUUGGUCUUGCAUGCACUUAAUUUAGAGGGAAUUAAUAUUUUAUAUGCAAUCAUAAUCUAGAUAAACUCACUAUGGGUUCAAUUGAAUAAUGAUCUGCCAAUCCACAUCUACUUUGUGACUGGAUCAACCGACCCAAUCGAUCAAGCCACGCUAGGACCAAUAUUUGACUCUAGGUUAAUGGAUCAACUAUGAACUGAGAUUAUCAAUCAAGACACCGAAUUCCUACUAGCCCAAACAAAUAAGAGUAAUAAUAUAAUUACAAAUUCUUGUACAUAUUUUCUUUGUACAAACUGAUGCGGUAUGAUUAAAUUAGUUGAAUUAAAUAUUUCUUAAUCCAUAUAAUUUUUUCUUAUUAUUUUGUAUUUUUAAUUCAACCAAAUGAUUUAAUACCAAAUCACUUUGUACAACGUAAGUUUAUAUAAGAGUUUGUGAUUGUAUUGUCACUCAACCAUAAUGCCUCCUAUGUCGAUACGAUAGUAAGCACCUUUCUGGUAUGUUUUAUCUAAUGAGUUAUAAGUGUUUAUUCAAUCUCAUAAGCUCCCUCAAAUUUUUUUUAAUGUUGUUCAUUGUUUUCUAAGUAGAGUUUUUGAAGAUUAAAUAAGUUAUUUUAUUUUUACUAGUAAAAGCUCAAAUUUUGGUCUUUUAGGAGUAGAAGUUGAAAAGUUUUUAAAAAAUAUUAAAAUGUCUAAAAUAUCCUUUACUUAUUUCAUAAUCUUAUUUGAUUCCUUUCAUAACAAGACGUUAAAUAAUUUACAUAUUAAAUUAAUUUUACAAUUAUUAAUAAAAACUCUCAUUGACAACUAAACAACUAAUUUUUUUUUUUGUGGUAAAAUAUUCACUUAUAAAAGUUCUACUAAUAAAAGCUCUACUUAAAAAAACUAUAUUUUAAAAGUUAUACUAAACAGAGCCUCAAACUCCGUUUAAGGCAUAUAGCAAAAUCCACAGUGACAAUUCAAGACAUAGUGGCAUUAAGAUAUGUUAUGUGAAAUAAUUGGUUAUUUAUGGAGUAAUCACAAUUCUUUGUGUGAUGAUAUAAAAAAAUUUAGCAAACUCCUUUAGUAACUAAAUGCAUUGCAAGGGUUGGGACUUCCAGCGCCAGUGCCAUCUUAAUUAUCACCAAUGAUCGAGCCUAACCCAAUACUUUAAACAUUAAGAUCUUAGAUUCAAUGAGUAGAAGACAGACAUAUAAUUUUUCAAGAUACAUUCUAUGGUAUACAUGUGCUUCAUAGAAAAUAUAAAAAAUAGUUACGUUAUAAAAUAUAUCAUCAAAUUUAUAAGAGUUUAGAUCAUUAGAAGAUUUAUUUUCUUAUUCAAUUAAUCAUAUAGAUUCAUUUGAUUUUGAAAAAAGUUACAUGGACACUUUAAAAAAAUGCUUACAUACUUACAUAGACGACACUAUUCAAUGAACCAAAAGGGAUUGUAUAACAAAAUAGACACGCAAGGAACAUCUUAUAUUGUAUAACCAAAUUUUUAUUACAUAUGAUUGAUAUACAUAGAAAAAAUUAGUUUCACAACUUUAAUUGCCUUAAACUGCUUACAUAGACGACACUAUUCAAUGAACCAAAAGCGAUUGUAUAACAAAAUAGACACGCAAGGAACAUCUUAUACUGUAUAACCUAAUUUUUAUUACAUAUGAUUGAUAUACAUAGAAAAAAUUAGUUUCACAACUUUAAUUGCCUUAAACUGGAUCUAUACAUUUCUUCUGAAUUAGUCCCACAAAAAAUCAACCCGUCGAGGUUAUCUUAUCUAAACCUCUUUAAUUUUUCAUUUUCUGGUCAAAUGCCAUCAUAAAUAUUAGAGCUCUCACCAAUUUAGUGUCCCUUAAAUUACUAGGAAAUUUAGAUCUUCAACUCUCAAGAAGCCAAGUCUCGGAAAUCUAGUUGAAAAUUGCUAACCAUCCUAAACGCACUUGAUCUUGGUGGUGACUGUGACAACUGAUUCUUUAAUACAUCAUAACUUAACAAAUCUAUCUUCUAUGACAUUUUUAUCUCUCUCAAACAGCGAGCCAAGUUGCAGAUCAUCAAUUGCAGCUAUGGCCAAGCCAGUUGCUAGUACUUUUAACAAGAGCUUUGAGAUGAGGCACAUGUGGUGUUGUUAGAACAAAGCCAAGGCAUCUUUUUGUUGUUGAUCCUACCAGGCAAUGAGGCAAUUCUUUCACCGAAAACACAGAUGAUUCCUAACUUCCAGGUGAAUAUUUUCUAUGCACGACUACUCACAGUACAAAAUCUGUAGAAAUGACAAUGGGACCGGCUGGGGUGGGAAGGCCUAUCCCAUUACCUACUUUAUUAAAAUUUUAUCAUUAUUUCUCAUUCUAUUCCAUAAUAAAUUUAAUAAGGGUGGGGAUGGAGAAUCCCCCACAUGCAGAAUGAUUUCUCC